Molecule: long non-coding RNA, 91837 nt
Filed under: Eucalyptus grandis
Lineage: Eukaryota; Viridiplantae; Streptophyta; Magnoliopsida; Myrtales; Myrtaceae
Description: long non-coding RNA (EGRA_LNC004706)
Source: RNAcentral
UUUUAUAUCGAUGAUCCUGGCUCGGUGCAACGUCGAGGCGGCCGACCAUAGCUCGUUUCGCUUCAGGCUCACCUACUGGCCGUCGGGGUAGGGAGUGGUCAAACACUUCUCUCUGGAAACUUCGUUGCUUGGUUUCAUUCAAGACGGAACCGAAACGAUAGCUGGGUCUCGUUUUCCCUAGUCCACCAGCAUGCUCGAUUUGAACGAGCCGUCCCUUUUGUCGAGUUUGAGUCGUCACUUGCUGCUUUCUUUUGAGUAAAUGACUUGGAGUGCUGCCAUUUUCUUCUAUGUUGAUAGCUGCUUGAAUAUGCUCAAGACUCCUCCCUUUCGUUUCAGGAACGCACACUUUAAAUUCCCCCCUGGAGUUUCUGCAUGAAAAUUGAUUAUUCACUGGUUUAAUAGCAUGCGAGUAAUGACUGGACUUUAUCUAUUUAGAUAUGGUGGUGGACUUUUGACUAGUUAUGCACUGUUCAGAAUGCCAGAUUCAUUUGUAGAGGUUUAUAGAGGAAAAUUUUGUUUACUGUUUUUCUAAAUUAUACAACAGGUAUUUAUAAUUUGCAUUUUUAAAUUGUAAUUUCCUUUCAAUUUCGGGAGAGAAGGAUCACGUCGUUUCUUGGUGCAAUGGGGCAGAAGUUUCUAUAUGUAUAUCACUUGUGUGGCACGUAUAUUGCUUUUUUUUUGACAAUUCUCAUAACAGUUUACUUGGUGACACCCAAUUGCAUAUCGUUUGGCUACAUUUUGCUCCUCCUAUGUUGGAUCAUAGGAAGACAACUCAUUGAAAGGACAAGAAGACACCUUUGGUUUCCAUUGAAAGUAUAUGCAGUCACUGUGUUUAUCUUCAUAUACAGCUUGAGCAAUUUCUCCACCUUUGAGAUGUGGUCGUCAGGGCUGAUUGAUCUUUAGUUUUACUUGGCCUACAACUCAGAAGCUUCGCUAUUGCAGAAUAUUUGGCAGUCUCUUGCAAUCCUCAUUGUGAUGCAGCUCUACAGCUACGAGAGGAGACAGAGCAAGUAUAUCCAAUCCGAUGACUCCAAACUUAUGGAAUUUGGAGCACUUGGAUUUAUUCAGAGUUUCCUUAUUUGACACGGUGACAACGUAGUGUAUAUAACAGUGUUCUAUGCAUCAUUGUCACCAAUUAGUCUCUUUGGUUUCCUUUAUCUGCUUGGUCUUGUCGUAUGUUCCCUUUUACCUAAAGCAUCUCAAUCCCAUCAAGUUUUGAGUUAUUACAGUCAGGCUUUUGGGCUCUAGAAUUGGGUUUAAGGGGAAAAGUGCUGGCGAUAUCUGCUUCUACCCUUCAAUACAAUGUCUUCCGUUGGUUGCAAAAAGUACCAACUCACAUUUGCGCAAAUAUUACACCAAAGAACCUUGCCCUCUGUUUGUAUCAGCAGAAGAAGUGUUUAGGGAUUUUUCUAAUUCAAACGGGGAAAGCAAACCACCUGCAGAUUUUCCUGCAAUUCCUUGUGAAGCAGAAGGCGUGAGAAACAAUUUAUCUUUCUCAGCCUCUGGUUUUUCUCAAGCAUCAAAUAAUGUACCCAAAGCUGGAGGCUCUGGGGGUGGCAGUGCUAGAAAAUACUCCUUUGGAUAUAUUUGGGAAAGCAUCAACGAAAGCCACAAAUGGAACAAGAAAAGGAUUAUCACCAUGAGAAGGGAGAGAUUUGAAACGCAGAAGACAAUCUUCAUAGUCAAUAUAGAUUUUUGGAUGGAGAAGAUGUUUAAUCUCUUUGGCCUCGAAAUAAACAUGGUGGCCUUGCUCCUUGCCUCCUUUGCUUUGUUAAAUGCCAUUUCUAUACUAUAUAUUGCACUUCUCGCUGCCUGCAUACUUCUAAAUCGCAAUGUCAUUCGGAAAUUAUGGCCAGCACUUGUCUUUUUGCUUGCUUCCAUUCUUGUCCUAGAAUACUUUUGUCAUUUGGAAGAGCACACCAUCUGCCAAUUCACAAACAUCAAGCAAGGCUAAGUCUGUAUUUCCUUUCAAAUUUUAUGAUUCUCCUGCCAGUAUGAAUGCUGAAAGUUUUCAUGUGAUGAAUUCAGCUGAUCAUUCAUUUGAGUUUUCCCAUUGCGAGAUCACUGAGGUUGAGAAGGAUGGUGGAGGUUCUCUAUAUGAUUCAGAUAAGAAAGAGAGAGCCAGAGGUCAAGCUGAGGAUAACUCUAUAGUUUCUGCUGUGUAGCUUUUGGGAGAUGGCGGUUAGUUCUCUUGUAACCUUCCCGAACAUCAAGCCAGAAGACAUGGAUGCUAGGGGCACAAUCAAGCACUCUCCCCUACACCCGAUCAACGGCCAGGAUCACCUGACGAAGCAGCAGAGGUUCGCCAGAUCGAAGCUCCGGGUUUCCAUCAACCUGCCGGACAACGAAAUCUCCCUCCUCCACAGCCAGCAGAAUCUGAGCUUCAGCGAAUCGUCCCCCGCAGCCACUGCCGCCGCCGCCGAACCUCCGACUUCUCCUUCUCCAUCUCCCCACUCCUCGUCCUUGGCCUCAGCGUCGAUCGGUCGAAUCUUCAAAGGGAAGGCUCCGGCGAAGGCGAGGGGGAGCCUCGAGAACGGCGGUAGCGGCGGCAACCCUUGCAGGGGCGGCAUGCGUACAGGAGCACGAGGACGGUGGUGGAGGUGCUGCGGGAGCUGGACGCGGACAUAGUGGCGCUGCAGGACGUGAAGGCGGAGGAGGAGAGGGAGAUAAGCCGCUGUUGGAGCUGGGGGCGGCGCUAGAGAUGAGGUACGCAUUCGCCGAGAGCUGGGUGCCGGAGUACGGCAACACCGUCCUCUCCCGGUGGCCAAUCAAGCACUGGAAGGUCCAAAAGAUAUUCAACGAAACCGAAUUCAGGUCCAUCACUUUGUUUUAUUUUAUUUAUAUAUUUAUUUAUUUCCAUAUAAUUUUUACCUGUUAUUCUUGCUAUCAUUUUCGUAAUUGUGGUGACGAUGAUAUGCUCUCUUUCUUGUUGAGCAAGUGGUCUUCCUAGGAACCACUGGGGGUUCGCCCCAGUGGCCACCCUUCCAACAUGAAAGGGGGAGGUGAGGGGUUCAAAUCUCUAGAGACAGGGCACAAGUCUGCGAGUGAGUGUAAAGUAGGAAUAGAGUAGGACUGACAAAAAAAAAAAGUGGUCUUCCUGGGCGAUUUCGAAUUUUAAAAGAUAUUUUCAUUUAUUUAUUGAGGCGUCCACCAUUGAAAGUGAAGUUUGAUAAUAUGUCAUAACUAAUAUUCCCUCUGGGCAUAUUAUAUCAUAAUUAAUAUUCCCUCUUGUUAUCAUUUUCGUAAGAACUCACUUGUUCGCUUUUCCAUCUUUCGAUUUUUCUUUUUCACUCUAUCAAAUGGCUAAUCUAAGGUACUUUUCGAGCACGAUGCUCUUCUCGCUCGAUGAUCACAUGAUUGGCUUGAAUGGACGGAAAUUCACAACAUUUGAAGCUUGAUGAUCAUGUUGAAUAUAUACAUCCGUUGUUUGUCAUCACUUUGCCGAUAUCAACUUUUGAUGUGAAAAUCCGUGGUAUAAAAAUUGAAGUCCAAAAUCUUUUUUUCGAGUGAUUAUUGUCUGAAUAUGUAAUUUAAAACUGUUUAUUAUAUCGUAGGUGUGCAAGGGACGUGCAAAUAUAGAACAAGGGUGGACUACAUACUGGCGUGUUGCCCAUACAAGUUCAUUCCGGGGUCGUAUUUGGUCUUGUCAUCGAAAGGGACAUCGGAUCACCACAUUGUAAAGGUCAACGUAACGAAAUGCAAAAACAACCCUCCCCAUGAAAGCAAUGGCAACAACAAUAAAAUUACCAAGAAAAGGCGGCGACAGUGCAAGCACCAGGCCGUUGUAAAGAUCUCAGGCACAGCACCUCCUUCAAAGGGUAUACGGACAACGAACACAUUAAGCAAAGUCGGAUGACAUUACAUUUAUAUCUCCUUUUCCUUUCCACUCUUUUCUCAGCAGCUGCUCCUGUUGCUGCUGUUGACUGAUCUUGGGCAUGCUGGCUUCGUCAAUCUGUGUAAAUCUUCGAUUAUUUUGUGCAUCUUGUCUUCUCUGUUUUUUUUUUUUUUUUCUUCAGUUUAGAGUUGAAGAGGGGAGGGUUCUGGUGUGAUGGCUUCCUCACUUUUGUAUAGAUUUCGACACGACAGAAAAGUGAAUUCUUACGUUUCAACUAGGCAUUCUAAGCGGUUCUGCCAAGUACUUUUUCAGUAUUUUAUGCCUUUUCUUUCCGCUUGUAAUCUUAGCUGCAAGAUUCAGAUUAGUUUUGUCGAGGGCGACAUCUCAAGUUGACUUUGCUGAGGUUGAGGUUAGAGAAUGCGGUAUUGUAUCUUUAGAUUUAACUGAAAGUUGAAACGUUUUAGAUUAAAAGUCCUUGGAAUAAAAUUGCAAAUUUCGAAAAUUGAUUUUUUUUUGUUAUGUUGGACAUCAAGUGAUUGAUAAAAAGACUCAAAGAUUUCAAAUGAAAUACCUUUAAAAAGCAAAUAAGGAAAAAAAAAAAAAAAAGCUGUGAAGUCUGGUAAUUAUGAAUUCUAAACAUCCGUGACAGUAGUCAAUGUUUUCAUUCUUUUUUCUCCGGUCUUGAAAUUAGCAUUGGAAAGAAGAAAAGUGGUAAGUUAGUGCAAUCUACUUCGACAUCUUAACAAAUACCUUCUGUGAUCUCUAAAUGGAGCCUUAAUGAGCAUUAUAAGUAAAAGUGUAAUGAAAAGAGAAAGAAAUAGAUUUUCUAUAUAAUAGACAUUGUUGGCUGAUGUAUCAUGCUAAUUAGCUUAUGAAUAGAAAACCGUGUCUCCCUUAUAAUGGUUGGCAAACUGCGCCCCUUGCAUCAGCAUCGUAGAGGACUCAAGUAUCUCUCAAUUGGCAUAUACUCUUCAAUUGAUCCUCCUUGAUGUAAUUUAUAUCGAUUGACUUAUUUAUUUCGAUUUUGCUUGGGAUCUCAAUUUAGAAAAUCAUGGGGCCAAUUCCAUAAAAAAAAGCACGAACUUUAUGGUUUGGGACAAAUCUGGCCCGAACUUUAUUUUGUCUCGAAAAAAAGCACCAACUUUUAAUCGUGUCCCAAAUCUGGCUUGCCGUUAACUCUCCUUCACGCUCAUCCGACCUGGCAUUUCCAUGUCAGAUAUCUAACAAGGCAAAAUUGUUAUGGGCUUUCUCUUAUUUCUCUUCUUCUAUGAACGCACGGCUCAUGAGUUUGGGGAAAAAAAUUUCUAGGGUUUCAUUUUGUCGGUGAGUUCGGGCGCGGGAGUCUUCAAUCCGUUGGAAGAUCUCGCGCACUAGCUUGCUCACUCAUUCUCUCACACGGAGAUGCUCGAUCUUGUACAUACACACGUUCGAUCGCUCGAAGACAUCCUUUCUGUCGGAAGUUUUGGCCUCGAAGGAUUUAUGCUUCCUUAAGGUCGAAGGACAGAGCAUCAAAAGGUAUUCUUCUUCUCCUCCUCCUCCUCCUCCUUCUGUCUACGGUUUCCUUUCUUCAGCGAAUAAGUGCGCGAGCAAUCUUCAAUCCGUUGGAAGAACUCGCGCCCUGACUUGCUCGCUCAUUCUCUCACACGGAAACUAUCACUCUCGCACAUAUUCACACUCGUUCGCUCGGAGACAUCGUUUCCCUCGAAAAUUUUAGGCUCGAAGGAUCUGUGCUUGCUUAAGGGUUGAAGUCGACAGAGCGUUGAGAGCGUUGAAGGCAUUCAACUCUUUGCUAUUGGACAUAUUAAAUUACGGUCACCAUGUGCUCGAUGGUUUGUCUAGAAGUGAUCUACCUCAUAGGAACUGAAGUUGAAAUUUUCUAGGCUUAAUGAACUUGUGAAUUUGCUAGGUCUUUAGAAUCUUAUGGUUUGGAAUGAAUUUGAUCAUGGCCAUAGGUGGAUAUGUCAUGACUUGGGAGUCUUGGACUUUGUUGAUACUUUCACGCCUAUCGGGUAAUUUGUCUUCUGUUGUCUACAGGGGCAUAUGAAGAAUGGGUGAUGAAAUUUGGAAAAACAAGACUUGUCCAUCCUAAUGGAAGUGUAAAAGUGCAGCGUGCUAAGGUGAAGUGUCGUGUUUGUGGGGAAGAGAAACAGAGGAGGAUUGAUAAUGCUUGUAGAGCUCUAUGACUUCUUCGGACAGCUUGCGUAGUUUGGCCAAAUUCAGCCACGAAGGUGCUUUUAGUUGGGUCAUUUGAUGGUUGAGCCACCCAGGUUAGUUCUCAUCAUUGAGAUCUAUGUAGUUCAUGGUAAACUUUGGAGUAGUUGUGAUUUUCUGUUGUGAACUGUUUGGUUGCACCAUAUAUUUGCUUUGAGCAGUUUAGCUACUGGAGUUAUAAAAAUCGAAAAUUCUUUAUGAAGAUAUGAAUGAAAGUUACUGAAUCAGAGUAGGCAAACAUCAUCUAUGAGCUAAUUAUUGAACUUAUAUGCAAAUUUUAUGUCAUGUUUAAAAAUAUUUUACUGAGGCAUUUCCAGAGAAGUGGAACAUUUUGUUAGGAUAAUGACUCGAUUGACAAAACCACUAGACACUUAAGUUUUCUAGGAGAAUUGCCUCGUAAACAUUUAAAGUAUUAGGAAUGACACUUGGGCAUUUAGUACAUCAUGAUUUUUCUAAUUAGUUCGUAGAUCAAGACAAUCAAUCUGAGCCACCUGGGAAUUUAUUAUGCUUAAUUGGACUGCUUGGGUGUUUUAUUAGAACUGUCAAACUAUGCAUGUAAAUUGUCAAAAAUGAGACUUGCAGAGCAGAUUGCGAAACGAGGGAAGUUUGGUACUUUGCAAGUAUCGCUUCACCAAUAUAAGUUACAUGUUACAUGAUAGUAUACUUUCCCCCUAACAUCAUGCUGGUUAUUUAUAGUUAUCUACAAUGUGCAAAAAAAAAAGAAACAGGAAAUGCUGCAGCUAAUAUUUUUAGCCAUAAAUAUAGUAUAAAAUUUGAUUUGCCCACUUUCUUUGGUCUAUUUGCUAAUUCCACAGGAUCUUGGUCCAGCUUAAACCUAGCCUUUUGCACUUCACCACAUUCAUCUUAUGGAAGAUUUAAAAGGAGCAGAAUGCCUAAGAGCUCGUGGUACAAAUCCUAAGCACAAAAUGUCCCAUAAACAGUAUACAAUUCACUUUGUAAACAGAGUAGCCUAGCUGCAAUCAACUCUUUAUUCAUUGUCAUGUCUAUGAUCAUAUUUUUUUGGGAAGCUCAAAUUCCCUUACUCCUAUUUUAUCAUUUUGGAUUAGUUCAAAUAGUUAUGUAUUUCAAAUAGGUUGUCAUGUGUUUAGAUAUUGGGAGCUAGAACUUAUUCUUUUCUUUAGAGCUUCUGAUUAAUAAGCUAUUGUUGUGUGAAAUGCUUCUUCACAAUGUGAAGUGUGUCGUCACUUUUUAUUAUGCCUUACAAAUAGUAGAGUUAUUGCUGUCUUACUAGGAAUUUGAUUAGCAUGAUAAGUCCAACACUGAACUUUAAAUGUCUAAUUUUUUGCUCUACCUCUGUUUUAUAGGAUUGGGCUGGUUGGGAUUCUAGGUUGAUUGUCGUUUUACUUGUGGAGAAUUGAAGUGUUGCAAGUUGAAUAAGAAGUAAUGGUGAGUUCAUUCAAUUGUUCACCCUUUACGUUUGAAUAUUGUUUUUAGUUUCCAGCGUAUGACUUUGUGUUUUUUACACAGAAUGAAAGUGAUAGUGACGAGGGUUCAUUAGACUUAUGUGAUAAUGAACUAUAUAUAUCCGAUGAUGAAGAGAUCAAUACAAGGGAGAUGAGGAAAGAAUUUAUGGAAGCAAUAAUAUAGGAGGUGGAUGAUAGUAGAGACUUACCUGAAGGUUCCAUCGAUAUAAGAAUGGAGGAGGAGGUUGGUGCUGUUCCACACGAUAGGGGGGAUGAUGAUGAAGAUGCAAUAUUGGAUGAUGAACUUCUAAGUGGUCCCGAUAUUGAUGAUUCUGAAGAAACUAAUAGCACAAUUGGACAAAUGGUUAAUAGGUAUGAUCCUAUGUGUGACCAUAAUGAGAAUAUGUUUAGUCUAGGCAUGAGAUUUGAAUCUCAUGAACAGUUCAAGAAUGUUGUGCGAAAAUAUGCUGUGAUUAAUGGAUUUGACAUUUUUUGGCCAAGGAGUCAAAAGAAAAGAAUGGAAGCAAAGUUUGCAAGUGAUUGUGGUUGGAGGUUGUAUGGUAGUUGGGUUCAAGCUGAGAAAACUUUUGAAAUAAAGAGAGUUGGAAGUCUGCAUAGCUGCAAUAGAAGCCUCACAAACAGGCAAGCCACUUCUACAUGGCUUGCUCGAGAGUACAUGCCUAAGAUUAGAGCCAGACUCACUUAUUCAGCUACUGAAAUGCAAACAGAUGCAAGAGAAAGGUUUGCCCUGAUCCUGAACAAAAAAAAAAAUGCUAUAGAGCCAUAUGGACAGCCCUUAGUCAUAUAAGAGGGCCUAUAGGAAAGCAAUAUGAUAUGCUAAGAUCUUAUUUGGAGGAGCUCAAGAGAGUUAGCAAAAAUGGAACAUUCAUGAUGGAGGUCAACCCAGCAACCAAAGUAUUUGAGAGGUUUUAUGUAGGCUUUGAUGAGUUGAAAAAUGGGUUUUUAGCAGGAUGUAGGCGUGUCAUAGGCUUGGAUGGGUGCUUCCUUAAGACUGGAUUGGAAGGUAUGUUAUUAUGUGCUAUUGGACGAGAUGGAAACAAUCAAAUGUUUCCAGUAGCUUGGGCAGUUGUGGAAGUUGAGUCCGAGGCAUCAUGGACUUGGUUUCUCACUCGGUUAUUUAUUAACUUGAAUGUGGGCACGGGUGAAGGUUGGACUUUUAUCAGUGAUAAGCAAAAUGUGAUAUCUCGCUUUUUUAUUUUAUUACCAUUACACUACACUAGUACAAUCAUUGCUGUGACAUAUUUCUUUUUCAUUGGUUGAUUUUGGUUGCAGGGAUUAAUGAAUGCAGUUUCAUGGCUAUCGCCACAAGUAGAACAUCUAAAUUGUGCAAGACAUAUAUAUGCUAAUUGGAAAAAACAACAUAAAGGGGAUGCUUUGAAGAAUCUCUUCUAGAGGGCUAUGAGAUGUACUUUUGAAGCUGAUUUUGACUUGGUAAUGGUAGAUUUGAAGAUGGAGUGCCCUAAAGGUUAUGAAGACUUCAUGAGACAAGACCGUAAGCACUUCUGCAAGGCUUUCAUUAGGACAUGUACUAAGUGUGAUGCAGUUGAAAAUAAUUUAAGUGAGACUUUUAACGGAUACAUUUGCAUACCGAGAGCAAAACCCAUUCUUGAGAUGCUUGAAGAAAUGCGAGCCAUGUUGAUGGAAAGGAUGACAGAGAGAAGCCAAUUAAUGGUUGAUCGAAUGGAUCCAAUUUGCCCAAGAAUUAGAAUGAAGCUGGAGAAAACUAAACUGGAGUCUAGGUAUUGUUUUGCUAGAGCAUCUUUGGGGAAUAAAUUUGAGGUUGAAGGGGAUGGCAAUAGAUUUGUGGUUGACUUGGCUAGAAAGACUUGUGCUUGUAGGGAAUGGGAUAUCUCUGGAAUAUCAUGUAGACAUGCCAUAUGUUGCAUUGCUUUUAUGAAGUUAGAGAUCAAUGAUUAUGUUGAUGAUUGCUUUAAGAAAGAUGCUUAUGAAAAUUGUUAUAAAUUUCCCUUCCCGGUCAUGAAUGGGGAAAAAAUGUGGCCCAAAGUUAGUGGUGAGCCAAUCAAACCCCCACCUUACAGAAGGAAAAGGGGUAGAGAGAAGAAAAAUAGAAUCAAGGAUAAGGAUGAGCGAAGUAGUGAUGGUAAGAAGUUGACGAAGGUUGGAAUUCAAAUGCAAUGUUCAAAUUGCUUUCAAUAUGGGCAUAACAAGAAGACAUGCAAGAAUCCUAUGACAUCAAGGCCACCCAAAGUAUGUCUUAUUGGACAAUUUUGUAAUUGUUAAUUAAGAUUUUUGUUGGGUUUUUAUGAAUGAUAACAUUGCUAUUUCUUGUGUUUUUCCACAUGUAGGCAAAAAGAGGAAGAUCAAAGAAAGUUGAUGAAGCUAGUGGUGCACAGGCUAGUUCACAGGCCAAUAGACCAUCUAAUAGGGACUCCACUAUCAUCAGGAAGGAGAAAGCACAGGCUAGUGCUUUAUCAAGCAUAAUUUUACUUUCAUAUCAUGUGUAUAUUGUCAUUAAUGUUUUAUGCUCAUUUUGUUUCUUUAGGCUUGACAAGGUUAUGGACUUUUCAUAUCCGAAGCUACUGGGAAUUCUUAUUUAAGGGUAAUCUCUAUCUAAAGUUUAUAUAUAUAUUGAAAAGAAAAGUGAGUUCAUUUGUUUUUUUUUCUUGUAGAUGCCUGGUAGUGAUAAAGUUAUUGACAUUGGAGGUCCAUCUAUUUCCAAGAGGCAAACAAGAGCAAGGAAUGUCGUUGAAGUUUCACUAGGCCAAUCUUCCAUUGAUGUCUCGGAACCUCCAUGCACUCAAGAAUCUGGAAUUGGUGGUUAAAGAUGCAAUUGUGGACCUUGAAAUGCUUGUGUAGUGCCUACUACUUGAUGUUGAGUUGUAGACCAAAAAGUGCUAGUUUGAUGUUGUCUAUAGGUUAAUUUGGCUAUGCAUUGUGUUUGGGGAUUUGGCAAUGUCCUUUUGUAUUUGCGAUAUUUUUGCUAUGCACUAUGUGUUUCAGCUGGUUCAGAAAGCUUGACAAAAGUGAGUUUGGAACAUUUGGAUUUUGCAAACUUAGUUUUUGUAGUUUACAUCUUCAAGGGAGAGUUUGAUUUGAAUCUUGUUGAACCAGUUUCUAGCUUAUGAAUAUUCUUCACAUCGAGUGCAAACUGGUUGAGCUGAUCAGGAGCGAUGUGAUUUGUAAUUUACAUCUCGGCAUGCUUGAAUAAUUGUGCAUAUGGUGUGGAAUGAUAAGCGUCUCGAAUUCUGGAAAUGUAGGCACUAUGGCAGGAUGAGGAGGGAAAUUUCCACAAUGACAAUGCAAUUCUGACUGAUAAGACAAGGGAAACAGAUUCGGUUUUAGCAUUUUUCUUCCUUACACAAUUUGUGCAGGCUUGACCAUGUACAGAUAGUUGUAUUUGCAUAUGUUAGCAUCAGUCUUGUUAAUUUCAGUCUUGAAUUUUUGACACUUACUCAUUAAUAUCAUCAACCAACUUCGAUUCAACUUGCUGGGACAUACCGCUCCUGCCCAGGCUGGUUCACUGCUCUUGGUAGGCCCAUUUCUGGACUAUUGGAUGACAAGCAAGAGAGUUGACGCUUAUGACUACACCUCAGUUGCUGUGCUAAGCCUACAUAUUCAUAGUCUUUAAAGUAACAUUUUAGUUGUCUGCAUUGCAAUAAACUGAGCCUUUGCUCUCUGAAUCUUGUGCUACAAGUAAUAUAUGUAAUGUACAAUUUCCUUGCUCCAGUUAGAUUCGUAGAUGAGGCUAGCACUUUGUUGAGGUAUAUUCUAACAGUGUUUAACCUGAUUUAUUGGACAUUCUAGGAAUGUGCUUGCCUAUAUUUGACCUGUUGAUGAACCACAUGCACCUUCCUACUGUUGUUGUUCUUGUUGGAGUUCAGAAACUGAUGUUGGCCUCCUUACAGUUUUAUUUACCAGGGACCAGAUAACUUUCAUGACCAGUAUGGAUGUCGUGGAUAUCAUACACUUAAUAUAUGGGAUUUUGAUAUUGCUUCUUUGAUUUUGUUUCAUCUUUGAGUUUCCUAGCCACAGAAAAUUGAUGUUUCAUAAGAGGGAAACAUAAAGACUCGAGGUUGUGUUGAAUGAUACCAUAAGAAUGGGCAGUUACUCUAUUAAAGCUUCUCAAUUAGUUCUAAUCACGAAGAGCAGUUACUCAACUCCUGCUUUUCUUGUUGGAUUUUGCAGAUGUUUAUUAUUCUAUCCUGCACCAUUGCUGUGGGGACUAAUCUCAGCCAGUUCAUGCUGCAGCUUUCAGUCCCAGUCAUUUAGGGUUCCUACUUAGGUGAAGUGACUUUUUAUUGAGCGGUCAUCUAUCUCUAUUCUGAGUUGCCUUAUUACUGCUUGGUAACGAACUGAUGUGCAUUUAAAUUAAAUUAAUUAUCAGAAAUACCAAACCUACUGAAUAAAGGUUCAAGCGUCAUCAGGAAAUUAGUUUUAGCCAAUUAAUUUUGCCUGUGAUCGGAAGUAGCCAAAUUUUUUUUUUUAAUUGGCUUUUGGACAGUUACAAAAAUCUAUCUUCAAAUUUCAUCUGUCAAUUGCACUUUGCAUCUUAUAAUAUUUAAACAUACACUCGGCAAGUCAUACUUUAAAAUCCUAGACGUCGGAUUCUGCAUUUUCUGGAAGAGACCUCAUACUUUCCACCUGGUAUUUUCAUAAUUAUUUCCUAGUUUUUUCAAGUCUCGGGUGCAAUGUUAAAUGUUCUAAAGUAAGUUUUUCCAAAUGGUAAAUAAGGGGAAGAGGAGCAUUUUCAUCUUGCAUGGAAGUAGCGUGGGGAGGACUCCUGUCGCGUAGAAUUGAUCAAAUUCAUGCGGUCCGUUUCCCUCGUUUGAGGAUAGAAAUGUGUGGGUUCUCUUUUAACUGUUAUUAUGACGAAGCAUGAUGAAAUCCGAGCGGCAGCUCCAUGGUCUGUUUGAGGGGAUGGACCAUAACGGAUGGUGGCGUUUCCAUUUUACCCACAACUCUUAUGUAAAAUUGCUGUAACGCACAAAAUGGUAAAGCUUUACAAUUAACGGACAAGAUUUAUUUCUUUUUUCCUUUUUUUUUCCUAUUCGAUUGGUCAUCGAGGAGUUGGGAUCGAUCACCCAACAUCCGAGACGAAGAUUCAGACAGCAGAGGCUAAAAUAGAGAAUAGCCUCUUUCUCUCGUCUGCCAAUCCGAGAAUGACAGUGAAACAAAAACGUGCAAUGAGCAAAACGUGCGAUGAGCAAAGGAAGGUGAAUGUGUCCCCUAGUCAGUUCAUGUGGCACGAUAAGGGUUGAAGAUUCUAAUAUACACAUAACAUUACCUCAACAGGACAAUCUGGUGGACCAAGCAAAUAUCGAGUAAACGAGACAGGGAUGCCAGAUAGAUCAACGUCCACGCCUUCGUGGCUGUCAGUGAAAGAUUCAAAGGUGGAGGCUAGUAAUGUACAACCAACAACCGAAAAAGACUGGAAUGCGAAUCUUGGACUUGUCGAUUGUUAUCAAAAUUGAACAUCUCAAUGGCUUCCACGGAAGGAAUGUAAGAGGAUAAAGAAGAUAAAGCCCCUCGUCACCGCAAAACACCCAAAUAACCAGUGUCCUUUCCCCCCACGAUUUGAAGUAUUAUCGUCUAGCAUUAAAGUAGUUCAGACCUUUGCAAGUCCACUUUAGAUGGCGACAAUUAUAUGCAAGUUGGGUACUUAACAUUCAUCUAUUGAUCCCCGAAGUUUCAUAUGCCUGAGUGACAGCCGAAUUUUGAUGGCAACACCUGAUAUACUAUCACAUCCCAUAAAAAUGACAGAAUACAUGUCCAAUUUACUUGCAAGCUGUAUGGAAUCAAUGACAUUGUUAGUUAUGGUCUAAGUUUCAGUAGCUUUUGGUGAAUGUGCCCCCAUUGAUUCAAAGGCCUAAAAUUUGUUGAAAAGAUGCCAAUCAAUGUGGUAUAUACAUAUCAAAAGCCUGGCAUAAGUUUACAAUUGUGUAAAAGAAAAGGGCAGAAGGAUCUAUGUAAUCAUCCUCCAUCAGUUAUAAGACAACGAAUCUUCUCAUGUAAAUGUUUGUGUCAGCUCUCUCUUUCGGAUGGCUUUGUGAUAAUGAGCAAGUUAUUCUCAUAUCCAUUGUUAUGAACAAUUGGUUGCAAUGGAUUGAUCCUCCAUGUUCCAUCGACUAUGAACUUUAUCUGCAUCAGGAAGACCACGGAGGUUAUGAAGCUCAUCCAGAGACAGCAAUUGCUUGUAAUUUUAGACCGCCUUAGACUAAAUUGAGAGAAGACCUACCUCAUAUCUUCCAGGAUACAACUGGAGGCACAUGGAGAAAACUCCGGUGCUCGACUUCUCCAUCUUUCCCUGCAAUGAAGCACAUUACUCUACUGAGCAUCAUUUAGAGAAAGCUACUCAUAUGUAUGAACCACAGAACAUAAAUCUAAAAGCAUGAAGUCUGAAGAACUUCUCAACUCAUAUAAAGCGGAUCCCAACCUCCUUUCUUUUAACCAGUGCACAUGAUGGGAUAAUAUGCGCAUUGGUGAGGAUUAAUCGAGUUGAUAUGUUUAGAUCUAGUGUUAAGACAAAAACGAAACUUUCACAAAGACAAAAAGAAGAAAUGUUAUUAAGUUAAAUUUGUUAAGACGCCAAAGGCUUGAGAAUCACCGAUGCUUCAAACAAAAGGUUGACUGCCUGAUUUUUGAAGGCAAGAUGGACUAGACAUGCAUUGACCGCACAGAUAAUAACAUCCUACAAAAAUGCUUUGCGCUCCUACUCGGCAUGGAUGAAACAACAAUUUAAUAAACUUGAAAAUUAUGAGUAAAGAUCGAUUCAUGUGCCUGAUUCACUCAAUAUCAUCCAAUCUGGGUACGAAAGAUAUGAAGCCAUGGGGCAUUUUCAUAGUCACGGUACCAAACUUCCACGAGCAAAACUGAAAUGUAAAACUCAUAUGUACGCCACAACUAGAGCUCCACGGGCAUUAUACCAUGCUAUUGCAGGUAGAUUCUAAUUUGACUGCCUAUCACAUCUGCAAUGAUUUGAAUACCAGUCCAUACUACCUAAACUGCUCAAAGCAAAUAUAUGGUGCAACCAAACAGUUCACAACAGAAAAUCACAACUACUCCAAAGUUUACCAUGAACUACAUAGAACCCAAUGAUGAGAACUAACCUGGGUGGCUCAACCAUCAGAUGACCCAGCUAAAAGCACCUUCGUGGCUGAAUUUAGCCAAACUACGCAAGCCGUCCGAAGAAGUCGUAGAGCUCUACAAGCAUUAUCAAUCCUCCUCUGUUUCUCUUCCCCACAAACACGACACUUCACCUUAGCACGCUGCACUUUACACUUCCAUUAGGAUGGACAAGUCUUGUUUUUCCAAAUUUUAUCACCCAUUCUUCAUAUGCCCCUGUAGACAACAGAAGACAAAUUACCCGAUAGGCGUGAAAGUAUCAACAAAGUCCAAGACUCCCAAGUUAUGACAUAUCCACCUAUGGCCAUGAUCAAAUUCAUUCCAAGCCAUAAGAUUCUAAAGACCUAGCAAAUUCACAAGUUCAUUAAGCUUGGAAAAUUUCAACUUCAGUUCCUGUGAGGUAGAUCACUUCUAGACAAACCAUCGAGCACAUGGUGACCGUAAUUUAAUAUGUCCAAUAGCAAAGAGUUGAAUGCCUUCAACGCUCUCAACGCUCUCAACGCUCUGUCGACUUCAACCCUUAAGCAAGCACAGAUCCUUCGAGCCUAAAAUUUUCGAGGGAGACGAUGUCUCCGAGCGAACGAGUGUGAAUAUGUGCGAGAGUGACAGUUUCCGUGUGAGAGAAUGAGCGAGCAAGUCAGGGCGCGAGAUCUUCCAACGGAUUGAAGAUUGCCCACGCACUUAUUCGCUGAAGAAAGGAAACCGUAGACAGAAGGAGGAGGAGGAGGAGGAGAAGAAUACCUUUUGAUGCUCUGUCCUUCGACCUUAAGGAAGCAUAAAUCCUUCGAGGCCAAAACUUCCAACGGAAAGGACAUCUUCGAGCGAUCAAACGUGUGUAUGUACAAGAGCGAGCGUCUCCGUGUGAGAGAAUGAGCGAGCAAGCUAGUGCGUGAGAUCUUCCAAAGGAUUGAAGACUCCUGCGCCUGAACUCACCGACGAAAUGAAACCCUAGAAAUUUUUUUCCCCAAACUCAUGAGCCGUGUGUUCAAAGAAGAAGAGAAAGAAGAGAAAGCCCAGAACAAUUUUGCCUUGUUAGAUUAUCUGACGUGGAAAUGCCAGGUCGGAUGAUCGUGAAGGAGAGUUAACGGCAGGCCAGAUUUGGGACACUAGUGAAAGUUGGUACUUUUUUUUCUAGACAAAAUAAAGUUUGGCUAGAUUUGUCCCAAACCCUAAAGUUCGUGCUUUUUUAUGGAAUUGGCCUGAAAAUCAUGGGAUCUAAAGCUCAGUUAACAAGAGGAAUUAAAAAAAAAAAAAACACUAAAGACAUUGUGUCAAUAUCGUUGACCGGUAAGAAUCAUUAAUAUUGAUAUUUCUGCCGUUUGUUUAAGGGCUAUGCUAGUAGGUCACAUGACACAUCCAAUGACGUUUUCACUACACAUGUUCAUUUUUUUUUCUAUAGUGAUAUAGUCAGUUAUUAAAAUGUUGUAUUUUUUUCCCUUUUUGUUGCAAAUUUCCCUUCUAUAAAUCAUGAACACGAACACGAGCACAAAUUUUUUUCGUCGAAAUAAGUGGUCUAUUCAGCACGUGCUGAUACCUUCAAUUAUUUUCUAUAUCGUGAAUAAAUUAUUAAGUAAUGAUUGGACAAAUCAUUAAAAAGAAAAAUCUCUUAACGAAAAGUAUCCUAGAUUAUCUCGCGAGCGUAUGCUGAAAUCUAGACAUACAUUAUUGUAUUUUAGGGUACAAGAUUGGCUCUCUCUUUGUCACUGAUUUUGUAAGUGUCCUAUUGCCUUUGGAUGGUAAUUCUUUUUGUAACCGUUCGACUUUAAAAUCGGCAGUGACCAGGAGUAACCAUCAUCGAUCAAGCCCUCUUAAGUGAACACUUAAAAAGAAUUAGUCUCUUAAUCACUGGAAUUGUGUUAAAUCAGAGGCAUUAUUUAUAGAUAUCAUGAAUAAUGGGAAAAUUUCCAAAAAGAUCCUAAAUCUAUUGCACUUUAACCAAUUAAAUCAUAAAUCUUUUAAUUACGUCAAUUGAAUCCUCAACCUUUUCACAUUUCGCUAACUGAGUUUAUUAGACCAAUUUUAAGAAAAAAUCAUUGAUGUGAAUGCCGGCUAUAUUUUGUAAGAUGGUCGAUACUAAUGUUGGCAAAUUCUUAUAAUUUUUUUAAAGAAUGGAUUUUUUUUAAUUUUUUCUUUUUAUAUUUUACCGUGGCUUGUGAGAGUUGUCGGGUCCUUGCACCUACUAGCAAAGACAGUGACCCUCGCCGGACUUGGUGAAAAAAAGUAAAGGAGGAAAAGAGAAGAAAAGAAAAAAUGGAAAAAGAAGAGAAAAAGGUUCAUAAAAAUUCAAAAAAAAUGUUUAAAAUGUUUUAAAAAUAUUUUAAAAAUUCUCCACAUUAGUGCCGCUUGUGCCACUUAAGAUAACGAGUAUCCACAUCAGCGAUUUCCUAACAAAAUUGACCAGAUGAACUCAAUUGGCAAAAUAUGAAAAUAUUUAAAAUUCAAUUGGCAUGACUGAAAGAUUAAUGACCGAAUUGAUAAAAGUACAAUGAGUUUUUUAUGGUAAUUUUCCCAUGACUAACUAGCAUCUCUCUUCCAUCCUGAUUCUGAUCAUAGUUUAAACAGGCAAAGUCCCAAACUUAUCUAAAGAACUUAAAUCUCCGAAAGAGAUGCAAUAUCAUAGUAUAAAGUUCAAAUUUAUGACUUGUGUCCAAUCACAUAGCGUUGCUGCAACAGAUAGUUUGGAGACAUGUUUCAGCUGGUCUUCUUAUAUGCUAAACAUGAUAUCAUAAACAAACCACUAAGAAGGUUAGUUAGUAACCUUUAUUUUAUCGUUUGCCAAGCAUGUCAUUCCAUCAUCUUUCAAUAAAUUCUCGAGUGGCAUUUGUAGAGAAAAGUUUUCAUCUCGGCUCACUGGCAAACUGAAAAUUGUAAUGGUCAUGAGUAAACGGUCAGGAUGAGCAACGAUAUUUAAAAGCACUUGUGUAGUUCUUCGCCCGUUAGUAUGCUAAACAUGGAACAUGUCGAAUCAACAUCAAUUUAACACUGUCUUUACUCGAAUAGCUACAGAACUAUGUAAGAAAACACAGGGAACAAGAAGAGAAUCCCGAAGCUCUAGACAUGGCAUGACCAUGAAAACUCCACCGAGAUCUGGUUUUUUGUCCUCGGAGUAGAUGUGAAAAUGUUGCAGAAUUAAAGAAUAAGCAAAGAUUCUUCGUAUCUAGUACUGUAAGCUUGCUCGAUAUAGAGUGAAACAAAGGGACAUUGCAUAGAGUUUGCACCUAUAUGAAGUUCACGAUGGCUGGGAGCAAUCUGCGCCACAUGACCUCAACUUAAGUGCAUCGCCGUAUCAAUAAUCAGUUCUUCCACAAGUAGAAUUUAUACGCAAUUUACGCUCGAAUUGUCCUCUAUUCACCCUUCACUUGGGGACGGUUUUCCAUGAAACUCUUCCAGCUCCUCGAACCUGUUAUCGAGGGCUCUUCUAAGUGAGGCCAUCUGUAUAUGAUCGUUUUCUUCUGGAAGUCGGUUUAUGGAGACCUUGAAGUUCAGCCUAUGAAUUUUGCUGUACACUAGACAGGUCCUGUUGUCGUACUUCGAACACUUAUGUGAGGUUUCAAUUGUUCUCGCCUUCCUCUCAUGGUGCAGCAGAGGAACAAAUGUCAAAGGAAUUGGAAGAGACAGUUCCACAGCCUCCUGUCACAAUGAAUGGUCUUUCUCAUCAGGAUGAUUCUCCAAUGAGCGUGAUGAACUGCAGGAAUAAGUAAGAAACUCGAUUCUUGAGAUGUUUCUGUCUCAUAUCGUUUACUUUUUCUCCAUUGCGUCGAACAUAGUACCUACUCUAGUGAUUAGCUUAACUUUCCAUUUCAAUCUGAAAGCUACUCACCUACAUUUAUAGGAUUCUUAAUAUAAAUCACCUGCUUGUGCACACUAUCUUACGUGGCGAAUUCUGUCAUCUGCACUAGUUUAAAUACAUGCAUAUUCGAGAGCGCAAGUGCCUUUGAUGGCUUAUGGCCUGAGGCAUGGCGUAAUUGUUUUUUUUGCCUCGUCAAAAGUGUUGCGCAGAGGACCUGAAUAUUCUUUUGAUAGGAAUCGUCUGUUUAGAUGAUCAUAACUGCUACCAUUGGUAGAACAUACUAUCAAUAACAACAUGAUAGUCGCGGUGUGCAUUCUAGUUGAACAUAGUUUUGACUUCGAGUUGUGAUGCUAACUGCGCUCGCACUUGUGGUUCUAAAAUGUUGAUAAACAGAGCUGAAUCUGACAACCUACUAGCCAUUCCUGUCGGUUUUGUUGGAUCAGAAGAGGUGGUAAGGUCUGCUCCACAUCUUGUACCUGGCGGUAAUCUUAAUUGUCCUUCAUUGGAAGAACAAGGAAUGAGAAUAAAUACUGCAUUAGACGCUGCACAUGCACCAAUUUCUCAUCUCUCGAACCUCAUUGACGAUGGCCACCGGGCUGCAAACUUCAGGGGACCUUUCCAACCAUCAGACUUUUAAUGGCUCGAGGCUUGAGCCACUUGGAUUCAUACCCUAUCCCUUACUUUCUCUGAAGGUAUUUAUGAUAUUUAACACUUAGCUCGACAUUCUGCGUCGUCGAUCUUACUUGGUUUGGACUACCUACUGGCGAAUCUCUUCAUGUAAAGGUUUGGCUUGGAAUAUCACUUGUCAGCAUAGUUGCAUAGACAUGGCGGUUCUGUUCUUUUACCCAUCAGUGCAUUCGACUCGUGGUGCAACAAAUCUGAAAAAAGCUUUUAUAUGCUAUUUGAGAGUCAGCUUUCAGCAGUGAUCUCGAACAAUUUCGUGUUCUCCAAACCGAGACUUGUUCAGAGUCAUUGAAAGCCUUCAAUUUCUGACCUUGUACUAGGAAGGUCCUUCCUGCUUUAUCUGUUUCUACAUACUUUAAAAACUAUCUAAAGUAAUUGAAAAGACCAUGCGGAAAAAGUUAAUUGCUGCUGUACUUGGCGAGGCAACCCAAGUUUAAGUAGCAGCAUGCACUUUUGCUACUUCUCUAUGUAUUCUUACUCCUGAUGAAUGGCGUUGUUUGUAGCUUCCAUUCAGGAGUACCUUGCUAAUUCGGGAUCAGGUCAGGGUUCUCUGUCAGCAAUAUCCGAGUGAAGUGGAUAUCGCGCGUUCCUUAUCAGCAUCGGUGUCUGGAGGAAUGUUUGCUAAGCAAGAAAACUCAUGUGCAGGGGACAACAGUGAGGAAUAUAGUACUUGUUCGGAAGAAUGUAAGGCACCAUCUCAUGACUUAUCAUCGAGUGAAUGCACAAAUUCUUACUGCAUUGAGAUAUUGUGCUUUUGUAAUACAUCACAUCCUCUAACAUGACAUCACGUGUUCAAUUUCUAUUCAUCGUAAGGGCAAAAAUUGAUAGCCACAAUCGUUCAUCGGUUAGGCUAGGACCCAUCUAGAAACAAGAGGUCGAAGUCAGAGAUUGCUUGAGCAGGUAGCUGAUGUCGAGCUGGUUGAUUGAGCGGGGGUUGAAGGGUGGGGGUGAGAGCUUUUGAUGGAAACGAGAGAGAUUCGUUGCUCAAAAUGCAAACAUUAACAUGAAGAAAAAAUUACAUUGUUAUGCCAAGAGGAUUCACACGAAACAAAAAUUAUAACGAAUGCCAUACGACAUUCAUUGUCAUUUAUGAAACAUGGACAUAAUGAGUUUAAUAGAAAACACCGAUGCUAUAUGAAAAACAUGUAAAAGCUUCAUAGAUUACAUUAUCAAUGAUGGUACAUGCUGAUAGUAUUAAUUAUAUUUCGCAUCUCAUUUCUACAAGAAGAGAAUAAUCACACAAUACAUGAUUUCGUAAACUCAUUGUCGUGGUCAAAUUGGUAACUGCCAAAAAUUAUCAGAGCACUUGAUGAAGAUGAGACCAUUUCAAGUUCUAUCUCAUUGUUGUCAUCAUCAAUUGGUGCCUCUGUCGGAUAUAAAAGCGGUUUUGGAGGUAGUUGUAGUUUAUCGAUAUCUCCUUCAAGCAUAUCUAGAACUUUCCUCAUUGAUGGCCGAUCAUUAGGGCUCAGCUGUAUGCACCAUAGCGCACGAUUAUCAUCUUCCUUGUUUCUCUUUCCUCUUCUAUGACUUCUACCCUCUCAACCUCCUUUUCUUUGCUGAGUUGAUCAUAAACCCACAAAGGAAAGUAAAUUUGACUUGAAUGCUCUGCAUGUGCAUUUAUAUUUCUCCUUCUACCGGCCAUUUCCAUUAACAUCAUCCCAAAGCAGGGGAGACUGCUUGAGUAUGCCCCGCAUCCAUGUCUUCUGGCUUGAUGUUCGGGAAGGUUACGAGAGAACUAACUGCCAUCUCCUAAAAGCUGCACAGCAGAAACUAUAGAGUUAUCCUCAGCUUGACCUCUGGCUCUCUCUUUCUUAUCUGAAUCAUAUAAAGAAGCUCCACCAUCCAUCUCAGCCUCAGUGAUCUCGCAAUGGGAAAAAUCAAAUGAAUGAUCAGCGGAAUUCAUCACAUGAAGAGUUUCAGCAUUCAUACUGGCAGGAGAAUCAUAAAAUUCGAAAGGAAAUACAGACUCAGCCUUGCUUGAUGUUUGUGUAUUGGCAGAUGGUGUGCUCUUCCAAAUGACAAAGUAUUCUAGGACAAGAAUGGAAGCAAGCAAAAAGACAAGUGCUGGCCAUAAUAUCUGAAUGACAUUGCGAUUUAGAAGUAUGCAAGCAGCGAGAAGUAUAAUAUAUAGCAUAGAAAUGGCAUUUAACAAAGCAAAGGAGGCAAGGAGCAAGGCCACCAUGUUUAUUUCGACGCCAAAGAGAUUAAACAUGUUCUCCAUCCAAAAAUUUAUACAGACUAUGAAGAUUGUCUUCUGCGUUUCAAAUCUCUCCCUUCUCAUGGUGAUAAUCCUUUUCUUGUUCCAUUUGUGGCUUUCGCUGGUGCUUCCCCAAAUAUAUCCUAAUGAAUAUUUUCUAGCAUGGCCAGCCGCAGAGCCUCCAGCUUUGGGUACAUUAUUUGAUGCCUGAGAAAAACCAGAGGAUGAGGAAGACAAAUUGUUUCUCAUGCCUUCUGCUUCACAAGGAAUUGCAGGCGAAUCUACAGGUGGCUUGCUUUCCCCGUUUGAAUUAGAAAAAUCCCUAAACACUUCUUCUCCUGAUACAAACAGAGGGCAAGGUUCUUCGGUGUAAUCUUUGCUCAAAAUGUGAGUUGGUACUUUUUGCAACCAACGGAAGAAAUUCUAUUGAAGGGUACAAGCAGAUAUCGCCAGCACUUUUCCCCUUAAACCCAAUUCUUGAGCCCAAAAGCCUGACUGUAAUCACUCAAAACCCAAGAACUUGGCUGAACUUAUUCUGUCCAGGAAACAUUCUUGCCUCGGCACCCCACAUCUGAAAUAGACAUUCUGUCAUCACCAGAAUUCAUGUAUAAAGAAGGAAUAACUUUGAUGGGAUUCGAGAUGCUUUAGAGAAAAGUUUUCAUCUCGGCUCACUGGCAAACUGAAAAUUGUAAUGGUCAUGAGUAAACGGUCAGGAUGAGCAACGAUAUUUAAAAGCACUUGUGUAGUUCUUCGCCUGUUAGUAUGCUAAACAUGGAAAAUGUCGAAUCAACAUCAAUUUAAUACUGUCUUUACUCGAAUAGCUACAGAACUAUGUAAGAAAACACAAGGAACAAGAAGAGAAUCCCGAAGCUCUAGACAUGGCACGACCAUGAAAACUCCACCGAGAGCUGGUUUUUGGUCCUCGGAGUAUAAGCUUGCUCGAUAUAUAGUGAAACAAAGGGACGUUGCAUAGAGUUUGCACCUAUACGAAGUUCAUGGUGGCCGGGAGCAAUCCGCGCCACGUGACCUCAACUUAAGUGCAUCGCCGUAUCAAUAAUCAGUUCUUCCACAAGUGGAAUUGAUAUGCAAUUUACACGCGAAUUGUCCUGUAUCCACCUUUCACUUGGGGACGGUUUUCCAUGAAUCUCUUCCAGCUCCUUGAGCCUGUUAUCGAGGGCUCUUCUAAGUGAGGCCAUCUGUAUAUGAUCGUUCGCUUCUGGAAGUCGGUUUAUGGAGACCUUGAAGUUCAGCCUAUGAAUUUUUCUGUACACUAGACGGGUCCUGUUGUCGUACUUCGAACACUUAUGUGAGAUUUCAAUUGUUCUCGCCUACUUAUGUGAGGUUUCAAUUGUUCUCGCCUUCCUUUCAUGGUGCAGCAGAGCAACAGAUGUCAAAGGAAUUGGAAGAGACAGUUCCACAGCCUCCUGUCACAAUGAAUGGUCUUUCUCAUCUGGAUAGAUUCUCCAAUGAGCGUGAUGAACUGCAGGAAUAAGUAAGAAACUCGAUCCUUGAGAUGUUUCUGUCUCAUAUCGUUUACUUUUUCUCCAUUGUGUCGAACAUAGUACCUACUCUAGUAAUUAGCUUAACUUUUCAUUUCAAUCUGAAAGCUACUCACCUACAUUUAUAGGAUUCUUAAUAUAAAUUACCUGCUUGUGCACACUAUCUUGGCGAAUUCUGUCAUCUGCGCUAGUUUAAAUACAUGCAUCAUUCAAGAGGCGGUAAGGUCUGCUCCACAUCUUGUACCUGGCGGUUGUCUUGCUUGUCCUUCAUUGGAAGAACAAGGAAUGAGAAUAAAUGCUGCAUUAGACGCUGCACAUGCACCAAUUUCUCAUCUCUCGAACCUCAUUGCCGACGGCCACAGGGGCUGCAAACUUCAGGGGACCUUUCCAACCAUCAGACUUUUAAUGGCUCGAAGCUUGAGCCACUUGGAUUCAUACCCUAUCCCUUACUUUCUCUGAAGAUAUUUAUGAUAUUUAACACUUAGCUCGACAUUCUGCGUCGUCGAUCUUACUUGGUUUGGACUACCUACUGGAGAAUCUCUUCAUGUAAAGGUUUGGCUUGCAAUAUUACUUGUCAGCAUAGUUGCAUAGACAUGGCGGUUCUGUUCUUUUACCCAUCAGUGCAUUCGACUCGUGGUGCAACAAAUCUGAAAAAAGCUUUUAAUAUGCUAUUUGAGAGUCAGCUUUCAGCAGUGAUCUCGAACAAUUUCGUGUUCUCCAAACCGAGUGUUCAGAGUCAUUGAAAGCCUUCAAUUUCUGACCUUGUACAAGGAAAGUCCUUCCUGCUUUAUCUGUUUCUAGAUACUUUAAAUACCAUCUAAAGUAAUUGAAAAGACGAUGCGGAAAAAGUUAAUUGCUGUUGUACUUGGCGAGGCAACCAAAGUUUAGGUAGCAGCAUGCACUUUUGCUACUUCUCUAUGUAUUCUUACUCCUGAUGAGUGGCGUUGUUUGUAGCUUCCAUUCAGGAGUACCUUGCUAAUUCGGCAUCAGGUCAGGGUUCUCUGUCUGCAAUAUCCGAGUGAAGUGGAUAUCGCGCGUUCCUUUUCAACAUCGGUGUCUGGUGGAAUGUUUUCUUAGCAAGAAAACUCAUGUACAGGGGACAACAGUGAGGAAUAUAGUACUUGUUUGGAAGAAUGUAAGGCACCAUCUCAUGACUUAUCAUCGAGUGAAUGCACAAAUUCUUACUGCAUUUAGAUAUUGUGCUUUUGUAAUACAUCACAUCCUCUUAACAUGACAUCACGUGUUCAAUUUCUAUUCAUCGUAAAGGCAAAAAUUGAUAGCCACAAUCAUUCAUCAGUUAGGCUAGGACCCAUUUAGAAACAAGAGGUCGAAGUCAGAGAUUGCUUGAGCAGGUAGCUGAUGUCAAGCUGGUUGAUCGAGUGGGGGUUGAAGGGUGGGGGUGAGAGCUUUUGAUGGAAAAAAGAGAGAUUCGUUGCUCAAAAUGCAAACAUUAACAUGAAGAAAAAAUUAAACUGUUAUGCCAAGAGGGUUCACACAAAACAAAAAUUAUAAUGAAUGCCAUACGGCAUUCAUUGUCAUUUAUAAAAUAUGGACAUAAUGAGUUUAAUAGAAAACACCGAUGCUAUAUGAAAAACAUGUAAAAGCUUCAUAGAUUACAUUAUCAAUGAUGGUACAUGCUGAUAGUGUUAAUUAUAUUUCGUAUCUCAUUUCUACAAGAGGAGAACAAUCACACAAUACAUGAUUUCGUAAACUCAUUAUCGUGGUCAAAUUGGUAACUGCCAGAAAUUAUUGGAGCACUUGAUGAAGAUGAGACCAUUUCAAGUUCUAUCUCAUUGUUGUCAUCAUCAAUUGGUGCCUCUGUCGGAUAUAAAAGCGGUUUUGGAGGUAGUUGUAGUUUAUCGAUAUCUCCUUCAAGCAUAUCUAGAACUUUCCUCAUUGAUGGUCGAUCAUUAGGGCUCAGCUGUAUGCACCAUAGCGCAACGAUUAUCAUCUUCCUUGUUUCUCUUUCCUCUUCUAUGACUUCUACCCUCUCAACCUCCUUUUCUUUGCUGAGUUGAUCAUAAACCCACAAAGGAAAGUAAAUUUGACUUGAAUGCUCUGCAUGUGCAUUUAUAUUUCUCCUUCUACCGGCCAUUUCCAUCAACAUCAUCCCAAAACUGUAAAGAUCGGCUUUAUAAGAAAUGCCACCAAUGUCUUUGUAGAAUAGCUCAUGCGCCAUAUACCCCAAGGUUCCUCUUGCUGCAGUCAACGAUACUAUGCUAUGACCGAUGGGAUAAAGUCUUGCAAGUCCAAAAUCAGAAAUUUUCGGAGUGAAACUUUGGUCUAGGAGAAUGUUGUGAGGCUUGAUAUCAAAGUGUAGAAUUUGCAUAUCACAUCCCCGAUGUAGAUACUCCAUCCCUCUAGCUAUGCCAAGAGAGAUCUCAUGCAUUUUCUUAUAAUCAAGAGGAUCAUCACCAUUCUUAUUUGAAAUGUGUUUAUCCAAAGAGCCAUUCGGCAUGAAAUCGUAGACCAGAGCUUGUUUGGAGUAAUCGAAGCAAAAACCAACAAGUUGCACUACAUUGAUGUGGUUGAUCCUUCCAAUUGUGGCCACUUCACUAAUAAAAUCUUGGCCAUUAGAUUCUGGUUUGUUCAAAAUCUUAACCGCAACUUCAUUGCCACUUCUAAGGAUUUCUCUAUACACAGAGCCAUAUCCCCCCUCACCUAAUUUGCAUUUGAAAUUUUUUGUAAUCUUCUUGAUAUCCGAGUAAGAAUACCUUAUGGGCGAAAAGUUGUUGUGAACUUGUAGGAAUUCUUCGAUGUUUGCGUCGAUCGCCCGGUGCCUUCUCAUCCACUUAUAGAUUAGAAGUAUCAACACGCAUGGAGCUUCGAGUAUGAAUUUGUCUGCGACAUAGUUGGCUACAUAGAAAUUGUCCAUAGAUUAGCACAGUGCAAUAAACUUUUUGUAAACAUAAUUGUUUUUGAUCAGAGUACUUGAGAUCAUGAUAGUUGUGAGGAGAAAAGGCCCAGCAGUCUUACCCAUGAAAAAGGCGAGGCGCGAACCUGCAAGUUCCGCGUACCAACGCUUGGCCCGCGCAGAAGUAGGGGUGACUGCAACAGAUUAAUUAGAGUCGGUGAUCAAUCAAUGAAGAAUUAAAUUUAUCAUUUUAGCAGUUAAACAUAAAUCUAAUUUACUCUCCUUGACAGCGCUCAGAUCACAGUUAAUUCAAUUCACCUAUGGAAUCCAUGCCAUCGUAGCAUGAUUUUUUCUCUUGAAGAAAAGCGAUCUUGCUUUUGUUCACCUAUAUAUACCAAAUGAUUCAUAAGUUCACGUCUCGCUCCGCGUAAUUCUAAUUUACAAACGUCAUUCAAUACACGUGCAAUCUAUUUAACCGCAUAACAAUAACAGCCGUGCAAGGGACACGAGCAACAAUUAAAUCAACCAUUUUUCCCCAAACAAAAAUGAAGUAACAAUGUCAAAUCCAGAAAAGCUCCAAGAUUCGUAAAAUAAACGAGAGCAGUGCAUACCGACCCUACUAAGAAAUCUAUUUAAACUUUUCAACUUAAGUGAAGCGGCAAUUUUUUCUAUUAUGUUUUUAAAGAAACUAGUGUCAUAAUAUGUGGAUUUUAUUAAAAAUACCCAAUUAAAACCUGCCACGUCACUUGGUAAGUAAAUUUUGAUCAGAUCUCUCAGUGAAGCUAGCAUUUAAGGAAAGGAGGAGGAAGAAGAGAAAAAGAAAGAACAGCUUAAGGGAACGUUGCUUACUGAUAUAAUAGCCGCAGUACUCCUUUCGGAAUCCAAAACCUAAGAAGUGACAUGGAAAUAAUCUUUUCCAAGAAUUGUCGGGCGGAUAGGAGAGAUUGAGGCCCUGUUUGGUUCAGCAUUUGGAAUGCUCAUUUGGGCUCUAAAGUCCCUUGGCCAAAUGCAAAGGUGUUUGGUUCGGUUUUUUGCUCGACUUUGGCGAGAUACAAUUGUAUCUCCAAGUGGCUCUAAGGGCCUUUAGCCCAAUGUAGCUCUUGACGUCCUUUGGAAAGUUGCAUCUUCGAAAUGUAACUUCCGAUAUUGUUCAUCUCUUCGGUGGAAAAGCCGAUCGGCCGCCUGAAUAAAAAUAAAUAUAAAAAUAAAUAUGUUUAUAUUUUUUAUAUAAAAUAUAAAAUAUAUUUUUAUAUAAAAAUAUAAACAUAUCUAUUUUUUCAUAUUUUAUGUUUAAUAAAUAUAUAUUUAUAAAAAAUAUAAUAUAUAUUUUUAUAUAUUGUUUAUAUAGAUAUAAACAUAUCUAUUUUUUUCUCCAAUUGUUUUAUAUAAAUAUAUAUUUAUAUAUUUAUAUAAACAUAUCUAUUAUAUAUAUAUAUAUAUAUAUUUUAUGUUUAAUAAAUAUAUUUUAUGUUUAUAUAAAAAAUAUAAUCAUAUUUUUUAUUCAAGCUAUUAUAUAUAUAAACAUAUCUAUUUUUUAUAUAAAUAUAUUUUAUGUUUAUAUUUUUAUAUUUUUAUAUAAAAAUAUGUUUAUAUAAAAAAUAUAAACAUAUUUUUUAUUUGGGCUAUUUUAUAUAUAUUUCAUAUAUAUUUUAUAUAGAUAUAAACAUAUCUAUUUUUUUAUAUAAAUAUAUUUUAUAUUUAAUAAAUAUAUUUUAUGUUUAUAUUUUUAUAUUUUUUAUUCAGGCGGUUCGGCCGCCGGAUUCGGCGGUCUGGUGGCCGGACUUCAAAAAAAAAAAUAUAAACAUAUUUCUUCUUUUUUAAUUUAAUAAAAGUUAAUUACAAAUGCAAAUUCCACCAAACGGUAUUUUGGCAAAAGUUGUUUCUCAAUGCAAAUUUUACCAAACGACAUUUGCAUUUCGGAAAACCCCAUUCACCCAAAGGUAUUUGCAUUACUACAAAUACAUUCCCCAAAAGCCGAACCAAACGGGCCCUGAAUCCCUCGACCAUCUUGUUGUGGAGGUCCUUGUAUGGUAAGCUCCCAUUCUGAUCCCCUUUCCACCUUUAGUCUCUAAAAAAAGUAAAAAGUAAAAUAAACAAUUUUCAUCAAAAUGCAUCACGUUUUCUUUAAAUUGCAUCUCAUAUAGACAUUAGGAAAAUUUGCAUUACUAAUAUUAAAAAUUUUAAUUUUUUUUAAAAUUAAGAUUAGAAAAAAAAUUAACAAAAAAUAGAAACGCAUACGGGCCGGGCUAGGGGCCAGCCUUAGCCCGGCCAAUCCUUUUCCCUUUCUUUUUCCCCCUUGUGGCCCAGCCCGCUUCUGUUCCUUCUAUUUUACCCGCGCGGCCCACCUUUCUUCCUCCGCGACCCAGCUCGCUCUUCUUCCUCCUUCCUCUUCCUUCCCUCGCUUGGACUUCAGCUUCAGGACAAAACAGAGAGUGGGUCCCUGGCCGAAGGACGCGAGGACGUGAGGCUGCGCGUAACGUUCGCCCAGGAAUAUCGUGCGGUACAAAGCCAGCUGGUCUCGUCCUUGAAGAAAGAGAGAGAAACGAGAUAAAUGGGAGAGAAAGGCAGCAAAGGGAAGGGGGGUCUCUUUGGUUUUAUUGGGUUUGUUCGGCCGAGGAAGAGCAACCGAGAGAGAGAGAGAGAGAGAGAGAGAGAGAGAGAGAGAGAGCUGGUGAGAGUGAGAAGGCGAGCUCGAGAGAGAGAAAGAGCGAGCCAAAUAAGAGAGGAAAGAGAGGCGACCGUGUUCUCGAGUUCUUCGGGGGAGGCUGGAGAGAGCGAGAUCAACAGAGAGAGUGAGAUCUAAGAGAGUGAGCAAAGGGUGAAGCGGAGGGAUGGACCAAGAGAAGCGAGACCCAGGAGCCAAACUUCGUUCUCGGACAAGCGUUCCUCGGCCAUCCCCAACAUAAAUCGGCGAUCUCCAGCCAACAACCUUUAGGUCCAAUCCACUUUUAUCCCGAUGAUCUUGGGCUCGGUGCAACAACGAGGCGACCGACCAUAGCUCGUUUCGCUUCAGCCUCGCUUUCUGGCCGUUGUUGCCGAGCCGGGUAGGGAUAUUCGCAAUCAAACACUUCUCUCUGGGAACUCCGGAACCGAAACAAUAGCUGGGCCUCGCUUUCCCUAGUCCACCAGCAUGCUUGGUUUGAACGAGCCGUCCCUUUUGUCGAGUUUGAGUGUCACUUGCUGCUUUCUUUUGAGUAAAUGACUUGGAGUGCUGCCAUUUUCAUUCUCUGUUGAUGGCUGCUAGAAUAUGUUCAAGACUCCACCCUUUCGUUCCAGGGACACACCCUUUAAAUUCUCCCAUGGAGUUUCUGCAUGAAAAUUGAUUAUCCAUUGGUUUAAUAGCAUGCGAGUAAUGACUAUACCUUAUCUAUUUUGAUAUGGUGGCGGACUUUUGACUAGUUGUGCACUGUUCAGAAUGCCAAAUUCAUUUGUGGAGGUUUAUAGAGGAAGAUUUUGUUUACUGUUUUUCUAAAUUAUACGACAGGCAUUUGUAAUUCGCAUUUCUAAAAUGUAAUAUCCUUUCAAUUUCCAGAGAGAAGGAUCGCUUCGUUUCUCAAUGCAAUGGGCAGAAUUUUCUAUCUGUAUAUUGCUCCUGUGACACAUAUAUUGUUUUUUUAUUGACAAUCCUCUUAACACUUUACUUGGUGACACCCAAUUACAUAUUGUUUGGCUACAUUUUGCUCCUCCUAUGUUGGAUCAUAGGAAGACAACUCUUUGAAAGGACGAGAAAACACCGUUGGUUUCCAUUGAAAGUAUACGCAAUCACUGUGUUUAUCUUCUUAUACAGCUUGAGCAAUUUCUCCACCUUUGAGAAGUGGUUGUCGGGGCUGAUUGAUCUUCAGUUUUACUUGGCCUAAAACUCAGAAGCUUCGCUAUUGCAGAAUAUUUGGCAGUCUAUUGCAAUACUGAUUGUGAUGCAGCUUUUCAGCUACGAGAGGAGACAGAGCAAGUAUAUCCAAUCUGAUGACUCCAAACUUAUGGAAUUUGGAGUACUUGGAUUUAUGGAGAGCUUCCUCAUUUGGCACAGUGACAAGAAAGUGUGUAACUGUGUAUAGCAAAGUUCUAUGCAUCAUUGUCACCAAUUAGUCUCUUUGGUUUCCUUUAUCUGCUCAGUCUUGUCAUUUGUUCCCUUUCACCUAAAGCAUCUCGAAUCCCAUCAAAGUUAUUCCUUCUUUAUACAGGAAUUCUGGUGAUGACAGAAUAUCUCUUUCAGAUGUGAGGUGCCCAGGCAGGAAUGUUUCCUGGAUAGAAUGACUUUAGUUUAGCCAAGUUCGUGGGUUUUAAGUUAUUUCAGUCAGGCUUUUGGGGUCUAGAAUUGGGUUUUAAGGGGGAAAAGUGCUAGUGAUAUCUGCUUGUAGCCUUCAAUACAAUGUCUUCCGUUGGUUGCAAAAAGUACCAACUCGCAUUUUGAGCAAAUAUUAAACCAAAGAACGUUGCCCUCUGUUUGUAUCAGCAGAAGAAGUGUUUAGGGAUUUUUCUAAUUCAAACGGGGCAAGCAAACCACCUGCAGAUUCUCCUGCAAUUCCUUGUGAAACAGAAGGCGUGAGAAACAAUUUGUCUUCCUCAGCCUCUGGUUUUUCUCAAGCAUCAAAUAAUGUACCCACAGCUGGAGGCUCUGGGGGUGGCAGUGCUAGAAAAUAUUCCUUUGGAUAUAUUUGGGGAAGCACCAACGAAAGCCACAAAUGGAACAAGAAAAGGAUUAUCACCAUGAGAAGGGAGAGAUUUGAAACGCAGAAGACAAUCUUCAUAGUCUAUAUAAAUUUUUGGAUGGAGAACAUGUUUAAUCUCUUUGGCCUCGAAAUUAACAUGGUGGCCUUUCUCCUUGCCUCCUUUGCUUUGUUGAAUGCCAUUUCUAUGCUAUAUAUUGCACUUCUCGCUGCCUGCAUACUUCUAAAUUGCAAUGUCAUUCAGAAAUUAUGGCCAGCAGCACACCAUCUGCCAAUUCACAAACAUCAAGCAAGGUUGAGUCUGUAUUUCCUUUCGAAUUUAUGAUUCUCCUGCCGGUAUCAAUGCUGAAAGUCUUCAUGUGAUGAAUUCAGCUGAUCAUUCAUUUGAGUUUUCCCAUUGCUAGAUCACUGAGGCUGAGAAGGAUGGUGGAGGUUCUUUAUAUGAUUCAGAUAAGAAAGAGAGAGCCAGAGGUCAAGCUGAGGAUAACUCUAUAGUUUCUGCUGUGCAGCUUUUAGGAGAUGAUGGUUAGUUCUCUUGUAACCUUCCCGAACAUCAAGCCAGAAGACAUGGAUGCCAGGGGCACAAUCAAGCAGUCUCCCUUGCACCCGAUCAACGGCCAGGAUCACCUGACGAAGCAGCAGAAGUUCGCCAGAUCGAAGCUCCGGGUCUCCAUCAACCUGCCGGACAAUGAAAUCUCCCUCCUCCGCAGCCGGCGGAACCUGAGCUUCAGCGAAUCGUCCGCCGCCGCCGCCGCCGAACCUCCGACUUCUCGUUCUCCAUCUCCCCACUCCUCGUCCUUGGCCUCAGCGUCGAUCGGUCGAAUCUUCAAAGGGAAGGCUCCGGCGACGGCGAGGGGGAGCCUCGAGAACGGCGGUAGCGGCGGCGACCCCCGCGGCGGCCGGCAGGCGUACAGGAGCACGAGGACGGUGGUGGAGGUGCUGCGGGAGCUGGACGCGGAUAUAGUGGCGCUGCAGGACGUGAAGGCGGAGGAGGAGAGGGAGAUGAAGCCGCUGUCGGAGCUGGCGGCGGCGCUGGGGAUGAGCUACGCGUUCGCCGAGAGCUGGGCGCCGGAGUACGGCAACGCCGUCCUCUCCCGGUGGCCGAUCAAGCACUGGAAGGUCCAGAAGAUAUUCGACGACACCGAUUUCAGGUCCGUCAUUUCGUUUUAUUUUAUUUAUUAAUUUAAUAAUUUCCACAUAUUUUUUACCUGUUAUUCUUGCUAUCAUUUUCGUAAUUAUGGUGACGAUGAUAUGCUCUCUUUCUCAUUGAGCAAGUGGUCUUCCUAGGGGAUUUCGAAAUUUAAAAGAUAUUUUCAUUUAUUUAUUGAGGCGUCCACAGUUGAAAGUGAAGUUUGAUUAUAUAUCAUAAAUUAAUAUUCCCUCGGGACAUAUAAUAUAAUUUUUUCUUACAUUUUUCCAAGUGAAAAAAUUAAUUUCGCAGACCCUUCUACAACAGUGCAAAUCCAUCUCGGACAGUUGAAAUUUUCAUUGAAAUUAAGGUACGGUGGAUGUAAUAAAAAUUCACAAGACAAAAAAAUAAAAACAAAAACGUAAGCUUUUGCCUAGCCAUCAGAAUUUGUGGAUGAAAAUCUUGCUGUCACUUGGUUUAUCUUUUGUAUUUUUUUUCCCUCCCCUUUUUUAAACUGUUCUAUUUGGAAUUAUCUAAAUGGAGUUGUCCAAGAACUGAUAUGGGAAGAAUUUAUAAUAUUAUUCACGAGAACCCUAUCACCAAAAAUUCAAGAAUUCCCCAAGGCUUUUCUCCCACAGCCUAUUUGCCUUUGUACAACUUACGGAAAGCUAUCUGCAUCUGCAGCAACAAUGGUAGGCCUUUCCAAGGAUCCCAGCUGGUGCUGGGAGCACUGCCAGUCAGAAUUAAAAUUAAAUUAAAUUAUAAAAAAAACCCAUUUUUUUCUUUCUAUGAUUUUAGAUAUGGGUUCUCCAGAGUAUUGUCAUUUAUCAAUAAUAAUAAUAAUAAUAAUAAUAAUAAUAAUAAUAAUAAUAAUAAUAUCUUCGGUUAUAACUAUUCGAAAAUUCGUGCGUGUGUGAUAAAAGACUGUCUUGGACUUCUUUCAUUCCUCUUUUUUUCAUUUCUGGUUGCAUUUAGUAGGUUGAUGAGAGUCAGUGUUGAAGAUCAUUCUGUAUUAAUUACUGAUAUAGUCAAGAGAAUGCUUAGGAACCUGCUAAAUUACAUAUAUAUUUUUUGCUCUUUAGUAUUUAAAUAAGGAGUUGGGAAGAUAAAUGAAGGAUAAGAUCUAUGGCGUACAUUAAAUGAGGGCAGGGUAAGGUGUAUGUAGGUAGGACGGUAACGUGGGGAGGAUUUUGCUUUUGCUUUAUUUUAUGUAUUUGCCAAAUCAGAUGCUUGACCUGAAGACUAUACAAGGACUACUCAUCUUCAAGGAAAACUACAUUUCUCUCGAGCAAGACAGACCAGAUAGAAUCAACUUGUUUAAGACAGCAAGCAAUUGCUUGUCAAGGAGUCAAUUUCCGAGACUUUUGCGUUCGAUUAAUUAAGCCAUGCCUUAGACAGUAAAGGGAUUAUGUGCUUUCAUUGCGUGAAAAUUUAGAAAAAGAAGAAAAGGCUGGAUUGAAAUAUAAUUGAUCGACAUAUUAAAUCGACCAGGAAUCGAAAUGGCUGUGAACUCGAUGUGUUUUAUUACACAGGAAUGUUCUGAAGGCAACAAUAGAAGUGCCCCAUGUUGGGGAAGUGAACUUCCAAUGCACCCACCUGGAUCAUCUCGACGAGAACUGGCGGAUGAAGCAAGUCGGUGCCAUCAUCCAGUCGAGCGAUUCCCCCCACAUCUUGGCCGGUGGCCUCAACUCUCUCGACGAGACCAAUUACUCGCAAGAGCGGUGGACCGACAUCGUCAAGGUAUGUACAUUUCUAUCAUGUUUGAUGUGAUAUUCAUUAGCACGUCAAACUCGAUUACUAAAUAGCUUAAAGCUAUGGCGAUUUUGUAAUCAUGGGCACCUGUGUUUGUUACAGUACUAUGAAGAGAUGGGAAAACCGACCCCAAAGGUUGAAGUCAUGAGGUUUCUGAAGAGCAAGCAGUACACAGAUGCUAAGGACUUUGCCGGAGAAUGCGAGUCCGUGGUCGUCAUUGCCAAAGGACAAAGUAAGAACUCACUUGGUCGCUUUCCCAUGUUUCGAUUUUUCUUUUUGGCUCUAUCAAAUGGCUAAUCUAAGGUGCUUUUGGAGCACGAUGCUCCUCUUGCUCUAAGAUCACAUGAUUGGCUUGAACAGAUGGAAAUUUAUAAUAUUUGAAGUAUGAUGAUUAUGUUGAAUAUGUAUAUCUGUUGUUGUCAUCACUUUGUUGAUAUCAACCUCUGAUGUGAAAAUCCGUGGUAUAAAAAUUGAAGUCCAAAGUCUUUUUUUCGAGUGAUUAUUGUCUGAAUAUAUAAUUUGAAAUUGUUUAUUCUAUUGCAGGUGUGCAAGGGACGUGCAAAUACGGAACGAGGGUGGACUACCUACUGGCGUCACCAGAUUGCCCAUACAAGUUCAUUCCGGGGUCGUAUUCGGUCCUGUCAUCGAAAGGGACAUCAUAUCACCACAUCGUAAAGGUCGACGUAAUGAAAUGCGAAAACAACCCUCCCCAUGAAAGCAAUGGCAACAACAAUAAAAUUACCAAGAAAAGGCGACGACAGCGCAAGCACCAGGCUGUUGUAAAGAUCUCAGGCACAGCUCCUCCUUCAAAGGGUAUAUGGACAACGAACACAUUAAGCAAAGUCGAAUGACAUUACAUUUAUAUCUCCCUUUUCUUUCCACUCUUUUCUCAGCUGCUGCUCCUGUUGCUGCUGUUGAGUGAUCUUGGGCAUGCUGGCUUCGUCAAUCUCUCUGUAAAUCUUCGAUUGUUUUGUGCAUCUUGUUUUCUCUGUUUGUUUUUUCUUCAGUUUAGAGUUGAAGAGGGGAGGGUUCUGGUGUGAUGGCUUCCUCACAUCUGUAUAGAUUUCGACAUGAUAGAAGUGAAUUCUUACGUUUCAACUAGGCAUUGGAGCUAAGCGGUUCUGCCAAGUUCUUUUUCAGUAUUUUAUGCCUUUUUUUCCGCUUGUAAUCUUAGCUGCAAGAUUCAGAUUAGUUUUGUCGAGGGCGACAUCUCAAGUUGACUUUGCUGAGGUUGAGGUUAGAGAAUGCGAUCUUGUAUCUUUACAUUUAAUUGGAAGUUGAAACGUUUUAGACUAAAAGUCCUUGGAAUAAAAUUGCAAAUUUCGAAAAUUGAAUUUUUUUUUGUUAAGUUGGACAUCCAGUGAUUGAUAAAAGACCCAAAGAUUUCAAAUGAAAUACCUUUAAAAAGCAAAUAAGGAAAAAAAAAAAAAAAACUGCGAAGUCUGGUAAUUAUGAAUUCUAAACAUAUGUGACAGUAGUCAAUGUCCUCAUUCUUUUUUCUCUGGUUUUGAAAUUAGCAUUGGAAAGAAGAAAAAUGGUAAGUUAGUGCAAUCUACUUCGACAUCUUAACAAAUACCUUCUGUGAUCUCUAAAUGGAGCCUUAAUGAGCAUUACAAGUAAAAGUGUAAUGAAAAGAGAAAGAAAUAGAUUUUCUAUAUAAUAGACAUUGUUGGCUGAUGUAUCAUGCUAAUUAGCUUGUGAAUAAAAAACUGCCUCUCCCUUAUAAUGGUUGGCAAAAUGCGCCCCUUGCAUCAGCAUAGUAGAGGACGCAAGUAUCUCUCAAUUGGCGUAUACUCUUCAAUUGAUCCUCCUUGAUGUAAUUUAUAUCGAUUGAAUUAUUUAUUUCGAUUUUGCUUGGGAUCUCAAUUUAGAAAAUCAGGAGAUCUAAAGCUCAGAUAACAACAAGAGGAAUUAAAAAAAAAAAAAAAACAGUUAAGACAUUGUGUCAAUAUUGUUGACCGGUAAGAAUCCCAGUACUUGCGAGUGCGACCUUGCAGGUUUGCUACUCGAGGCCUCACUAAUAUAUGACAUUAAAAAUAAAAAUAAAUUUUAAAACUUUUUUUUAAUGAGACAGAAAGAUAAUUAAUCAUUAAUAUUUGAUACUUCUGCCGUUUGUUUAAGGGCUAUGCUAGUAGGUCACAUGACACAUCCAAUAAUGUUUUCAUUGCACAUGUUCAUUUUUUUUUCUAUAGUGAUAUAGUCAAUUAUUAAAAUGUUGUAUUUUUUUCCCUUUUUGUUGCAAAUUUCCCUUCUAUAAAUCAUGAACACGAACACUAGCACAAAAUUUUUUCGUCGAAAUAAGCGGUCUAUUCAGCACAUGCUGAUACCUUUAAUUAUUUUCGAUAGCGUGCAUAAAUUAUUAAGUGAUAAUUGGAUAAAUCAUUAAACAGAAAAAUCUCUUGACGAAAAGUAUCCUAGAUUAUCUCGCGAGCGUAUGCCGAAAAUCUAGACAUACAUUAUUGUAUUUUAGGGUAGAAGAUUGGUUCUCUCUAUCACUGAUUUUGUAAGUGUCCUAUUGCCUUUGGAUGGUAAUUCUUUUUGUAACCGUUCGACUUUAAAAUCGGCAAUGACCAGGAGUAACCAUCAUCGAUCAAGCCCUCUUAAGUGAACACUUAAAAAGAAUUAGUCUCUUAAUUUUGGAAUUGUGUUAAAUCAGAGGUAUUGUUUGUAGAUAUCAUGAAUAAUGGGAAAUUUUCCAAAAAGGUCUUAAAUCUAUUGCACUUUAGCCAAUUAAGUCAUAAAUCUUUUAAUUACGUCAAUUGAAUCAUAAAUCUUUUCACAUUUUUCCAACUGAGUUUAUUAGGCCAAUUUUAAGAAAAAAUCAUUGAUAUGAAUGCUAGCUAUCAUAUGUAAGAUGGUUGAUACUAAUGUUGGCAAAUUCUUAUAUUUUUUUAAAGAAUGGAUUUUUUUUUUAAUUUUUUUUAAUUUUACCGUGGCUUGUGAGAGUCGUCGGGUCCUUGCAGCUACUAGCGAAGACUCAGUGACCCUCACCAGACAUGGCAAAAAAAAAAGUAAAGGAGGAAAAGAGAAGAAAGGAAAAAAUGAAAAAAGAAGAGAAAAAUGUUCAUAAUAAUUCAAAAAAAAUGUUUAAAAUAUUUUAAAAAUUCUUACAUUAGCACCACUUGUGCCACGUAAGAUAACUGGUGUCCACGUCAGUGAUUUCCUAACAAAAUUGGCCAGAUGAAAUCAAUUAGCAAAAUGUGAAAAUGUUUAAAAUUCAAUUGGCAUGACUGAAAGAUUAAUGACCGAAUUAGUAAAAGUACAAUGAGUUUUUUCUGGUAAUUUUCCCAUGACUAACUAGCAUCUCUCUUCCAUCCUGAUUCUGAUCAUAGUUUAAACAGGGCAAAGUCCCAAACAUAUCUAAAGAAUUUAAAUCUCCAAAAGUGAUGCAAUAUCUAGUAUAAAGUUCACACCUUAUGACUUGUGUCCAAUCACAUAGCGUUGCUGCAACAGAUAGUUUGGAGACAUGUUUCAGCUGGUCUUCUUACAUGCUAAACAUGAUAUCAUAAACAAACCACUAAGAAGGUUAGUUAGUAACCUUUUUUUAUCGUUUGCCAAGCAUGUCGUUCCGUCAUCUUUCAAUAAAUUCUCAAGUGGCAUUUGUAGAGAAAAGUUUUCAUCUCGGCUCACUGGCAAACUGAAAAUUGUAAUGGUCAUGAGUAAACGGUCAGGAUGAGCAACGAUAUUUAAAAGCACUUGUGUAGUUCUUUGCCUGUUAGUAUGCUAAACAUGGAAAAUGUCGAAUCAACAUCAAUUUAACACUGUCUUUACUCGAAUAGCUACAGAACUAUGUAAGAAAACACAAGGAACAAGAAGAGAAUCCCGAAGCUCUAGACAUGGCAUGGCCAUGAAAACUCCACCGAGAGCUGGUUUUUGGUCCUCGGAGUAGAUGUGAAAAUGUUGCAGAAUUAAAGAAUAAGCAAAGAUUCUUCGUAUCUAGCACUGUAAGCUUGCUCGAUAUAGAGUGAAACAAAGGGACAUUGCAUAGAGUUUGCACCUAUGUGAAGUUCACGAUGGCCGGGAAGCAAUCCGCNNNNNNNNNNNNNNNNNNNNNNNNNNNNNNNNNNNNNNNNNNNNNNNNNNNNNNNNNNNNNNNNNNNNNNNNNNNNNNNNNNNNNNNNNNNNNNNNNNNNCGUAUCAAUAAUCAGUUCUUCCACAAGUGGAAUUGAUACGCAAUUUAUGCCCAAAUUGUCCUCUAUUCCCCUUUCCACUUGGGACGGUUUUCCAUGAAUCUCUUCCAGCUCCUCGAGCCUGUUAUCGAGGGCUCUUCUAAGUGUGGUCAUCUGUAUAUGAUCGUUUGCUUCUGGAAGUCGGUUUAUGGAGACCUUGAAGUUCAGCCUAUGAAUUUUGCUGUACACUAGACGGGUCCUGUUGUCGUACUUCGAACACUUAUGUGAGGUUUCAAUUGUUCCCGCCUUCCUUUCAUGGUGCAGCAGAGCAACAAAUGCCAAAGGAAUUGGAAGAGACAGUUCCACAGCCUCCUGUCACAAUGAAUGGUCUUUCUCAUCAGGAUGAUUCUCCAAUGAGCGUGAUGAACUGCAGGAAUAAGUAAGAAACUUGAUUCUUGAGAUGUUUCUGUCUCAUAUCGUUUACUUUUUCUCCAUUGCGUCGAACAUAGUACCUACUCUAGUAUUAGCUUAACUUUCAUUUCAAUCUGAAAGCUACUCACCUACACUUACAGGAUUCUUAAUAUAAAUUACCUGCUUGUGCACACUAUGGGGCUGCAUGUUUUCGUUUCUUUUUUCUGUUUAAGGACAGAAAUUUUGUUUUUUUGUUCCCGGGAACAAAAAAACAACAGAAACGCGUUUGUUUGCGUUUUUGUUCAAAAUCUGAUUUUUUGUUCCCGGAACACAAAAAAAACAGAAAUGAGAAACAAAAAAAAAUUGUUUCUUAUUCCAGAAACACUUUUGAAGAAACACUUCUUCUCUCUCCUCUUUUCUUCUUCUUUUCUUCUUCUUUUUUCUUUGGCUGGUCGCCGGCCUCGGCCAUGGCCGGCGACCGGCCAUUGAGGGCCAGCGAGGUUGAGCCUCGCCAGGGGCCAGCAACGCUCGGCCUCGGCGGAUCUGGGCGAGGCCCAACGAGGCUCGGCCUCGCCUUGGCUGGGUGAGGCUGGCCACCUCGUCGGCCGGUCGUCGAAGGCCGGCGACUGGCCGAAAGAAGAAAAAAUAAAAAAUAAAGGAAAAAAUGAAAAAUAAAAUAAAAAUAUUAAAAAAUUAAAAGAAACAAAAAAAGAAUAUAAAUUUGCCAAACGUGUUUCUAUUCAUUUUUUAUUCCCGGAACAAGUUUACCAAACGCAUCUUUCUAGUCAAAAAUUGUUCCUCAGAACAGAAAUACUUUUUUCUAUUUCUGUUCCCUGGAACAAUUUUUGAACAGAAACGUUACCAAACGCGCCCUAUCUUACUUGGCGAAUUCUGUCAUCUGCACUAGUUUAAAUACAUGCAUCAUUCGAGAGCGCAAGUGCCUUUGAUGGCUUAUGGCCUGAGGCAUGGCGUAAUUGUUUUUUUUGCCUCGUCAAAAGUGUUGCUUCAGAGGACCUGAAUAUUCAUUCGAUAGGAAUCGUCUGUUUAGAUGAUCAUAAUUGCUACCAUUGGUAGAACACACUACCAAUAACAACAUGAUAGUUGUGGUGAGCAUUCUAGUUGAGCAACGUAGUUUCAACUUCGAGUUGUGAUGCUAACUGUGCUCACACUAGUGGUUCUAAAAUGUUGAUGAACAGAGCUGAAUCUGACAAGCUACUAGCCAUUCCUGUCGGUUUUGUUGGAUCAGAAGAGGUGGUAAGGUCUGCUCCACAUCUUGUACCUGGCGGUAAUCUUGCUUGUCCUUCAUUGGAAGAACAAGGAAUGAGAAUAAAUGCUGCAUUAGACACUGCACAUGCACCAAUUUCUCAUCUCUCGAACCUUAUUGCCGACGGCCACCAGGCUGCAAACUUCAGGGGACCUUACCAACCAUCAGACUUUUAAUGGCUCGAAGCUUGAGCCACUUGUAUUCUUACCCUAUCCCUUACUUUCUCUGAAGGUAUUUAUGAUAUUUAACACUUAGCUCGACAUUCUGCGUCGUCAAUCUUAGGUGGUUUGGACUACCUACUGGCGAAUCUCUUCAUGUAAAGGUUUGGCUUGGAAUAUUACUUGUCAGCAUAGUUGCAUAGACAUGGCGGUUCUGUUCUUUUACCCAUCAGUGCAUUCAACUCAUGGUGCAACAAUCUGAAAAAAGCUUUUAAUAUGCUAUUUGAGAGUCAGCUUUCAGCAGUGAUCUCGAACAAUUUCGUGUUCUCCAAACCGAGACUUGUUCAGAGUCAUUGAAAGCCUUCAAUUUCUGACCUUGUACUGGGAAGGUCCUUCCUGCUUUAUCUGUUUCUACUUUAAAAACCAUCUAAAGUAAUUGAAAAGACCAUGCGGAAAAAGUUAAUUGCUGUUGUACUUGGCGAGACGACCCAAGUUUAAGUGGCAGCAUGCGCUUUUGCUACUUCUCUAUGUAUUCUUACUGUUGGGAAAAUAAACUUCGAAUUGGGUAGAACAAUGAAGUCGGAUCGAGUAAUCAAGUCGGACUUUGAGGCGUGGUAUCACUUUCUUUAAGGAUUUAUUUGCCCCACAACGUUGCUAAUGGUCACUGGCAAAAAUCCUCCAGGAUACAACAAAGUCUCGGAUGAGAAUACUAAAUAGCAAUUCUAGUAUUUCUCUAGGGUCUCUCUAAGAAACAAUCGAAAAUUGGCUGCAGUUUUUCAGAAAGGAGACUCGAAAUGACCACCCUCUUCUUUCCGAAAAUGACAAGUAUUUAUAUGAAACGGUCUUGCAACUCUUCGUGAAAAUUGCGAACAAACACGUCUUUAGAAAAUUGUUCGGAUAAACAAAUGCGACUCUUCGGAAGAAGUCGAAAACGAACAAUUGCAAUCCUUCGGAAAAAUUAAAACCGAAUAAGUAAUUUUCCAAAGGUUGUCUUGAAAAGACACAAAUAAAAUUCGGAAUAAUUAUUAUUAUUUUCUUUUUAAAUAGAAUUUCGAAUUUUCAUUUAUAUUUCAUUUCCGAAAUUCUCAAAUUAAAAGGCAACCUUUGAACUCAAAUAUAAAAUAAAAUAAAAUAAAAAUAAAUAAAUAAAAAGCAAGGGAUUAAUGCUUAAUUAAACCGCGGGCGCGCAGGCGUGCUAAGUGCUAAGUGCGCCAAAUAAUCGCGCACCCGCACGCGGGUAUGGUGGGUCUAGCCCCACCUAAUCACUCUUUUAACUACAAAAGGAAAUUCCUCAUUAAUAAACUAAUCCUCCUGCUCCCACCUUUUCUAUGUGGGACAAAGUAAAAGGCACUUAUUUUGUUUUAACAAACAAAAUUCCAACACUUACUCCUGAUGAAUGGCGUAGUUUGUAGCUUCCAUUCAGGAGUACCUUGAUAAUUCGGCAUCAGGUCAGUGUUCUCUGUCUGCAAUAUCCGAGAGAAGUGAUAUCGCGCGUUCCUUAUCACAUCGGUGUCUGGAGGAAUGUUUGCUAAGCAAGAAAACUCAUGUGCAGGGGACAACAGUGAGGAAUAUAGUACUUGUUCGGAAGAAUGUAAGGCACCAUCUCAUGACUUAUCAUCGAGUAAAUGCACAAAUUCUUACUGCAUUGAGAUAUUCUGCUUUUGUAAUACAUCACAUCCUCUAACAUGACAUCACGUGUUCGAUUUCUAUUCAUCGUAAAGGCAAAAUUGCUAGCCACAAUCGUUCAUCGGUUAGGCUAGGACCCAUCUAGAAACAAGAGGUCAAAGUCAGAGAUUGCUUGAGUAGGUAGCUGAUGUCGAGCUGGUUGAUCGAGCGGGGGUUGAAGGGUGGGGGUGAGAGCUUUUGACGGAAACAAGAGAGAUUCGUUGCUCAAAAUGCAAACAUUAACAUGAAGAAAAAUUACAUUGUUAUGCCAAGAGGAUUUACACGAAACAAAAAUUAUAACGAAUGCCAUACAACAUUCAUUGUCAUUUAUAAAACAUGGACAUAAUGAGUCUAAUAGAAAACACUGAUGCUAUAUGAAAAACAUGUAAAAGCUUCAUAGAUUACAUUAUCAAUGAUGGUACAUGUUGAUAGUGUUAACUAUAUUUCGCAUCUCAUUUCUACAAGAGGAGAACAAUCACACAAUACAUGAUUUCGUAAACUCAUUGUCGUGGUCAAAUUGGCAAUUGCCAGAAAUUAUCGGAGCACUUGAUGAAGAUGAGACCAUUUCAAGUUCUAUCUCAUUGUUGUCAUCAUCAAUUGGUGCCUCUAUUGGAUACAAAAGCGGUUUUGGAGGUAGUUGCAGUUUAUCGAUAUCUCCUUCAAGCAUAUCUACAACUUUCCUCAUUGACGGCCGAUCAUUAGGGCUCAGCGUUAUGCACCAUAGCACAACGAUUAUCAUCUUCCUCGUUUCUCUUUCCUCUUCUAUGACUUCUACCCUCUCAACCUCCUUUUCUUUGCUGAGUUGAUCAUAAAUCCACAAAGGAAAGUAAAUUUGACUUGAAUGCUCUGCAUGUGCAUUUAUAUUUCUCCUUCUACCGGCCAUUUCCAUCAACAUCAUCCCAAAACUGUAAAGAUCGGCUUUAUAAGAAAUGCCACCAAUGUCUUUGUAGAAUAGCUCAGGCGCCAUAUAACCCAAGGUUCCUCUUGCUGCAGUCAACGAUACUAUGCUAUGACCGAUGGGAUAAAGUCUUGCAAGUCCAAAGUCAGAAAUUUUCGGAGUAAAACUUUGGUCUAGGAGAAUGUUGUGAGGUUUGAUAUCAAAGUGUAGAAUUUGCAUAUCACAUCCCCAAUGUAGAUACUAUAUACCUCUAGCUAUGCCAAGAGAGAUCUCAUGCAUUUUCUUAUAAUCAAGAGGAUCAUCACCAUCCUUAUUUGAAAUGUUUUUAUCCAAAGAGCCAUUCGGCAUGAAAUCGUAGACCAGAGCUUGUUUGGAGUAAUCGAAGCAAAAACCAACAAGUUGCACUACAUUGAUGUGGUGGAUCCUUCCAAUUGUGGCCACUUCACUAAUAAAAUCUUGGCCAUUAGAUUCUGGUUUGUUCAAAAUCUUAACCGCAACUUCAUUGCCACUUCUAAGGAUUCCUCUAUACACAGAGCCAUAUCCCCCCUCACCUAAUUUGCAUUUGAGAUUUUUUGUAAUCUUCUUGAUAUCUGAGUAAGAGUACCUUAUGGGCAAAAAGUUGUUGUGAACUUGUAGGAAUUCUUCGAUGUUUGCGUCAAUCGCCCGGUGCCUUCUCAUCCACUUAUAGAUUAGAAGUAUCAACACACAUGGAGCUCCGAGUAUGAAUUUUGCUGCGACGUAGUUGGCUACAUAGAAAUUGUCCAUAGAUUAGCGCAGUGCAAUAAUUUUUUUUGUAAACAUAAUUGUUUUAAAUCAGAGUGCUUCUUGAGAUCAUCAUAGUUGUGAGGAGAAAAGGCCCAGCAGUCAUACCCAAGAAAAAGGCGAGGCGCCAACCUACAAUUUCCGUCGUACCAAUGCUUGGCCCACGCAGAAUUAGUGGUGACUGCAACAGAUUAAUUAGAGUCGGUGAUCAAUCAAUGAAGUAUUAAAUUUAUCAUUUUAGCAGUUAAACAUAAAUAUAAUUUACUCUCCUUGACAGCGCUCAGAUUACAGUUAAUUCAAUUCACCUAGGGAAUCCAUGCUAUCGUAGCAUGACAUUUUCCUUGAAGAAAAGCGAUUUUGCUUUUGUUCACCUAUAUAUAUCAAAUGAUUCAUAAGUUCACGUCUCGCUUCGCGUAAUUCUAAUUUACAAACGUCAUUCAAUACGCGUGCAGUUUAUUCAACCGCAUAAGAAUAACAGCCGUGCAAGGGACACGAGCAACAAUUAAAUCAACCGUUUUUCCCCAAACAAAAAUGAAGUAACAAUGUCAAAUCCAGAAAAGCUCCAAGAUUCGUAAAAUAAACGAGAGCAGUGCAUGCCGACCCUACCAAGAAAUCUAUUUAAACUUUUCUACUUAAGUGAUGUGGCAAUUUUUUCUAUUAUGUUUUUAAAGAAACUAGUGUCUUAAUGUGUGGAUUUUAUUAAAAAUACCCAAUUAAAACCUGCCACGUCACUUCGUAAGUAAAUUUUGAUCAGAUCUCUUAGUGAAGCUAGCAUUUAAGGAAAGGAGGAGGAGGAAGAAGAGAAAAAGAAAGUAACAGCUUAAGGGAACGUCGCUUACGGAUAUAAUAGCCGCAGAACCCCCUUCGGUUAAUAAAUCUUAAGAAGUGACAUGGAAAGGGGCUUCGCACAGAAAAGAGGUUCGGAUAGGAGAGAUUGAAUCCCUCGACCAUCUUGUUGUGGAGGUCCUUGUAUGGUAAGCUCCCAUACUGAUCCCCUUUCCGCCCUGAGAUUUGAUCCGAUGCGAAUGCCAUCAUGGUUACGGUGCAAGAGUCCUUGAUAUCCCUUGCUCGUAGAUCUCCAUGUACAGCGUAUGAGUACACCUUCAUUUGGGAAAAAUAAGGAGUUGUGUCGGCAGAAUAUGCGCCCUCAAUACAUGGUGUGGCAUCAAUAUAAGAAGUAGAAGUAACAGGCUGUGAGCACUUCAUGAAGGCCACAGUGUCAUUUUGAUAUGGAAAUAGAUAUAAAUCACCAAAUGAACUAGUAGACCAAUUGAAGUACGUCAAUGGGUAACGAGGAAGGGAUGAGCAAUUACCCUUUUGCAGUCCAUCAUCAACCGCCGUGAUAUUACCAGAGAAGUCAUUUUGGUCAAUAUAGGAAUCGUAAUGAAUCGACUUCAAAAGAGUGUGGUUAUUUUCACAAGCUAGCUCAUACCAAGAGUGACCGCAGUCUUUUGGAUCGCCUUUCAAUUGAAAAUGAUAACUUAUGUUACGGAUCUCACCGCAAGAUGAAGGGGCACACAAGUGAUUCUUCUUCGCAUGGCAGCUCGUCCCUAACAAUAGCAGAACAUGCGAUAUGAGAAGUAAAACAGGGAGCAUGAAUAUCGAGCUGCGAGAAAUAAUCAUCUCUUUAUGGUUUGGUCUGAUGCAAUGGAAGUUUUAGCUCACUUGGUAAUGCGAGGGAUGCUUAACAAAGGGUUGAGAGUCAUCGGUCAUCGAAAUGUCCAAGUCAACCCUAAAACAAAGUCUAGCGAAGAAAAACUUAAAAAGUAUGGCCCGGCAAAAACACGAUCUCGAGUGAUAGAUAGCUUUCACAUUCAUUAGGGAGGAAAUUUCUCUGCAUUUUCCAGAUUUGAUUUUUCUUGGCAAAUUAAUUCUCUCUAGAAAUUUAUUUUAGUAUCUUAAAAAAGAAUCGGUUUGUUUUGUACCCUAAACUCAAUCAAAAUCCUUUCAAACAAGGCAUCUGGCGUUCUAUUUUAUUUUCAAGGCCAAUAUUUCAUAAGUGUCGCUUCGUUAAAUUUUGAAGACGAAAAGGAAAAGGAUGAUGUAUUUCAUCAUAUAAAUAUUUUCAUUUUUGAGAAAAAAUAAAUUAGUAACCAAGAAAGAGGAUAAUGUUAAAUAACCGGUACAUAGAUUUUAACUUUUGUAAUGUUGCUUUCCGCAAAAAUAGAAAGAAAAUAAGGAAUGGGCGCUUCUUGCUUAUGGAUGAUGUGAAACUUUAUGAAAGAAAGAAAGCAAUAUGGUAAAUCCUCAACUAGUGAUGGGACCGACACAUCUCGAUUAGAAACUCACUUGCGUCGUCGUGGAUUGACACACGCAAGGACUAUAGAUGCAACAUUUGAAUUCACAAAAAUAAUGUGACGUUUACUUAUUCACUAUGCUUAAAUUUUAAAAUCACUCUCUUGUAAUUGUGCUAUAAUUAUGAAUAUGACCGUCGUCUCUUUUUCAUUAUUGAAUCACUUAAUGAAUGAACAUACUGAUCUCAAUGAAAAAGGCAAUACGAUCAUUUGUCAACCAAUGAUCAAUCAAUGUGGGUCUCGAUUAGAAAUUCACUUCCUUCGUCAUUCUUGAUAUGCGCAAAGACUAUAGGUGUAAUAUUCACUUGCACAAAAAUAAACUAAUAUGUAAUUAUUCAUUGUCAAUUGAAAUAUAAUUCUUGUGGAUCAGUCAAUCACUUGCCUAUAAAAUAAUCUCAUCUUUUUCUCACAAUAAAUCGAACCGACCUAUUACAAUAUUCAAUUGAAACGUGCCACAUCACUCAGUAUGUAAAUUUUUAUACGAUCCCUCAGUAGAGCUAACAUUUAAGAAAAUGAUGAGGAUGAAGAAAGAAACAAAGAAAGAACUGGGAAAGUGAGAUUUCGGGAAUCAUGGUGUCUGCACCUCUCCCUUUGGUAUCCGAAACCUAAGUAGCAAAACUCGAAACUUGUUGGUGGCGAGAGUUUAUAACAGGAGAUAGUGAAUCCCUCGACCAUCAUGUUGUGGAGGUCCUUAUACGGUGAAUUCACACGAUUAUAUCCUUCCAAUAUGCCCCCUAUUUUUUUCCCACCUUGGGAUAUAAUACGGUAUUAAAGCCUUUAUGGUUCUGGUGUAAGUAUCCUUGAUGUCCCCUACUCGGAGAUCAAACCCAUGUACAGAGUUCAGUAUUGACUUACGAAAUAGAAGCAAGGGGCUGUGAGCACUUCAUGAAGAUCACCGGCACAGCUAACGAACCGUAUGGAUUAUGAUCACUAAAGUUGGAGGUCGCUAAUGAGUGAGGGAGGGAUGAACAAUUACUUUUUUGCCGUCCAUUGUCAACCACCGUAAUUUCGCCGUCGAAUAAAUAUUUGCUAAGAUAGGAACGGUAAUAAAUCGAUUUUCAUAUAAUAUUAGCUGGCAUAUAGAUAUGGAACAAUGCGGUUAUUUUCAUAAGCUAGCUUAUGUUCAAAGUGGCCGCAUCCUUUUGGAUUGCCUUUCAAUCGAAAGUGAUAGUGUAUGUCGCAAAACUUGUUGCAAGAUGAAGCGGUGCACAAAUGAUUCUUCUUCACACCAUAACUCAUCCCUAAUAGCAGCAGAACAUAUAAUAUGAAAAGCAAAACACUGAACAUACUUAUGGAGCUCAGAGACUUAAUCGUCUCUCCAUCAUUUGAUUUGAUGCAAUGAAAGUUUUUACUAAUUGGUAACGUGAUGGAGGCCCAGUAAUAUGAAUGAAAAGAGCUGGGAGUCACCGGUCAUACAAAUGUCCAAGUCAACCAAUAAAGCAAAGUCUAGCGAAGAAAAAGUGGGUAUCACGUGGAAAUUGCAGUCCUUGCGGUCAAGGUGUCAAAACAUGGUGUUGGAAUUAUUUAUGCAUAGCUUUCACAUGCAAAAUCUUUUCGAGUGAGGCAUUGACACUCUAUUUUCUUUUCAAGACUAAUAUUUCAUAAGUGUCACUUCAUUAAGUUGUGAAGACAAAAAGGAAAAAGAUGUUGUAUUUCAUUGUCUAAGCUUUUUUUUUUUUUUGGACAAAAAAAUAGAAAUUGGUAACAAAAAUAGACUAUUGACAAGAAUAUUAACUUGUAAAUGCUGCCUUUGGCAAAAGUAAAAGGAAAAUAAGAAAUAAGUGCUUCUUAGAUGGUGUAACAUGUUGUGAAAAAAAGAAAGAAAGCAAUAUGAUAGUUUCUAGCAAUGGACUGACGCAUCUUGACUAGAACCUUGCUAACUUCGUCGUCAUGCAAAGACUAUAGAUGCAAAUUUCCAAGUCAACCAUGAACACAAAGUCUAGCGAAGAAAAAGUGGGUCUCACGUGGAAAUUGCAGCCCUUGCGGUCAAGGCGACGAAAACACGGUGUUGGAAUUAUGUAUGGCGCAACUUUCACGUUGAUUAGAAAAGAAACUUCUCUGCAGUUUUCAAAUUUAACUUUUCUUGGCAAAUUGACUCUUUAGGAAUCAAUUUUAGUUCAUUAAGAAAAGAAUCAAUCUGAAUGUUAUGUACUCUAAAUUGAACCAAAAUCAUUUCAAGUGAGCAUUGGCAUUCAAUUUUAUUUUCAAGGCCAAUAUUCCACGAGUGUCGAUUCGAUAAAUUGUGAAGAUGGAAAGGGAAAAAAUGUUGUAUUUCACCAUAUAAGCUUUUUCAUUACUGACAAAAAAACAAAAUUGGUAACAAAGAUAGACUAUUAAAGGGAAUAUUAACUUGUAUAAUGUCACUUUUGACAAAAAUAAAAGGAAAAAUAGGAAUCCGUGCUACUUGGAUGGUGUAACAUGUUAUGAAAGAAAGAAAGUAAUCCGAUAAUUUCUAGCAAUGGGACCGACAAGCAUUGACUAGAACCUCACUAACUUUGUCGUUGCGCAACAUUCAAUAUUUGAUAUCACAAAAAAGAACAAGAAGAAGCAAUUCUUACUUAUUUACUAUCAACUUCAAUAUUACAAUCACUAUCUUGUAAUUAUGUUAGAUCUGUGAACAAUAUUCUAAGUUAACAAAUCUACUUUAGUAAGGUGACAUGGAAAUUUAUUUUCAAAUGAAGCUAUUCUAAGUUAUGAAAAUUAGGGACAACUAAUGGCGAUUUUUGGACCGAGGGCUAAUGGGUAGAUUGGGAUUAGAGGAAAAAUUGGUGUUUUUUCUUUUAGACAAAAAAAGUUCAAGGUAGAUUUGGGAUUAGGCCUAAAGUUUGAGGUUUUUUCCGGACAAAGAAAAGAUUGAGGCAAAUUUGGGCUGGACCUAAGUUUAGGUUUUUAUGAUAAAAAAGAGUUUGAAACAGAAUUUGGACUAAAUUUAAAGUUGGACCUUUUUUAGUGAAUAAGGCCCAAAAAAUAUACAGAAAUAGUGUCACAUCCAAAAAAGCUCCAUAGUCGUAAAAUAAAGGAGCAAUACACGCUGAUUUUACUAAAAAAUCUUACUGAACUUUUUCACUAAACGAAUGGCAAUUUUUUUUAUUGGGUAUUAAAGAAAGUGAUGAUUCAAUAAAAUGAACCAAACGUAUUGCAAUAUCCAAUUGAAACAUGCCACAUCACUGAGUAAGUAAAUUUUGAUAAGAUCCCUCAGUAGAGCUAACAUUUAAGAAAAGGAUGAAGAUCAAGAAGAAGAAAGAAACAAAGUAAGAGAGUAAAGAAAGAAAAGCCUUAGGGAAAGUCAGCUUACAGAAGUAGGGGGUGUUUGGUUGGGCAUUCCCAAGGGGCUUUGGGGGAGAAAUUUUGGGUGUUUGGCAAGGGUUUUUGAAUGCCCAUUUGCGAAAUGCGGGCAUUCCACAUGCUCAAAGCCCAAUGCUGGGGUAAGGCAACUUUGAGCAUUCAGCAUUCUCCCAAUGCAAGCUCACUGUUCACGCUUCUUCCCCACGAAUUCUUCGAGUUCUCCACCGCCGCCUUCGUUGUCAACGCCGCCUCCGCCUCCGCCUCCGCCUUCGCCUCCGUCAUCGACGCCGCCUCCGCCGUCGACGCCUUCCUCUUCUGCGACAGAUCCAUCCUCUUCGACGAGCGCGAGCAGCACCGGUCGACUCCUUCAGCUCGUGAGAACCAGGACUCGAGCCGCUAGAUCUGGCCAUCCGGAGGCUAGAUCUAGCGGUCCGGAGGCUAGACCGGCUGUCUGACGGCGAGAUCUGGCCUUCCGACGGCCAGAUCUAGCCUUCACCCCCCCAACCAACCCGACGGCCCUCCCGCCCCGCCAUUCUGGGACGCCCCCGACUUCGAGUUCUCCACUGGCCCCACUGCCACCUCCGCCUCCGCCUCCACUGUCGACGCCUUCCUCUUCUCCAUCCCCCUCCGACUCCUUCGGCUCGCACGAAUCAGGCCGUCUAAAGGCCAGAUCUCGCCGUCUGGCGGCCAGAUCUAGCCUCUGCGACCAUAGAUGACGGCGUGCGUCUACAGUCUGGAGGCCAAAUCGGGUCGCCAGACGGCUGGCCGUCUGGCAUCACCGGCCGCCGGAUUUGAUUUUCAGAUUUAAAAAAAAAAAAAUUAAAGCAAAAGCACAUUUGUAAUAAGUUUUGCCAAACGGUAUUUUUACACAAGUCACUUUCCAAUGCGUAAUUUGCCAAACGCCCGAACAUUCCGAAAACCCCUUUACCCUAAAGAUAUUUGCAUUUGGCCAAGGGCAUUUCCCCAAAGCCGAACCAAACGGGCCCGUAAUAUGGGUCGCACCACGCCAUUCGGUAUCUGAAACUUAUCGCACAAAUCUGGAAUAUUUCCCACGAAUAAGUUUUAUAAUAAAAGAGUUCGAAUCCUUUAGCCAUCAUGUUGUGGAGGUCCUUAUACGGUGGGCUCACACGUUUAUACCGAUCCACUUCCUGGAUCAAUAAGAAAGUGAUCAUGGUUAUGUUGCAAGAAUCCUUGAUGUCCCGUAUUUCUAGAUGAGGCCCAUACAAAGCGUAUGAGUAUGCCUUCAUUUGGGAAAAAUUAGGGGGUGUAUCAGAAAGGUAUACUUCCUCAAUACAUGGUUCAGUAUUGAUAGACAAAGCGGAAGCAACAGGCUGUGAGCACUUCAUGAAGACCACCGGCUUAGCAAAGGGCGAAAGACCACCACGGUUUGGAUCAUUAGCGCUAAAGUUGGAGCUCGCCAAUGAGUGACGAGGGAGGGAUGAGCAAUUACCUUUUUGCAAUUCAUCGUCAACCACCGUGAUUGUACCUGAAAAAUCAUUUAUAUGAUCGAAAGUAGAAUAGUUAAUCGACUUCACAUAAUAUCGACUAGCAUACAGAUAUAGAAAAGUAUGAUUAUUUUCACAAACUAGCUCGUACUUGGAGCAGCUGCAGCAUUUUGGGUCGCCUUUCCAUCGUAAGGGAUAGUGUAUGUCACGGAUCUCACUGCAAGAUAAAGCAGCGCACAAGUGAUUCUUCUUCGAACCGUAACUCAUCCCCAGUAGCAGCAGAACAUGCAAUAUGAAAAGCAAAACACGGAACAUGCUCAUAAAGCUCAAAGACUUAAUGGUCUCUAUCGUUUGAUGUGAUGCAAUGGAAGUUUUUGUUAAUUGGUAAUGUGAUGGAGGCCCAGUUACAUGAAUGAAAAGAGUGGGGAGUCGUCAGUGAUACAAAUUUCCAAGUCAACUGAUAAAACAAAGUCUAGCGAAGAAAAAAUGGGUCUUACCUAGAAAUUGCAGUCCUUGCUUUUAUGGUGACAAAACACAGAGUUGGAAUUAGUUAUGCAUAGCUUUCACAUUGAUUAAAAAAGAAACUUCUCUGCAGUUUCCAUAUUGACUUUUCUUAGUACCAUUUAAAAAAAAAAUCGAUUUUAAACCAAAAGAAAAAAGAAAAAGAGAGAAUCGAUUUGUAUGGCAUGUACUCUAGAAUGAACAAAAUCCAUUUGAGUGAGGCAUUGGCAUUCUAUUUUCUUUUCAAGGCUAAUAUUCCAUAAGUGUCCCUUCGUUAAAUUGUGAAGACGAAAAGGAAAAAGAUGUCGUAUUGCAUCAUUUAAGCUUUUUAUUUUUGACAAAAAACAGAAAUUGGUAACAAAAAUAGACUAUGAACAAGAAUAUUAACUUGUAUAAUGUUGCUUUUGGAAAAAGUAAAAGAAAAAUAAGAAAAAAGUGCUUCUUGGAUGGUGUAACAUGUUAUGAAAGAAAGAAAGUAAUAUGACAAUUUCUAGCGGUGGACUGACACGUCUUGAUUAGAACCUCACUAACUUCGUUGUCAAGCAAAGACUAUAGAUGCAAAUUUCCAAGUCAACCAUCAACACAAAGUCUAGUGAAUAAAAAGUGGGUCUCAUAUGGAAAUUGCAGCCCUUGUAGUCAAGGCGACAAAAACACGGUGUUGGAAUUAUUUAUGGUGUGGCUUUCACGUUGAUCCGAAAAGAAACUUCUUUGUAGUUUCCAGAUUCAACUUUUCUUCGCAAAUUGACUCUUUAGGAAUCAAUUUUACUUCAGUAAAAAAAGAAUCGAUUGGAAUGUUACGUACUCAUUGAAUUAAAAUCCUUUCAUGUGAGGUAUUGGCAUUAAAUUUUAUUUUCAAGGCUAAUAUUCCAGGAGUGUUGGUUUGAUAAAUUGUGAAGAUGAAAAGGAAAAAAAAAUUUCAUAUUUCACUGUAUGAGCUUUUUCAUUACUGACAAAGAUAUAGAAUUGGUAACAAAGAUAGAAUAUUAAAGGGAAUAUUAACUUGUAUAACAAAAAUGAAAGGAAAAACAACAGUUAGUGCUUCUUGGAUGGUGUAACACAUUAUGAAAGAAAGCAAUUUGAUAAUUUCUAGCGAUAGGACCGACGCGCAUUGACUAGAACCUCACUAACUUCGUUGUUGCACAAAAACUAUACAUGCAAUAUUCAAGUUCACAAAAAAAAAAAAAACAAUGUUUGCUUAUUCACUAUCAUCUUCAAUAUUAAUAGAAGACUUCAGCUUAGUUGGGUAUACACCCCUCGAUCUUUGAUUAAUCUACUAUCCUUUUGCUGGUCGGUGCCUCUUUCAUGCUCCUGGUUGGUUGUUAUUGUGGAUCCUUUUCGACCUAAGUUCUUGGACACCCCUUUCCUGUCCCUUUCUCCCUUUGAGGUUCUCCUUUCUUGGUUGGUCCUAUUCUGCUCAUUGCUGGUUUGUUGUUUGUCUCCGGUGCUUUCAAGAUGAUGGCCCACUUGCUGCUUCGUUGAUGCGGGUGUUGCCCUCUCGUGUGAUGCGGCGUCCAGCUUCUCCUCAGCAAUCGGUGGCUCCACCUUGGUGUUUCGCUGUCUUGCUGUUUUUUGUUUCUCCCUUGUUUCUCUGUCUCGUGUGCGGGCUGCUUUUUUUGGCCCUUCUCUCCUCUGCUGUGGCUAUUGUUUUAGUCUUUUUCUUUGCUGCUGUUCUUUCUUUCCCUGUUCUGCAGCUUUACCCCCUGUACCCUUCCACUCUUUUGACUACCUUGUCUUCUGAGUGUAAGCUUUUUGGUUCCGGGGUCCUUAGCUGUACUGUUGUAUAGCCUCUUGGUUCAAAAGUCAAUAUAAUACUUACCUUUUACCAAAAAAAAAAAAAACUUCAAUAUUACAAUCAUUCUCCCAUAAUUGUGUUAGAUCUAUGAACAAUAUUGUCAUAUCUUUCCCAUAAGAGAACCACUUAAUAAAUGAAUUGAUCUAUUACUAUCGUUCAAUAAAAUGAAAAACAAAUGUUUAUGUCUGUUUUUGACAUCUAAACUUUGCCUUUUUUAUUUAGGACUUACUCGUAUAGAAAAUUAUGGAUUAGUCUAUAAAAAAGGUAAAAAGUAAAAUAAACAAUUUUCAUUAAAAUGCACCACAUUUUCAUUAAAUUGCAUCUCAUAUAGACAUUAGGAACAUUUGCAUUACUAGUAUUAAAAAAUUUUAAAAUAAUUUUUUAAAUUAAGAUUAGAAAAAAAUAACAAAAAAUAAAAACGCAGCCGGGCCGGGCUGGGGCCAGCCCGAGCCCGGCCCCUCCUUUUCCCUUUCUUUUUCCCCCUCGUGGCCUAGCCCGCUUCUAUUCCUUCUAUUCCCCCCGCGCGGCACACCUUUCUUCCUCCGCGGCCCAUCUCGCUCUUCUUCCUCCUUCGUCCUCCUUCCCUCGCUUGGACGUCAGCUUCAGGACAAAACAGAGAGUGGGUCGCUGGCCGAAGGACGCAAGGUCGCGAGGUUGCGCGCAACGUUCGCCCUGGAAUGUCAUGCGGUGCGAAGCCAGCUGGUCUCGUCCUUGAAGAAAGGGAGAGAAACGAGAUAAAUGGGAGAGAAAGGCAGCAAAGGGAAGGGGGGUCUCUCUGGUUUUCUUGGGUUUGUUCGGCCGAGGAAGAGCAACCGAGAGAGAGAGAGAGAGAGAGAGAGAGAGAGAGAGAGAGAGCUGGUGAGAGUGAGAAGGCGAGCUCGAGAGAGAGAGAAAAUGAGCGAGCCAGAUAAGAGAGGAAAGAGAGGCGACUGUGUUCUCGAGUUCUUCCGGGGAGGCUGGAGACAGCGAGAGCAACAGAGAGAGUGAGAUCCGAGAGAGUGAGCAAAGGGUGAAGUGGAGAGAGAACCGACAGUGAGUGGAGGGAUGGACUGACAGAAAGCGAGACCCAGAAGCUGAACUUCGUUCUCGGACAAACGUUGCCUGGCCAUCCCCAACAUAAACCAGCGAUCUUUAGCCGACACCCUCGAGCCCACGGCUACCUAUUCCCCAGCGCCCAAAUUCCUGGUGAGUUUUCAUUGGGUUCGAUCCACUUUUAUCCCGAUGAUCCUAGGCUCGUUGCAACAACGAGGCGGCCAACCAUAGCUUGUUUCGCUUCAGCCUCACCUUCUGGCCGUCGUCGCCAAGCCGGCUAGGGAUAUUCGCGGUCAAACACUUCUCUCUGGGAACUCCGGAACUCAAACAGUAGCUGGGUCUCGUUUUCCCUAGUCCACCAGCAUCCUUGGUUUGAACGAGCCGUCCCUUUUGUCGAGUUUGAGCAUCACUUGCUAUUUUCUUUUGAGUCUGGACACGAGCUAGAGUCUAGAAUGGAGGACCAUUUUCACGUGGAAUUUCACGACCACUAAAGAGAUUAAGAUUGUUAAUUUUUUCCAUUUUCUACUUUAGCAUCAUUUUUUAUGCUGCUUUAUUUUGGUAAUAAUAAAACUUAAAAUUUAUACUUCUCUGUCUGCAAUCUCUAAACGAAGUGGAGAUCACGCGUUCCUUAUGAACAUCGGUGUCUCGAGGAAUAUUUACUUUGUAGGAAAACUCAUAUGCAUGGGACAACAGUAAGGAAUAUAAUGUUUGUUCUGAACAAUGCAAGGCACCAUCUCAUGUCUUAUCAUCAAGUGAACACACAAGUUCUUACCACAUUUAGGGAUUGAGCUUUCGUAAUACAUAAUAUGCUCUAACAUAACAUCACAUGUUCAAUUUCCAGUCAUCAUAAAGGCAAAAUUGUUAGCCUACUCUGUCUUUACUCUUUGACAUGUGCCGGUCAUUCAUUGGUUAGGCUUGGACCCAUCCCGUGACAUGAGGACCAAGUUAGAGAUAGCUUGAGCACGUAGCUGUCUUCGAUGUGGGUGAUCAACCAGAGGUCGAAGGGUGGGGAUGAGAGGUUUUGAUGGAAAUGAGAGAGAUUCAUUGCUCAAAAUGCAAACAUUGAUAUGAAGAAAAAGUUACCUUGUUAUACCAAGAGGAUUCACAUGAAACAAAAAUUGAAUACAUGCCAUACAACAUUCAUCAUCAUUUAUAAAAUAUGGACAUAACGAGUCCACCAAAAAACACUAGUGCCAUAUGAAAAACAUGUAAAAGCUUCACAAAUUACAUUUUGAAUGAUGAUGCAUGUUGAUAGUACUAUUUAUAAUUUUUGCAUCUCAUUAUAGGGGAACAAUCACACAAUACAUGAUUUCAUAAACUCAUGGUCAUGGUAAAAUUGGGAACUGCUAGAAACUAUCGGAGCACUUGAUGAAGAUGAGACUGUUUCAAGUUCUAUCUCAGCGUCAACAUCAUCAACCAGUGCCUCUCUCGGAUACAAAAGUGGUUUUGGAGGCAAUUGCAGUUUAUUCAUAUCUCCUUCAAGCAUAUCUAGGACUUUCCUCAUCGAUGGCCGAUUAUUAGGGCUUAAUUGUAUACACCAUAGUGCAACGAUUAUCAUCUUCCUCGUUGUUUCUCUUUCCUCUUCUAUGACAUCUACCCUUUCAAGUUCCUUUUCUUUGGCGAGUUGAUCAUAAACCCACAAAGGAAAGUAAAUUUGACUUGAACGCUCUGCCUGUGCAUUUAUAUUUCUCCUUCUACCAGCCAUUUCCAUUAAUAACAUCCCAAAACUAUAAACAUCAGCUUUGUAAGAAAUGCCACCAAUGUCUUUAUAGAAUAGCUCAGGAGCCAUAUAACCCAAGGUUCCUCUUGCUGCAGUCAGCGAUACUAUACUACGAUCGGUGGGAUAAAGUCUUGCAAGUCCAAAGUCAGAAACUUUUGGAGUGAAACUUCGGUCUAAGAGAAUGUUGUGAGGCUUGAUGUCAAAAUGUAGAAUUUGCAUAUCACAUCCCCGAUGUAGAUACUCUAUCCCUCUAGCUAUGCCGAGAGAUAUCUCAUACAUUUUCUUAUAAUCAAGAGGAUCAUCACCAUCCUUAUAGGAAAUGUGUUUAUCCAAAGAUCCGUUCGGCAUGAAAUCAUAGACAAGAGCUUGUUUGGAGUAAUCGAAGCAAAAACCAACAAGUUGCACCACAUUAACGUGGUGGAUCCUUCCAAUUGUGGCCACUUCGCUUAUAAAAUCUUGGCCAUCAGAUUUUGAUUUGGUCAAAACCUUAACCGCAACUUCAUUGCCACUUCUAAGUAUUCCUUUGUAUACGGAACCAUAUCCCCCCUCACCUAACUUGCAUUUGAAAUUUUUUGUGAUCCUCUUGAUAUCUGAGUAAGAGUACCUUAUGGGCAAAAAGUUAUUGUGAGCUUGUAGGAAUUCUUCGAUGUUUGCAUCGGUCGCUUGAUGCCUUCUCAUCCACUUGAAGAUUAGAAGUAUCAACACACAUGGAGCUCCAAGUAUGAAUUUUGCCGCUAGGUAUUGGUCUGCAGAGAAAUUUGGCAAUCGAUUAGCAUAGUGUGAUAAUUUUUUUUACACGUACAAUUUUUGUUUGUCAGAGUGAUGAAUGAGAGCUUCAUAGGUGUGAAGAGAAAAGGACUUAUCAUACCCAAGACAAAGAAGAAAUUCGUUGCGGUAAUUUCAGCAGAACCGCCCACGCUAGUAUCAUCUGUAGAUAGUAAGAGAAUUCGUGAGAGAUUACUAAGUAUGGUUAAUUAGAAUUAACGACCAAUCAAUAAAGAACUAGAUCCAUUGUUUUAGCAGUUAAAUAAUAAAAGCAAUUCACGUUAAGAUAUACCCCAAGUGAAAGAUAGAUUCAUACAAUCACUGCAAAGUGCAAAGACACAAUUUUUUUAAUUGAAAUUUGCAAGUGGAUAAGUCUACAAUAAAAAAAGAGUGAACGAGUCUUACUUUUCUAGAUGACGCUCAGAUUCAACUUUAUCCUAUUCAAUCCUAAAAUCCAUGUUAUCGUUGCAUGAUCUUUUCUUUUGAAGAAACACGUUUUUGCUUUUGUUCUCCUAAAUGUACCAAAUGUUCAUAAGUUCCCCAUAACAUUAACGGCGAUUCAAGGGACACAAGCUACUAUCAAAUCAAAUAGUUUUCUCCCAAAAAAAUGCCUAAUUCCCUAAAAAACCCUCUAGUUCUAGUCCAAUUUUGGCCCAAACCUUUUUUGUCUCAGAAAAAACUCCAAAUUUUAAAUACCAUCCCAAAUUUGCCUCGAAAUUUGUUUUGUUUAAAAAAAAAAUACCAACUUUUAAUAUAUUCCCAAAUUUACCCCAUGGUCCAGUCCCAACUUAACGUGGCAUUUCCACAUCGAUAACAAAUUCAUUUCAGUAAGGUGACAUGAAAAAUUAUUUUCAAAAUGAAACCAUUCUACGAUAUGAAAAUUGGGGACUACUAACAACAAUUUUUUAUCAGAGGGCUAACGGGGCAGAUUUGGGAUUAAAGUAAAAAUUGGCAUUUUUUCUUUUAGACAAAAAAAUUUCGAGAUAGAUUUAGGAUUGGCCUAAAGUUUGAGUUUUUUUCUAGACAAAGGAAAGUUUGAGGCAGAUUUGGACUGGACCUAAAGAUUAGGAUUUUUUUUUUAGACAAAAAAAGAUCAUAGCAAAAUUGGGACUAAACUUAAAGUUGCGGUUUCCUUUUUAAUGAAUAAAGCCAAAAAAAUAAAAUAAAGAAAUAGUGUCACGUCCAGAAAAGCUCCAUAGUUGUAAAAUAAAAAAGCAAUGCACACCAAAUCUACUAAAAAAUAUUACUGAACUUUUUCACCAAACGAAUGUGGCAAUUUUUUUUUAUUGGGUAUUAAAGAAAUUGAUGACUCAAUAAAUUGAAACAAACGUAUUGCAAUAUCCAAUUGAAACAUGCCACAUCACUCAGUAAGUAAAUUUUGAUAAGAUCCCUCAGUAGAGCUAACAUUUAAGAAAAGGAUGAGGAUGAAUAAGAAGAAGAAGAAGAAGAAGAAGAAAGAAAUUAAGAGAGUAAAGGAAGAAAAGCUUCAGGGAAAGUCAGCUUACGAGAGUAAUAUCGUGUGAACCCCGCCCAUACAUAAUAUAUCCCGCGACGCCAGUACAUUACCGAAUGCCGAUGAGACGGAUACGGCAUCAAAACCAGCCUAGGACGAGAUCCAUAAUAACUGAGAUUGAAUCCUUCAGCCAUCAUGUCAUGGAGGUCCUUAUACGAUGGGCUCACACGGUUAUAACUCGAGAAGAAAGUCAUCAUGGUUAUGUUGCAAGAAUCCUUGAUGUCCCCUACUUGUAUACCAUCCCCAUACAUAGCGUAUGAGUACCCCCUCAUUUGGGAAAUAUUAGGGGGCGUAUCGGAAGGGUAUGCUCCCUCAAUACAUGGUUCAGUAUUGAUAUACGAAGCAGAAGCAACGGGCUGUGAGCACUUCAUGAAGACCAGCGCCGCAGAGGAAGGAACAAACCCGGAUCCCGGGUAUAGAUAAUUAUCACUAAAGUAGGAUCUCGAUAAAUAAUUACUAAAGUUGGUACUCGCCAAUAAGUAACGAGGGAGGGAUGAGCAAUUACUUUUUUGCAAUCCAUCAUCAAUUACGGUGAUAUUACAAGAGAAAUCAUAUCCGAAAUUAUUGUCAUAGUAAAUCGACUUCACAUAAUAUCGACCGCCAUACAAAUAUAGAACGGUGCGAUUAUUUUCACAAGCUAGCUCAUACUCACCACAGCCUUCCAGGUCACCUUUCAAUCGAAAAGGAUAGUGUAUGUCACGAACAUCACCGCAAGAUAAAGGGAUGCACAAGUAAUUAUUCUUCGCACCGCAACUUGUCCCCAGUAGUAGCAGAACAUGCAAUAUGAAAAGCAAAACACGGAACAUGCUCAUGGAGCUCAGAGACUUAAUCAUCUCUCUAUCGUUUGAUCUAAUGCAAUGAAAGUUUUUGCUAAUUGGUACUGCGAUGGAGACCUAGUUAUAUGAAUGAAAAGCGUCGGGUCGUCGGUCAUACAAAUGUCCAAGUCAACCAAUAAAGGCAAGUCUAGUGAAGAAAAAGUGUGUACCGCGUGGAAAUUGCAACCCUUAAAGUCUAGGUGACAAAACACGGUGUUGGAAUUAUUUAUGCAUGGCUUUCACAUUGAUUAGAAAAGAAACUUCUCUGCAAUUUCCAAAUUGACUCUUCUUAGUACCAUAAAAAAAGAAUCGAUUUGAAUGUUUUAUAUUCUAAAAUAAAUUUAAAAUCCUUUCGAGUGAGGCAUUGGCGUUCUGGUUUCUUUUCAAGGCUAAUAUUCCAUAAAUGUCACUUAUUAAAUUGUGAAGACAAAAAGGAAAUAUAUAUCGUAUUUUAUUGUAUGAGCUUUUUCAUUUUUAACAAAAAACAAAAAUUGGUAACAAAAAUAGCUUAUUGGUGGAAUAUUAACUUGUAUAAUGUCGCUUUUGGCAAAAGUAAAAUGAAAAUAAGGAGUAAGUGCUUCUUGGAUGGUGUAACACGAUAUGAAAGAAAGAAAGCAAUACAAUAAUUGCUUCUUGGAUGGUGUAACACGAUAUGAAAGAAAGAAAGCAAUACAAUAAUUGCUGUCAAGGGACCGACACACCUAGAAAGCAAUACAAUAAUUGCUAUCGAGGGAUUGAUGCACCUAGAAAGCAAUUUGCUAUCAAGGGACCGACACACCUGGAAAGCAAUACAAUAAUUGCUAUCGAGGGACCGACACACCUAGAAAGCAAUACAAUAAUUGCUAUCGAGGGACCAACGCACUAACUUUGUCAUCACGAAAAGACUAGAUGCAAAAUUUGACUUCAAAAAUAUAAAGCGACGUUUAUUUAUUCACUGUCAACUUUAAUAUUUCAAUCACUCUCCCACAAUUGUGCUAGAUCUAUGAACAAUACUAUCAUCUCUUUCCUAUAAUAGAACCACUUAAUGAUUGAACUGAUCAAUUUCAAUAAUACUAUCAUUUUAUCAAAUGAAACGAAUGUUGUUGCCCACUUCAUGAUCAUCUUCCAUAUCUGAAUGUGUGGAAUUGAGGGUGUCAUGUAAGCUCAAAUGAGACUAUCGGUCAAUUUACCAUUCUGAACAUAACAUCAAAGAGUUUCGCAUAGCAAUUCUUCUCAACGAAAUAGAAACGCCUUCAAUAGUUGUAAUUAGCACUUACCAUAUAUUUUCUCAAGCUAAUGCAUGCCCCUAAGUAUAAUUGAAGGGACUGAAAUGAUUUUCCGUAUAAUACAACAAAUUUUAUUUUAACUGACGCAUCCAAUGACGUUUUAACUGCCCAUGUUCAAUUUUUUGUAGUAAUAUUAUUACUGAUUACGUUUUUAUUUUUCUUUUUAUUGCAUAUUACCCUUUCUGGAAAUAGGUUCGUUCUGCGAGCAUCUCCACAGCAAUGAUACUUUAGUUGCUUUCUAUCAUCAUUAAUAAUUCAGCAAUGAUUAGUCAAAAUUUUAAGUAGAAAAUCUCUCGGUGAAAGUAUCCUAUAUUAUCUCUUGCACGUAUACCAAAUGAUUUGGACAUACAUUAUGCAAAUUGAUGUAUCAACUAUCGAUUCUUCAGAGCCAUAGUAAACUAUAGAAAAAUAAUAAUCUACUUCGUAGUGUUGGAUUUUUCCUUUUUGACAAAAAUGAAAUUUGUAACUGAAAAAAUUAAUAACGGCACUGAAGACUAUCGUUGCACAUUACGAGAAAAGAAUAAAGGCCAUACAAUAAUUUCUCAACCAGCAAUAGAUGGACGCGAGCCUUGAUUUGAAAGUCGCUUUGUCAUUGCCCAACACGCACGAAGACUAUAGGUGCAAUAUUUGCAUUCAUUAAAAUAAAGUAAUACGUGCUUUUUCACUAGCGAUUGAAAGUAUUAUUCUUGUAAAUCAAUCACUCACUCUCCUGUAAAAUAACCCCAUCUCUUUCCCGAAAUAAAACCGAAUGAACUGACAGAUCUCAACAAUUACGUCGUUUUAUCGGACAAAAGAUGCUGUUACCUGCUUCAUAAUCAUUUUCCAUCUUCGAAUGUGUGGUAUUGCAAGUGUCAUGUAAGCUCAAAUGGGACUACAACGAAGAGUGCUGCCAUUAUCAUUCUCUGUUGAUAGCUGCUUGAAUCUGCUCAAGACUCCUCCCUUUCGUUUUAGGGACCACCGUGAUCACGAACACCAUCUCUCCGGCGUUAAUUGCCGCAUAAAGAAGGAAGGUACCUGUGAAGCAAGCCGGUAGAGUUAUUUGCUUUCGACAAGUUUUACGGAAGCAUAUUCUGACAUUUUUCUCAUGGGAACAAUGCUGUAAUAUAUACUACCUGUCUAUUAAUCAUUCUGCAGAAAGACCCAAUUCACUUAUUUUCUUUUCUAAAUGACACGUCGACUCAAUUUUCAUGAUAUUCGAAUCUAGGUAGAAGUUGCUGUAAACACAUUGAUUGAAAUAAAUGGACUGAAUAUGCAUUCGAGACCGUGAAGAACAGAGUGACAGACACCUCCAGCUCCAAAUAGGAUUGAAGUUUUCAGGAAAAGCUAAGUCUCAAGUCUGUAGUUUGGUUGAAUUCACGCAACAACUUAUGUUCCAAUGUGACAAAUGUUUAUCGAGCUCCUGCCAGAGCAACAGUUCAAAGAGCGUUUUCAGCAGAGUCGUAACAUAGGAGCUCCAGCUCAUUAAGUAGUUGAAAGUGUAGGAAACUGCCCAAGCGCCGAACCAAUUUACUAGUGUUGCAAACCCUCCAGCUACUCCUUUGAUAUUAAUGGGGAAAAUCUGAACACGAGCAACACAUUACAUGAUUGGCAAAUUUUUUUGAAACACUCGUAACAACACCAGUUAGGAAACGGCCCUUUAAUUUGAUAAGCAUGAAACUUCGGGGGAUGUUUAGGAUUACCUCGGACAUCACAACCCAAGGAACCGCGCCCAUUCCAGCGGAAAAUGCUGCUUUGUAUAGCUGAGCAUUGGAAAAAACAGAACAGAAAAAUUAAUAGUUGGGAGUUGUUGUGGCGGCCAACCGGAUAGAGCCAGAAAGAGAUCAAGGAAGGUGAGAUUAUCACCAAAAUGCCGGUGAUGGCAAGUAUCGGGACAGCAUCAGCUGCCGGAUCAUGAACCUGGUGUUAUAAUUAUGGUUAUAAUUAUGGUUAAUGAAUCAACGAAUGCCAAUAAAUUAAGAUACGUCUUUUCUAUUCACGUAUCUCUUUUGGAUUCAUGAAUUUCUUAAACUUUUCCGUUCACGUAUCUAUUGAAUUCAUGAAUUUCCUAGAUCCAUAUAUCUUUUAGUUCAUGUAUUUAUUGAGUUCAUGAAUCUCUUGAAUUCACGUAUCUCUAGAUUCGUGAAUCUCUUGAAUUCACGUAUCUCUGGAUUCGUGAAUCUCUUGAAUUCUUGUAUCUCUUGAUUCGUGAAUCUCAUAGAUACAUGCGUCUAUUUAAUUCAUGUAUCUAUUCUAUACAUGAACUAAAAUCUCUUUAAAUAGAUGGGAGCAUAGAGCUUCAUUACGGUCUUUCGGUUUUGGUUUUUCUGACUCCAUUCCAAAAAAGCUUUGAUAUACAUUUCAACUCUUCUGUUUUUUCUGAGUGUGCUGGUUCAAUUGAACGGUUCGACUGAGUCCUGUUUGCAUAGUGCUAAUCCAAACAAGUUCGAGGCGUUGUAUCUUGGGAGGCAUAGUUCGUGAAUCUGCGGAGCACCAUCGCCUUAAGGAGAUUCGGAUAUCCGUACCUCACCUCCAAUUUUAUGUUAUAUCUUAUUUUCUUCUUCUCCAAGAGUUGUAAGUUUACAUAAAAAGAAGAAUAUUAUAUAGCUGUUAUCGUCUUCUCAACAUUGAUGUUUUGAUUACAACAAACAGUGUGUAUUCUUUGGAUUAAUUUCCAACAAUCUUAAGGCGAAUAUCUCACUUACUGUUUGUUGUUCUUCUCCAAGAGUUAUUAUUGAGAUGGCUGGAAACAAUCAAGUGCCCUUCAAUGUCCCGAAUGUUUCAAGAGACGUUCCUAUGGUCGAUUCGACCGUUGCUAUGGAAGAUGUUCAACCCUCAAGGUUUGAAUUUGUAGCAGCCAAUGCUACAGGCCCUUGGGCUAACACAAUUUUGGUGGUGAGGGUGCGAAUCAUCUCACUGGUAUACCCGGGACUGUUUUUAAAAAAAGUAUGUGCCAAAUGGCUCUUGGCUCUAUUUCUGGAGGGAUGGUUCAACUAACCUUGCCUACAAUGAUGGCAACGCCUCCAUUUACAGCUAAUGAGAAACCGGACAAAUUUACCGGAGUGGGCUUUAAACAGUGGCAGCAGAAGAUGUUCUUCUAUCUGACCAUGCUCAAUCUGACAAAAUAUUUAUCGAAGGUGUGCCCGAUAAUUAGUCCAAACAAGCAAGAUGUCAUGACGCUCGGUGCAUUGGAGGCUUGGAAGCAUGGGGACUUCUUAUGCCGAAAUUAUAUCCUAAACUGUUUAGUGAAUUCUCUUUAUAAUGUUUAUUGUAAUAUUGAAUCUGCUAAACAGUUAUGGGAGUCCUUAGAGAAAAAAAAUACAAAACUGAGGAUGUUGGCACCAAGAAAUUUGUGGUUGCCAAAUUCUUGGACUACAAGAUGGUGGAUUCUAAAUCUGUCAUGAGUCAGGUUCAAGAAUUGCAAUUAAUUCUGAGUGACAUCUCGGCUGAGGGAAUGAUACUUAGUGAAUCAUUCCAAGUGGCAGCCAUGAUUGAGAAACUACCUCCGGGCUGGUCAGACUUCAAAAAUUAUUUGAAGCACAAACGGAAGGAGAUGAGCCUUGAAGAUCUCAUUCUGCGCCUCAGAAUCGAGAAGGACAAUAGAAGGAGUGCGAACCCUUCUUCUAAGCCAAAGGCCAAUGUUGUGGAAUCUUCCAAAUACAAGCAAGAUAGAAAAAGAAGAUGUAUUUUCAAGGAAAAUGCAAGCAGAAAGAGCAGUUCUAGAAAUUUCAAGGGACGUGUUUUAUAUGCAACAAGCCUAGCCAUCGUGCUAAGGAUUGCAAGAAGCGCCCGAAAAAAGGCAAGAACGAAGGUGCAGCCCAGCAACUGAAUUUGACAGAGCAUGACAAUAUUGAGAGAUUGUCUGCUGUGGUAAUGUCCAAAGCAUCUCUGGUGUCGAACACUAAUGGCUGGUGGCUAGACACGGGUGCCACAAAUCACAUAUGUGCAGAUAAACACGUGUUCUCAUCUUAUGAGAAGGCUGAAGAAUAUGAGAAGCUUUAUAUGGCUAACUCUGCAUCAGCAAAGAUUGCUGGAAGAGGAAAGGUGAUCCUAAAGUUUACAUCUGGCAAGGAGAUCGCCCUGUUGAAUGUGCUGCAUGUACCGGAGAUUCGGAAAAAUCUAAUUUCUGGCACUAUACUUGUCAAGAAGGGAUUCAAAGUUGUCUUUGAAUCUGACAAGUUUGUACUUUCAAAAGGAGGGACGUAUGUGGGGAAAUGGUACUUGUGUAAUGACCUGUUUAAGGCCAAUGUGGCUGUCAUUGAUGUAAACUCAAAGUAUGUGUACCCAAAGACUAUUAAUAAAGAAAAUUCUUCAGUUUACACUGUUGUGUCUCCUUAUCUAUGGCAUGGUAGAUUAGGACAUGUAAACUAUGGUACAAUGAAAAGAAUAGUAAACUUGGGAUUAAUUCCAAGAUUUGAGUUGGAUACCCAUUACAAGUGUGAGACUUGUGUUGAGGCCAAGUUUGCCAAGAAACCUUUCAAAUCCAUUAAAAGAACAAGUGAACCUCUACAAUUAAUCCAUAGUGAUCUAUGUGAUUUAAUGUUUGUAGAAAGUAGAGGUGGAAAGAAGUACUUCAUCACAUUUGUGGAUGACUGUACUAGAUUUUGCUAUGUUUAUUUACUAACUAGCAAAGAUGAGACUAUGAGCAUGUUUGUCAAGUACAAAAAUGAAGUUGAAAACCAACUUGAUAAACGAAUUAAAGCGCUUAGGUUUGAUAGAGGAGGAGAAUACAGUUCAAUCAAUUUCAAAGAGUUUUGUGCUCGUUUUGGAAUAAUUCUCCAACCGACUGCACCUUAUACUCCACAACAAAAUGGAGUUGCUGAACGAUUGAACAGCACACUAAAGAAGAUAGCUAAUGCCAUGCUUUUGAGUUCAGGUUUACCUCAGAACUUGUGGGGGGAGGCAGUUUUAACUGCAAAUCAUAUUCUUAAUAAAAUACCACACAAAAAGACAAGUAAAACUCCAUACGAGUUAUAGAAUGGAAAGUUGCCAUCCUACAAUUUUCUAAAAGUGUGGAGGUGCUUGGCCAAGGUGGCAAUUCCUCCUCCGAAACAAACUAAGUUGGGACCUAAAACAGUGGAUUGCAUAUUCAUCGGUUAUGCUCAAAAUAGUAGUGCAUAUAGAUUUUUGGUUCAUAAAUCUGAAAAUGCAGAAAUUUAUGUCAAUACAAUCCUAGAAUCAAGGGAUGCUGAAUUUUUUUGAGGAUAUAUAUCCUGCAAAAGGAAAUCAAGGAGAACUUUCUCAGAAAAGGCUUAGAGAAUCAGAAUCUGAGAAUGAUGAAGUUGUGACCAAAGAAGCCGAACUUCGAAGGAGUAAAAGGUCUCGAAUCGAAAAAUCUUUUGGACCUGAUUUUCUAACAUACAUGUUAGAAGGUGAGCCCCAAACAUAUAAAGAGGCAAUGUCAUCUCCAGAUGCUCCUUUCUGGAAGGAAGCUAUUGACAAUGAAAUCAAUUCUAUCCUAAGUAACCAUACUUGGGAAUUGGUUGAUCUUCCACCUGGAAAUAAACCAAUUGGGUGUAAAUGGAUUUUCAAGAAAAAAUUAAAAGCUGAUGGUUCCAUUGAUAAGUACAAAGCUCGGUUUGUAGCCAAAGGGUUUAGACAAAAAGAGGGUCUUGACUACUUUCAUACUUAUUCACCUGUCACAAGAAUAACAUCAGUAAGGAUGUUAAUUGCUAUAGCUUCGCUAUACAAUUUGCAGAUACAUCAAAUGGAUGUGAAAACUACAUUCUUAAAUGGUGAUCUCGACGAGGAGAUUUAUAUGGAACAACCUGAAGGGUUCAAGGUCAAAGGACAAGAAUACAAAGUGUGUAUACUUGUCAAAUCAUUGUAUGGACUUAAACAAGCUCUUAAGCAAUGGCAUGAGAAAUUUGACCGGGUAAUGAUUCAAAAUGGGUAUAGAAUCAAUGAGUGUGACAAAUGUGUGUACACUAAAUCCACUACAGUUGGAUAUGUACUUAUUUGUCUAUAUGUUGAUGACUUAUUAAUUCUUGGAGAUAACAUUGAGGUCAUCAAAAUCAUUAAGAACAUUCCCAAGAAGAACUUUGAGAUGAAAGAUUUAGGUGUCGUAGAUGUUAUACUCGACAUCAAAAUUCUAAGGAAUUUUGAUAGCUUAGGUUUAACACAAUCUCAUUACAUUGAAAAGGUAUUUGAGAGAUUUAAAGGAUUCGGCAUUAAAGAUGCAAACAANNNNNNNNNNNNNNNNNNNNNNNNNNNNNNNNNNNNNNNNNNNNNNNNNNNNNNNNNNNNNNNNNNNNNNNNNNNNNNNNNNNNNNNNNNNNNNNNNNNNUCGGCAGCAUCAUGUAUAUCAUGAAUUGCACUAGACCUGAUAUUGCAUACUCAGUAAGCAAAUUGAGUAGAUAUACCAGUAACCCAGGUCACGAGCAUUGGAAUGCUUUGAUGAGAGUAUUAGGAUAUUUGAAAAGGACAAAAGACUAUGUUCUACAAUAUGUCAAAUAUCUAGCUGUUUUGGAAGGUUAUUGUGAUGCCAAUUGGAUUUCAGAUUCUGAUGAAUCGAAAUCAACUAGCGGAUAUGUGUUCACGCUAAGAGGUGCUGCAGUGUCAUAGAAAUCCUCUAAACAAACUCUAAUAACGCGCUCUACAAUGGAAUCAGAGUUUGUUGCUUUGGAUAAAGCUGCUGAAGAAGCAGAAUGGCUUCAACAUUUUUUAGAAGAUGUUCCAAUAUGGCCAAAACCUAUGCCUGCAAUUUGCAUACACUGUGACAAUCAAGUGGCAAUUGCAAGGGUGCAUAAUGUGAUUUAUAACGGUAAGUCUAGACAUAUUCGUUGUAGACAUAAUACCGUAAGGCAGUUGCUCUCAAAUGGAAUCAUCUCUUUAAACUUUGUAAAGUCAAAGGAAAACAUUGCGGAUCCGCUGACAAAAGGUUUGUCAAGAGAGUAGAUAAACUGUGCAUCGAGGGGAAUGGGUUAAGAGCCUUAACCCAAUAAAGAGAUUCCAGGGUGGAAACCUAACCUAUCCGAUUGGAGAUCCCAUGGUCUAGGUUCAAUAGGACAACGCAAAUUUUGGAAACUCUAGUGUAAGCACUGUCUCCCAUUCCUAUGAUGCAACAAUGCUUUCCUACAGCGUUAUUAAGGGUACGCUAUGCGUUUAAUGAUUCCUAUAACUUGGAUAUAAUAUCCAAGUAAAAUAUGGUGGAUAUCUUAAUAGGAAUGCACCUUAUAUGCGUGGAGCUGGCCGACUCCUAUGAAAAUUCUUUUACNNNNNNNNNNNNNNNNNNNNNNNNNNNNNNNNNNNNNNNNNNNNNNNNNNNNNNNNNNNNNNNNNNNNNNNNNNNNNNNNNNNNNNNNNNNNNNNNNNNNNNNNNNNNNNNNNNNNNNNNNNNNNNNNNNNNNNNNNNNNNNNNNNNNNNNNNNNNNNNNNNNNNNNNNNNNNNNNNNNNNNNNNNNNNNNNNNNNNNNNNNNNNNNNNNNNNNNNNNNNNNNNNNNNNNNNNNNNNNNNNNNNNNNNNNNNNNNNNNNNNNNNNNNNNNNNNNNNNNNNNNNNNNNNNNNNNNNNNNNNNNNNNNNNNNNNNNNNNNNNNNNNNNNNNNNNNNNNNNNNNNNNNNNNNNNNNNNNNNNNNNNNNNNNNNNNNNNNNNNNNNNNNNNNNNNNNNNNNNNNNNNNNNNNNNNNNNNNNNNNNNNNNNNNNNNNNNNNNNNNNNNNNNNNNNNNNNNNNNNNNNNNNNNNNNNNNNNNNNNNNNNNNNNNNNNNNNNNNNNNNNNNNNNNNNNNNNNNNNNNNNNNNNNNNNNNNNNNNAACUCGUAUGGAGUUUUAUCUGUCUUUUUGUGAGGUAUUUCAUUAAGAAUAUAAUUUGUAGUUAAAACUGCCCCCCCACAAGUUCUAAGGUAAACUUGAACUCAAAAGCAUGGCGUUAGCCAUCUCCUUUAGUGUCAUGUUCAAUCGUUCGGCAACUCCAUUUUGUUGUGGAGUAUAAGGUGCAGUCAUUUGGAGAAUUAUUCCAAAGCUAGCACAAAACUCCUUGAAAUUGAUUGAACUAUAUUCUCCUCCUCUAUUUUGAGGUGUAGAAUGAGAUCUUCAUGGCUCAUCUCCUUCCGUUUGUGCUUCAAAUAAUUUUGAAGUCUGACCAGCCCGGAGGCAAUUUCUCAAUCAUAGCCACCACUUGGAAUGAUUCACUAAGUAUCAUUCCCUCAGCAGAGAUGUCGCUCAUAAUUAAUUGUAAUUCUUGGACCUGACACCAUCUUGUAGUCCAAGAAUUUGGCAACCACAAAUUUCUUGGUGCCAGCGUCCUUAGUCUUGUAUUUCUUCUCUAAGGACUCCCAUAACUGUUUAGCAUAUUCAAUAUUACAAUAAAUGUUAUAUAGAGAAUUCACUAAAUAGUUAAGAAUAUAAUUUUAGCAUAAGAAGUCUCCAUGCUUCCAAGCCUCCAAUGCACCGAGCGUCGUGACAUCUUGCUCAUUUGGACUGAUUAUCGGGCACACCUCCGAUAAAUAUUUUGUCAAAUUGAGCAUGGUCAGAUAGAAUAACAUCUUCUGUGCCACUGUUUAAAGUCCACUCCAGUAAAUUUCUCCGGUUUCUCAUUAGUUGUAACUGGAGGUGUUGCCAUCAUGGUAGGCAAGGUUCGUUGAACCAUCCCUCCGGAAACAGAGCCAAAAGCUGUUUGGCCUAUACCGUUCUGAAAAAUAGUCUGAAGCAUACCAGUCGUAUGACUUGUACCCACACCACCAAAAUUGGUGUUAGCCCAAGGGCCCGUAGCAUUGGCUACUACAAAUUCAGACCCUGAGGGUUGAACAUCUUCCAUAGCAACAGUCGAAUCGACCAUAGGAACGUCUCCUGAAAUAUUUGAGACAUUGAAUGGCACUUGAUUGUUUUCAGCCAUCUCAAUAAUCUGACAAGAACAACAAACAAUGAGUGAAUAAUUGCCUUAAGAUUGUUGGAAAAUAAUCCAAAAGAAAACACAAACUGUUUGUUGUAAUCAGAACAUCAAUGUAAAGAAGACGAUAAUAGCUAUAUAUAUUCUUCUUUUUAUGUAAACUUACAACUCUGGAGAGAAGAAAUAGAUAUCAUUGAAAAAUAACAUAAAAUUGGAGGUGAGGUACGGAUAUCCGAAUCUCCUUAAGGCGAUUAGUUCCUGCCAAUGGUGCUCCGCAGAUUCACGAACUAUGCCUCCCAAGAUACAACACCUCGAACCUGUUUGGAUUAGCACUAUACAAACAGAACUUAGUCGAAUCGUUCAAUUGAACCACCAUACUCAGAAAAAACGGAAGAGUUGAAACGUAUAUCAAAGUUUUUUUGGAAUGGAGUCAGAAAAACCAAAACCAAAAGACUGUAAUGAAGCUCUAUGCUCCCAUCUAUUUAAAGAGAUUUUAGUUCAUGUACAGAAGAGAUACAUGAAUUAAAUAGAUGCAUGUAUCUAUGAAAUUCAUGAAUCAAGAGAUACAUAAAUUCAAGAGAUUCACGAAUCCAGAGAUAUGUGAAUUCAAGAAAUUCGUGAACUCAAUAGAUACAUGAACUAAAAGAUAUAUGAAUCUAGGAAAUUCAUGAAUUCAAUAGAUACGUGAACGAAAAGUUUAAGAAAUUCAUGAAUCCAAAAGAGAUACGUGAAUGGAAAAAAUGUAUCUUAAUUUAUUCGCAUUCGUUGAUCCAUUAAUCAUAAUUAUAACCAUAAUUAUAACACCUGGCUCGGAAGAUUCUCAAAAAAUUACUGGUUGACAAGCAUUGCAAAGCAGAAGGAGGAUACUAGGACUGAUAGUAUUUACCUUUAGAAAGAAUGAAAGGGCAGUUAUUGUGCAUCCCAAAACCAAUCCCGUCCUCGGGAUCUGCGAUUGAGAGAGAGAGAGAGAGAGAGAGAGAGAGAAGGUUAUGGUUCAAGUUGCCGAACUCGCGAAGGGGCAGAACUAGAAAAGCUCUGUUACUAUAGACAUGAUUUCUUAGCGACUUUCGUCUAUUUUACCAAGAGAAGGGGCUUUCUUCCAACUCUAUCAACCAGUGUGGUGCCAAUAGCCGUGACAAUAACCUACAAAAAUUUAUUCUUUAAGCGUGACGUGUAUAAAACUAGAUCCCCGGCAAAGAGGAAAGGGCGAGAAUUACAGACCUAGAGGAUUGCAUAAAUUAUGGUUCCAACGCUAGAGGAGAAACCUGAGGAGAUUGUACAAAUGAGAUUAUAGAGACUAAUACCUUACUUAUGAGAUUCAACACUAAAUUAUGUGAAUAGCUCAUUAAGUGAUAACUAACCCAUUUGAAUAUUAACUGGAUUUUAUAAAUUGGAACCCUUGCUAUGCUUUUUAUUUGGUUAUCCGUUCUGGAAUCAUAAAAUGCAAUGCAUAAUUUCAUUUUUGUGGUGCCCAAGAGCUUCUUGCUAUGAACUUCAUACCUCCUUCUUCGAAAAUAUUGCUUGUCUAGAAACAGACGCCGUUUAUCCCUCCAAACUGCUGCACGACCAUCAAUCCAACACCAAUCUGGCCAAAAUUUAACAAAUUUGUUAGCAAAAAGAACAACAAUGGGAAAUAUCACCAAAAGUACAUCUACUGCAUAUUCCUGAUCCACAGGGCAUUCCAAGAAAGCAACGAAGGAGGGACUUUAUUGGAUACGUAGCAGUAAAUACAGAGAGAAGAUUACAAUUACAUAUAGAUAUUAGGAACAUUUGCAUUACUAGUAUUAAAAAUUUUAAAAAUAAUUUUUUAAAUUAAGAUUAGAAAAAAAAAUAACAAAAAGUAAAAACGCAGCCGGGCCGGGCUAGCGGCCAGCCCUAGCCCGGCCCCUCCUUUUCCCUUUCUUUUUUCCCCCCGUGGCCCAGCCCGCUUCUGUUCCUUCUAUUUCCACCGCGUGGCCCACCUUUCUUCUUCUGCGGCCCAGCUCGCUCUUCUUCCUCCUUCCUCCUCCUUCCCUCGCUUGGACGUUAGCUUCAAAACAAAACAGAGAGUGGGUCGCUGGCCGAAGGACGAGAGGAUGCGAGGCUGCGCCCAACGUUUGCCUAGGAAUAUCAUGCGGUACGAAGCCAGCUGGUCUCGUCCUUGAAGAAAGGGAGAGAAACGAGAUAAAUGGAGAGAAAGGCAACAAAGGGAAGGGGGGUCUCUCUGGUUUUCUUGGGUUUGUUCGGCCAAGGAAGAGCAACUGAGAGAGAGAGAGAGAGAGAGAGAGAGAGAGAGAAGGAGCGAGCCAAAUAAGAGAGGAAAGAUAGGUGACUGUGUUCUCGAGUUCUUCCGGGGAGGCUGGAGACAGCGAGAGCAAUAGAGAGAGUGAGAUCCGAGAGAGGGACCAAAGGGUGAAGCGGAGAGAGAACCGAGAGUGAGCGGAGGGAUGGACUGAGAGAAAGCGAGACCCAGAAGCCAAACUUCGUCCUCGGACAAGCGUUACCCGACCAUCCCCAACAUAAACCGGCGAUCUCCAGCCAACACCCUCGAGCCCGCGGCCACCUCUUCCUCGCCGCCCGAAUUCCUGAUGAGUUUUCUUUGGUUUCGAUCCACUUUUAUCCCGAUCAUCUUGGUUCGGUGCAACAUCGAGGCGGUCGACCAUAGCUCGUUUCGCUUCAGGCUCAGCUCCUGGCCGUCGUCGCCGAGCCGAGUAGGGAUAUUCGCGGUCGAACACUUCUCUCUGGGAACACUCGAGUCACUCAAAUACUAUCUUGGUCUUUCCCAAGCCCCAAUUACACCCACUAAACCAAUCUUUCUUGGAUGUAAUUCAUGACAAAGAAAAUCCCUCCCAAGCACUCGACAAUAAGAUGGCGCUUCAAGACCAAUUCUUCAUGAUCAACGGCGGAACACCAAGCACUCACGCGGCGCUGACGUGCGGCUACAUUGAUCGUCGAACGUAUAUCUUCAUAUGUACAGUUUUCUUUUCUUUUAAACCGACUCCACACGCACGCCAAAGAAGGAAAUCGUGUGCCCAUGGUCAAAUAGUUGACCUGGGCCCACCAGCUCCUUAAUUCGGCUCACUUCACGUGCAGAGGACUCCUUGACGCAAAAAAUAAAUUCUUCUUCGUGUGUGUUGACUUUUGGGCUCCACCUGGUAAAAAGAAUUCGGCUACUCCUCUGCGACUGAUCUUUUCCAGCGAAUCGCAUUUUGUAAACACUCAAACUCGAGACAUAAUUUAACAAUUCUUCACCUUGGCUCGACAUUUGAGCUAAGUCGCAAUCACUUCACAAAAUUUCAAACUCUGCUGCUACUCUUCCAUAUCCCCCAAUUGGCUCAACCGCCACAGAUAUUAUCCAAGUCCAAGUCUCGCUUGAACUUCGCCAUAACCGAGGACCUCAUCAGAAUACCAACUCCACAUGCACCUUUAACCGCCCCGCAAGGAUUUUUCGACACAACCUCCUUAAUCACAGAUAAAACAAAACUAUUACUGCAUCUAUAUCUAUCAGGAGAUCGAAUACAUACCUUGUCAAUAUCAGUAGUUACAGCAACCGUUGGCUCUAUAGGCUCCACCUCACUAUGAGCAUCAUCUGUGUCGAUUACUUUGCUAGUACUCAUACUUGCUACCUCAGGAGUUUCUGGUCGCAACUCCACCUCAAGCUGAACACUGUCCAGAUCCGUAUUAACAUUACCACAAACACUCCUAGCCAGAAGUAUCGGAGACUUGUCAAGGAUAACUUCUCUGCUGUCAAUAUGUGAAUUUAUAUUCGGGCACCACAACUAAUCGCCCUACUCACCUUGUGCAUAGCCAUGGAAUAUGCACCUUGCCCUCCAAUCGAGCUUACCAUCACUCACUCGAAAAUAACGCAGGCAACCAAACAUUCUAAUAAUAGAAUAACCAGCAACGUUACCUAACCAUACUUCUUCAAGAGUCCGAUAUCCAAUCGCAGUCAAUGGGGAUCUAUUCACCAGGCAGCUUACCGUACUUAGCACAUCAACUAGGAUUCUCCUAGCAAUACCAGCACUAGAGAUAAUUUUUUGGGCCGUCUCUAUUAAUGUUCUGCUUAUCAAUUCUGUAAAUUGUUGUGAUUUACCCGCACUAGUGUGAUGUUUCACUAUGCCCUCUUUUAUGCAGAAUUUAUUUACCAGUUUUAAGCAAAACUCCAUGUUAUUGUCAGUCCGCACAUGCUUGAUCGACUUACCAGUCUCCGUCUCGAUCAAAGCUCUUGACUACGAGAUCCUGACACCAGUAUCAAACUUGUGCCUUGGCACAAACACCCAGGUUUUCCUCGAGUAGUCAAAAGACUCUCGAAUAGAUGCAUCUGACGUCUCCGCAGCGAAAUUUGUCACUGUCUCACCUUGAAAUGUAUACAGGUCUCCGUGCUUCAUUCCUUUCAUUGUCACCAAGGCACCUCGAACAACCUUCAGAACUCCACCUUUUGAAGAAUACCUGCAACCAGCUGAAUCUAGGGCACCAGAGGAAAUUAAGUUCUUUUUCAAUUCUGGAACAUGCCUCACUCUAGUCAAUGUCCUUACGAUACCAUCAUGCAUUCUGAUUUUAACAUCACCAACACCCACAACAUCGCACUCAGCGUUGUUCCUUAACUGGAUUUUACCACUACCCGUGCACUGAUAAGUGAUAAACUAGUUUCUAUUUGGUGUGACAUGAAAAGAACAACCAAAAUCCAUAACUCAUCCAUCAAGUGAUGAAUCAUUAGUGACAGACAUCGGCAUUAUCUGCUACAGUUGCAACAUUAUCUACGGAAUCAACUAUAAUUCCCUUACCCUUCUCAUUCUUCAACUUAAGGCAAUCCCUUCUAAGAUGCCCCCUCUUGCCACAGCUCCAAUAGACAACAUUAGUAGUCCUAGACUGACUACGUCUGUUUAUAUUAGUACUACCAUUACCCACACGCGUUCUAGAUCUUCCUCUAUUUUCACCUACUAAAGCAAUGGAUAUAGGUUCGCCAGAUUCUUUUCUACGAAUGUCCUCGCUCAAAAUCAAAUCUCGAACCCCAUCAAAUGUCAAACUUGUUGACCUAGAAGAAUUACUAACGGUAGUAACAGUAGUAUUCCAACUAUCAGGCAAUGAGGAUAGCAGAAUCAAAGCACGUACCUCAUCUUCAAAGUCAAUCUCAACUAAACUCAAUUGACUAACAACACAUUGAAUUCAUUGAUAUGAUCUGCAACUGACGCACCUUCUCUCAUCUUCAAAUUAAACAGACGUCGCAUCAAACAGACCCUGUUGAUCGUAGAGGGCUUCUCAUACAUAUCCGACAAUGCUUGCAUCAAAUCAGCAAUGGUCUUCUCCUUCAAGAUGUUAAACACGACGUUACGAGCCAACGUUAACUGAAUAACACCCAUAGCUCGUCUAUCCAGCAAAUCCCAAUCAGCUUGCUUCAUCAUCUCUGGUUUCUCCCCAGAUAAAGGCAAGUGCAGAUUCAUCUCAUAAAGAUAAUCUUCAAUCUGCAUCUUCUAGAAACUAAAAUCCUUCCCAUCAAAUCUGUUGAUUCUCACUUUUACUUCUUCUAUCGCCAUCGAUUCGUUUCAACUUAGCCAAGCCUGGCUCUGAUAUCACUUGUUGCAAUAGGACGAGCGAUCGAACAAAAUAUAGACGGAAGAAGAAAAAUAAAUCAGACACUAGAUUUACGUGGUUCAGUCGUAAAGACCUACGUCCACGAGGAGAGCAGCAGUGAAUUUCACUAUAGAUUAAGCGAUAUAAGGAGAUUACACACUUGAGUCACUCAAACACUCUCUCGGUGUUUCCCAAGCCCCAAUUACACCCAAUACACCAAUCUUUCUUGGAUGUAAUUCAUGACAAAGAAAAUCCCUCCCAAGCACUCGACAAUGAGACGGCACUUCAAGACCAAUUCUUCACGAUCAACGGCGGAACACCAACCACUCACACGGCGCUGACGUGCGGCUAUGUUAAUCAUUGAAUGUAUAUCUUCAUACGUAGGGUUUUCUUUUCUUUUAAACCGACUUCACGUGCAUGCCAAAGAAGGAAAUCGUGUGCCCAUGAUCAAAUAGUUGACCUGGGCCCACCUGCUCCUGAAUUCGGCUCACUUCACGUGCAGAGGACUCCUUGACGCAGAAAAGGAAUUCUUCUUCGUGUGUGUUGACUUUUGGGCCCCACCUGGUAAAAAGAAUUCGGCUACUCCUCUGCGACGGAAAUAAAACUUUGCUACCCCAGUGAAUCGCAUUUUGUAAACACUCAAACUCGAGACAAAAUUUAACAAAAAGUAUGGCCCAGCUAAAACACGGUCUCGGAAUUAGUGAUGGAUAGCUUUCACAUUCAUUACGGAGGAAACCUCUCUGCAUUUUCCAAUUUUGAUUUUUCUUGGCAAAAUAAUUCUCUCUUUAUUUUAGUAUCGUAAAAAAGAAUCGGUUUCAAUGUUUUGUACCCUAAACUCAAUCAAAAUCCUUUCAAAAAUGGCAUCCGGCGUUCUAUUUUAUUUUCAAGGCCAAUAUUUCAUAAGUGUUGUUUCGUUAAAUUUUGAAGACGAAAAGAAAAAGGAUGAUGUAUUUCAUCGUAUAAGGUUUUUCAUAUUUGAGAAAAAAAAAUUGGUAACCAAGAAAGAGGAUCAUGUUAAUUAAUGGGUACAUAGAUUUUAACUCAUAUAAUGUGGCUUUCCGCAAAUAUAGAAAGAAAAUAAGGAGCGGGCGCUUCUUGCUCAUGGAUGUUGUGAAACUUUAUGAAAGAAAGAAAGCAAUAUAGUAAAUUCUCAACUAGCAAUGGGACCGAUGCAUCUCGAUUAGAAACUCACUUGCAUCAUCGUGGAUCGACACACACAAGGACUAUAGACGCGACAUUUGAAAUCACAAAAAUAAUGCGAUGUUUAGUUAUUCACUAUGCUUAAAUUUUAAAAUCACUCUUUUGUAAUUGUGCUAUAAUUAUGAAUAUGACUGCCGUCUCUUUUCCAUAAUUGAACCACUUAAUGAAUGAACAAACUGAUCUCAACGAAAAAGGCAAUACGAUAAUUUCUCAACCAACGAUCAAUCGAUGCAGGUCUCAAUUAGAAAUUCACUUGCUUCGUCAUUCUCGACACACGCAGAGACUAUAGGUGUAAUAUUCGCAUGCACAAAAAUCAACUAAUACGUACUUAUCCACUGUCAAUUGAAAUAUCAUUCUUGUGGAUCAGUCAAUCACUCGCCUAUAAAAUAAUUUCAUAUUUUUCUCGCAAUAAAUUGAACCGACCUAUUACAAUAUCCAAUUGAAACGUGCCCCAUCACUCAGUAAGUAAAUUUUUAUACAAUCCCUCAGUAGAGCUAACAUUUAAAAAAACGAUGAGGAUGAAGAAAGAAACAAAGAAAGAACUGGGAAAGUCAGCUUCCAGGAAUCAUGCUGUCUGCACCUCUCCCUUUGGUAUUCGAAACCUAAUUAGCAAAACUCGAUACUUGUUGGUGGCGAGAGUUUAUAAUAGGAGAUAGUGAAUCCCUCAACUGUCAUGUUGUGGAGGUCCUUAUACGGUGAGCUAGCAUGAUUAUACCGAUCAUUUUCCUACCCUGGGAUAUCCUGCGAUAUUAAAGCCUUUAUGGUUUUGGUGUAAGUAUCCUUGAUGUCCCCUGCUCGGAGAUCAAACCCAUGUACAGCAUAUGAGUACACCUUCAUUUGGGAAAAAAUAGGAGGCAUAUCGGAAGGAUUUGCUCCCUCGAUACAUGGUUCAGUAUUGACUUACGAAGUAGAAGCAAGGGGCUGUGAGCACUUCAACGAGUUAUAUCAGCAAAACGAAAUAAGAGAUUUCGAGUUUUUUCUUGAUCAGGCGACACCCGGAUUUGAACUAGGGAAAAAGGAUUUGCAGUCCCCCGCCUUACCGCUUAAUUCUCUAUGUCUUUUAGUGGAUAAAACCUUUUCGGGAACAAACAACAAAUCAUAAUCAUUUUUGGAUCUAUUUUCAGCCAUUUUUUUAUGUCUUGCCGGUGGUUCAGACUCACUUACUUUUUGUUUGGAUUUGGUUCCGAUUCAACAGAUAGAGACUACCUCAUAGUUGAGCGAGGUUGCUUGCUAGGAGACUGCGACAUAGACAGGUUGAUUGAUAGCUGACUGUCGCCUAUUCAGAUUGAUAGCAGCGCUGGGCGGGUGUCAGAUGAAAGUAGCCAUUUCUCGACGUAAGCUCCUUGAUUACUCUUGAAGAAGGGUAGACUGAAGUUCCUUAUCAAAAAGUGACUCUUUGUAGGUAGGGGAGAAAGAUUGCUUUAUCAUCCGUUAACGUUAACAGUUGUUCGAGGAAACCUAGAUGCUGUUGGAGUAAAGGAUCGUCAACAAGGGCGUUCUAAGUUCCGAAUUAGUGGAUGCUGCCAAAGGGAGUGGCGAUGCCAUACGCAAAAAGGAAGAGACUCAUAGAAUGGCAGAGGCAAAUAGAGCUUUUGCGCAGAGACAAAGAUCGUAGUUCUCGAACGAGCAAUCGAAAAGAUUCUGGAUCUCUUGCUCAGUGCUCAAAGCCUCGUCUCGAGUGUUAGCUUCAGAAGGACCAAGCUGAUCUUGGUCCUCGUCUGCAUGAGCAAUAGGAAAGAAAGACAAGUAGGGAAGUCUUAGGCGUUCGUGCUCCUUCCCGACUGCGACUGCUACUGUGCGACUACUGAGAGAUUCGAGAGAUCGGAGCGCUUUCCUGUACCCGUAUUAGCAUACCCUGAUCUUUUUCUCUAUAUCUAGGAGAGGCCCCUAUAACAUCAAAACUGCCCGAAAUGCCUAACCCCUGUUUCCACAUCAUGUCGAAUUGCCGAAUCGGAAAAAUUGGGUGCUAUCAUAUAGCUUUGUAUCGGCUAAGUUCAUGAGUUGGAGAUAAGCGGACUCGAAUCACUGACAUCUGCCACAAUGUCUAAGUCAACCAAUAAAGCAAAGUCUAGUGAAGAAAAAGUGGAUAACGCGUGGAAAUUGCAGUCCUUGUGGUCAAGGUGUCAAAACACGGUGGUGGAAUUAACACAAGUCCUCGUCGUCACGCAACCACUAUAGAUGCAAAUUUCCAAGUCCACCAUCAACACAAAGUCUAGCGAAGAAAAAUUGGGUCUCAUGUGGAAAUUGCAGCCCUUGCGGUCUAGGCGACAAAAACACGAUGUUGGAAUUAUUUAUGGCGUGGCUUUCACGUUGAUUAGAAAAGAAACUUCUCUGCAGUUUUCAGUUUUAACUUUUCUUUGCGAAUUGACUCUUUGGAAUCAAUUUUAGUUCAGUAAAAAAAGAAUCGAUUGGAAUGUGUUAUGUACUCUAAAUUGAAUCAAAAUCCUUUCAAGUGAGGCAUUGGCAUUCAAUUUUAUUUUCAAGGCCAAUAUUCCACGAGUGUCGGUUUGAUAAAUUGUGAAGACGAAUUGGAAAAAAAAUGUCGUAUUUCACCAUAUAAGCUUUUUCAUUAUUGACAAAAAAAAAACAGAAUUGGUAACAAAGAUAGACUAUUAAAGGGAAUAUUAGCUUGUAUAACAAAAAGGGAAAAUUUCAAUUAAGGGCUUGAAGUGGAACCAUUUUCUCAUAAAAGGGCCUAAAGUGGACAUUGUAUCAAAUAAGGGCCCAAAGUGACUGAUUAAGUCUCGAAUAAGGGUUUCAACUUGAAAGCCAGUCAAAUCUUAUUUGCAGUAGGGUAUUUUCGUCUAAAGACUUUUUUUCUUCCUUUUGUUUUUUUUCUUUCUUUUUCAUCUGCUCACCUCCUCUGACAAAUGCAUCAGACUCCUCACGCACAAGCUUGCACAGGUGCAAAACAAUUGAACAAUUAGGAAAGGAAGAAAACAAAAAGAUAUUCGAGAAGUUAUGCAGUUUUACAAAACUGCAAAUUGCAUACUUCAGUUCUGCUGCCUCCCCAUCAGCAAACUUCAAAGUGCAUGCUCUACAUUAUGCAAUUUUGUAUCCUCACCCAAGAACUCAUCGAUUCCGGCAUAAGCCGGUUUUUAAGUUAUUCACCACCACUCACCUUCUCCGAUGAUGAUAAUGAACUUGAGAAUCAAGAAAUAUCCAUCAGUGAGUUUUGUUUUUAUUCAAUUUGCUUGUAAAAACUUAUUAUGGCAAUUAAAGUAACAAAUUCAUGCUCUCCCUGCCAAUGAAAUUGCCUAUGCCACGAUAACUUUCACUCGUAGCUUCUUGGGAAUGUUUUAUUGAUCCGGGUUGGAUUAUUCAUAACAUUCAUAGACGCAAAUUGCAUUGAGGUGGAAUAUGUGACUUCUUGAGAGGGUCCAAUUGUGUCGUGCAUGCUGGUUAUUUUCAAAGGCUGCUGAAUCAUUAUGACCCGUGAUUGAAGAUACUCGCAUUUGGUGGCGAUUCGAAUUAGACAGCACUUAAUCUAAAAAACGAAUGACUCUGGUCUACACAUGUUCAAACAAAUUUGCCUCUCUAACUCCGAAAUAUUAUCUACACAAAUUUGAGAGAGAAUAACAAGAUGGAAAAAAGUGCAAAAUCGCUUAGAAAUUCCCAAAACCACGUAUUUCAUUGAACAAAUCAAUGCACAUGAGUAUCAUAGAGAAUCCUCAAAAACCUCUAAUAAAUUUGGCUUAGGCACUUCAAUCUAGCUUCUCCUCGCUAAGAUCGAACAUAGCCUGCGUGAGCACCGAUUUAAAUUCAAGUAUCAAUGACAACGAGGGCAGCAAGCUAAUGGCUUACACCUCAUCAUGCUUCGUGCUUGACCACAACCACAAGAUGUGGGGAUCGAAUCAAGCCGAGUGUCACAUCUUAGUCCACUCGUGCUCAAUCUAGGGCUUGGAUUGACCUUCAUCUUUCAACAAAGGUACUGGAAUUGCUGUUGAGGGCAAUGACAAAUGAGGUUGAGGGUGUUGAUAGCUAAUUCGGCAAGGAAGAUAAAGAUGGACUUUGGAGAACGCGAUCUAAAGAGUGAAAAAGGCGAAGGCAUGAUGAUGAUGAAUAAAAGAAAGAGAAGGAGAAAAUAAAUUUUAAAAAAAAAAGAAGGAAAAAGUAUUUAGACAAAAAUACCCCUAGAUGCAAAUAAGAUUUGGUUGACUUUUCAGUUGAGGCCCUUAUUUGAAACUAAGUUGGUCACUUCAGGUUCUUAUUUGAGACAAUGUCCAUUUUGGGUCCUUUUUUGAGAAAAUGAUUCCACUUUAGGCCCUUAAUUGAAAUUUUCCCUAACAAAAAUAAAAGUAAAAACAGGAGUUAGUGCUUCUUCGAUGGUGUAACAAAUUAUGAAAGAAAAAUAGCAAUUCGAUAAUUUCUAGCAAAGGGACCGACGCGCAUUGACUAGAACCUUGCUAACUUCGUCAUUGCGCAACGACUAUACAUGCAAUAUUCAAGUUCACAAAAAAAAUAAAAAUAAAAAGCAAUGUUUACUUAUUCAUUAUCAACUUCAAUAUUACAAUCACUCUCCCUUAAUUGUGUAAGAUCUAUGAACAAUAUUGUCAUCUCUCUGGAACUCCCUUGCUUGGUUUUAUUUGAAACGGUACCGAAAUGAUAGCUGGGUGUCGUUUUCCCUGGUCCACGACCAUGCCAGUUUGAACGAGCCGUCCUUUUGUCGAGUUUGAGCGUCACUUGCUGUUCUUUUUUGAGUCUAGACACGAGUUAGAGUCUAGAAUGGAGGACCAUUCUCAUCUGGAAUUUCACGACCACUAAAGAGAUUGAGUUAGUUAACUUUUUUUCCAUUUUCUACAUUUUUAGCAUCAUUUUUUAUGCUGCUUUAUUUUGAUAAUAAUAAAACUUAAAAUUUAUACUUCUCUAUUUGCGAUCUCUAAAUGAAACGCAUUCCUUAUGAACAUCGGUGUCUCGAGGAAUGUUUGCUUAGCAGGAAAACUCAUAUGUAGGGGACAACAGUGAGGAAUAUGAUGCUUGUUCUGAAGAAUGCAAGGCACCAUCUCAUGUCUUUAUCAUCGAGUGAACGCACAAGUUCUUACUGCAUUUAGGGAUUGAGCUUUCGUAAUACAUAAUAUGCUCUAACAUAACAUCACAUGUUCAAUUUCCAUUCAUCAUAAAGGCAAAACUGUCAGCCUACUCUGUCUUUACUCUUUGACAUGUGCCCGUCACUCAUCGGUUAGGCUUGGACCCAUCCCAUGACAUGAGGACCAAGUCGAAGAUAGCUUGAGCAGGUAGUUGUCUUCGACGUGGGUGAUCAAACAGAGGUCAAAGUGUGGGGAUUAGAGAUUUUGAUGGAAAUGAGAGAGAUUCAUUGCUCAAAAUGCAAACAUUGACACGGAGAAAAAAUUACCUUGUUAUACCAAGACGAUUCGCAUGAAACAAAAAUUGAAUAAAUGCCAUACAACAUUCAUUGUCAUUUAUAAAAUAUGGACAUAACGAGUCUACCAAAAAACACUAGUGCCAUAUGAAAAACAUGUAAAAGCUUCACAGAUUACAUUUUAAAUGAUGAUAGAUGUUCAUAGUAAUAUUUCUAACUUUUGCAUCUCAUUAUAAGGAAACCAUCACACAAUACAUAAUUUCAUAAACUCAUGGUCAUGGUAAAAUUGGGAACCGCUAGAAACUAUCGGAGUACUUGACGAAGAUGAGAUUGUUUCUAUCUCAGCGUCAACAUCAUCAACAUGUGCCUCUCUCGGAUACAAAAGUGGUUUUGGAGGCAGUUGCAGUUUAUCCAUAUCUCCUUCAAGCAUAUCUAGGACUUUCCUCAUUGAUGGCCGUUCAUUAGGGCUCAAUUGUAUACACCACAGUGCAACGAUUAUCAUCUUCCUCGUUGUUUCUCUUUCCUCUUCUAUGACAUCUACCCUUUCAAGUUCCUUUUCUUUGGCGAGUUGAUCAUAAACCCACAAAGGAAAGUAAAUUUGACUUGAACGCUCUGCCUGUGCAUUUAUAUUUCUCCUUCUACCAGCCAUUUCCAUUAAUAACAUCCCAAAACUAUAAACAUCGACUUUGUAAGAAAUGCCACCAAUGUCUUUAUAGAAUAGCUCAUGAGCCAUAUAACCCAAGGUUCCUCUUGCUGCAGUCAGCGAUACUAUACUAUGAUCGGUGGGAUAAAGUCUUGCAAGUCCAAAGUCAGAAACUUUUGGAGUGAAACUUUGGUCUAGGAGAAUGUUGUGAGGCUUGAUGUCAAAAUGUAGAAUUUUCAUAUCACAUCCCCGAUGUAGAUAUUCUAUCCCUCUAGCUAUGCCAAGAGAGAUCUCAUACAUUUUCUUAUAAUCAAGAGGAUCAUCACCGCCCUUAUAGGAAAUGUGUUUAUCCAAAGAUCCAUUCGGCAUGAAAUCAUAGACAAUAGCUUGUUUGGAGUAAUCGAAGCAAAAACCAACAAGUUGCACUACAUUAACAUGGUGGAUCCUUCCAAUUGUGGCCACUUCACUUAUAAAAUCUUGGCCAUUAGAUUGUGAUUUGUUCAAAAUCUUAACCGCAACUUCAUUGCCACUUCUAAGUAUUCCUCUAUAUAUAGAACCAUAUCCCCCCUCACCUAACUUGCAUUUGAAAUUUAUUGUGAUCCUCUUGAUAUCCGAGUAAGAGUACCUUAUGGGCAAAAAGUUAUUGUGAGCUCGUAGGAAUUCUUCGAUGUGUGUAUCAGUCGCUUGAUGCCUUCUCAUCCACUUCAAGAUUAGAAAUAUCAACACACACAGAGCUCCGACUAAGAAUUUUGCUGCUAGGAAGUGGACUGCGGAGAGAUUUGGCCAUCGAUUAGCAUAGUGUGAUAAUUUUUUGUAUACAUACAAUUUUUGUUUGUCAAAGUGCUGAAUGAGAGCUUCAUAGGUGUGAAGAGAAAAGGACUUAUCGUACCCAAGACAAAGAACAGAUUCCAUACGGCAAUUUGACCAAAAUUGUUCAUGAUAUACCGCGUAGAAUCAUCUGUAGAUAGUAAGAGAAUUCGUGAGAGAUUACUAGAUAUGGUUAAUUGGAAUUAACGACCAAUCAAUAAAGAACUAGAUCCAUUGUUUUAGCAGUUAAAUAAUAAAAGCAAUUCACGUUAAGAUAUACCCCAAGUGAAGGAUAACUUCUUACAGUCACUGCAAAGUGGAAAGACACUUUUUUUAAUUGAAAUUUGCAAGUGGAGAAGUCUAGAAUAAAAAAAGAGUGAACGAGUUUCACUUUUCUAGAUAACGCUUAGAUCCACCUUUAUUCUAUUCACUCAUGAAAUCCAUGUUCAUUGCAUGAUCUUUUCUUUUGAAGAAACACGUUUUUGCUUUUAUUCUCCUAAAUGUACCAAAUGUUCAUAGUUCCCCAUAACAAUAACAUCGAUUCAAGGGACACAAGCUACAAUCAAAUCAAACAAUUUUCCCCAAAAAAAGGCCUAGUUCCCUAAAAAAACCCUCAAGUUCUAGUCCAAUUUUGGCCUAAACCUUUUUUGUCUCAGAAGAAACCCCAAAAUUUAGGUACAAUCCCAGAUUUGUCUCGAAUUUUGUUUUGUUUAAAAAAAUCACCAACUUUUAAUAUAUUCCAAAAUUUACCCCAUGGUCCGGUCACAAUUUGACAUGACAUUUCCACAUCGAUAACAACUCCACUUCAGUAAGGUGACAUGGAAGAUUAUUUCCAAAAUGAAACCGUUCUAAGAUAUGAAAAUUAGGGACGACUAACGGCAAUUUUUGGUUAGAGGGCUAAUGGGGUAGAUUUGCAAUUAGAGUAAAAAUUGGUGUUUUUUCUUUUAGACCAAAAAAAAAAGUUAGAGAUAGAUUUAGGAUUUGGCCUAAAGUUUGAGGUUUUUUCGAGAUAAAGAAAAGUUCGAGGCAAAUUUGGAUUGGACCUAAAGUUUAGGGUUUUUUUUAAACAAAAAAAGUUUGGAGCAGAAUUGGGACUAAACUUAAAGUAGUGGUUUUUUUUUAGUGAAUAAGGCCCAAAAAUAUAAAUAAAGAAAGAGUAUAAAGUCCAAAAAAGCUCAACAGAUGUAAAAUAAAAGAGCAAUGCCCGCCAAAUCUACUAAAAAAUCUUGCUGAACUUUUCACUAAACGGAUGUGGCAAUUUUUUUAUUGGGUAUUAAAGAAAGUAAUGACUCAAUAAAUUGAACCGACGUAUUAUAAUAUCCAAUAGAAACAUGCCACAUUACUCGGUAUGUAAAUUUUGAUAAGAUCCCUCAGUAGAGCUAAAUGCCACAUUACUCGGUAAGUAAAUUUUGAUAAGAUCCCUCAGUAGAGCUAACAUUUGAGAAAAAGGAUGAGGAUGAAGAAGAAGAAGAAAGAAAGAGAGUAAAGGAAGAAAAGCUUCAGAGAAAGUCAGCUUAUAGGAGUAAUAUGGUUCGCACCACACGUCUGGGUACAUAAUCACGCAAAGACAGAAAAUUACUGGCGGAGACGGCGGAGACGGCGAAGACGGCGCAGAUGGCGCAGACGGUGCAAACGGCGCAAACGGCGCAGACGGCGCAGAUGGCGGAGACAGCAGAGACGGUGGAGACGGCGCAGACGGCGGAGAUGGCGAAGAUGGCGCAGACCGCACAGAUGGCGCAGAGGGCGAAGACAGCGGGAGGCCGCGGAGACGACGGAGACAACAGAGACGGCGGAGGUCCAUAAUAAUAGAGAUUUAAUCCUUCAGCCAUCAUGGCCUCACACGAUUAUAAGAGUCCCUUUCCCACGUCAGGUUAUAACCCGAGAAGCAAGUCAUCAUGGUUAUGUUGCAAGAAUCCUUGAUGUCCCCUACUCGUAGAGCUUUUAUAUUUGUAGGCAACAAAUACACAACGUAUGAGUACCACUUCAUUUGGGAAAUAUUAGGGGGCGUAUCGGAAGGGUAUGCUCCCUCAAUACAUGGUUCAGUAUUGAUAUACUUAGGAAAAGAAACGGGCUGUGAGCACUUCAUGAAGACCGCCGAGGAUAAAGCAUAAUUAUAGUAUGGAUACAGAUCACUCAAGUUGGAGCUCGCCAAAAGGAAAUCAGGGAGGGAUGAGCCAAAAAAAUUUUGCAAUCCAUCAUCAACCACCGUGAUUUUACCAGAGAAAUCAUCUCCGGAAUUAUUGUCAUAGUAAAUUGACUUCACAUAAUAUUGACUGGCAGACAAAUUUGGACUAGUGCGACUAUUUUCGCAAGCUAGCUCAUACUCAGAGCGGCCACAGCCUUCUGGGUCGUCUUCCAAUCGAAAAGGAUAGUGUAUAUCACGAACCUCACCGCAAGAUGAAGGGACACACCCGUGAUUCUUCUUCGCACCACAACUUGUUCCCAAUAGCAGCAGAACAUGCAAUAUGAAAAGCAUAACAUGGAACAUGUUCAUGGAGCUCAGAGACUUAAUCAUCUCUCUAUCGUUUGAUCUGAUGCAAUGAAAGUUUUUGCUAAUUGGUAAUGUGAUGGAGGCCUAGUUAUAUGAAUUAAAAGUGUUGGGAGUCGUCGGUCAUACAAAUGUCCAAGUCAACCAAUAAAGGCAAGUCUAGUGAAGAAAAAGUAUGUAUCGUGACAAAACACGGUGUUGGAAUUAUUUAUUUAGCUUUCACAUUGAUUAGAAAAGAAACUUCUCUGCAGUUUCCAAAUUGACUCUUCUUAGUACCAUUAAAAAAGAAUCGAUUUGAAUGUUUUGUAUUAUAAAAUGAAUCAAAAAUCCUUUCGAGCGAGGCAUUGGCGUUCUAUUUUAUUUUCAAGGCUAAUAUUCCAUAAAUGUCACUUAUUAAAUUGUGAAGACAAAAAUGAAAUACAUAUCAUAUUUUAUUGUAUGAGCUUUUUCAUUUUUAACAAAAAACAAAAAUUGGUAACAAAAAUAGCUUAUUGACGGGAAUAUUAACUUGUAUAAUGUGGCUUUUGGCAAAAGUAAAAAGAAAAUAAGGAGUAAGUGCUUCUUGAAUGGUGUAACACGUUAUGAAAGAAAGAAAGCAAUACAAUAAUUGCUAUCGAGGGACCGACGCACCUAGAAAGCAAUACAACAAUUGCUAUUGGGGGACCGGUGCACCUAGAAAGCAAUACAAUAAUUGCUAUCAAGGGACCAAUGCACCUUGACUAGAACCUCACAAACUUCGUUGUCACAAAAAGACUAUAGAUGCAAAAUUUGACCUCAGAAAUAUAAAGUGAUGUUUAUUUAUUUACUGCCAACUUAAAUAAUUCAAUCACUCUCCCACAAUUGUGCUAGAUCUAUGAACAAUACUAUCAUCUCUUUCCUAUAAUAGAACCACUUAAUGACUGAACCGAUCAAUUUCAAUAUUACUGUCAUUUUAUCAAAUGAAACGAAUGUUGUUGCUUGCUUCACGAUCAUCUUCCAUAUCUGAAUGUGUGGAAUUGAAGGUGUCAUGUAGGCUUAAAUGAGACUAUCAGUCAAUUUACCAUUGUGAACAUAACAUUAGAGAGUUUCGCAUAGAAAUUCUUAUCAACAAAAUAGAAACGCCUUCUGAUAGUUGUAAUUAGCACUUACCAUAUAUUUUCUCAAGCUAAUGCGUACCCCUAAGUAUAAUUGAAGAGACUGAAAUGGAUUUUCCAUAUAAUACAACAAAUUUUUUAUUUUAACUGACGCAUCCAAUGACGUUUUAACUGCACAUGUUCAAUUUUUUGUAGUAGUAUUAUUACUGAUUACGUUUUUAUUUUUAUUUUUAUUGCAUAUUACCCUUUCUGGAAGUUGGUUUGUUCUGCGAGCAUCUCCACACGCAAUGAUACCUUAGUUGCUUUCUAUAUCAUCAUUAAAUAUUCAGCAAUGAUUAGUGAAAUUUUUAAGUAGAAAAUCUCUUAGUGAAAGUAUCCUAUAUUAUCUCUUGCACGUAUACCACUAGAUUUGGACAUACAUUAUGCAAAUUGAUGUAUCAACAGUGCCAUAAUAUACUAUGGAAAAAUAAUAAUCUAUUUCGUAGUGUUGGAUUUUUCAUUUUUGACAAAAACGAAAUUUGUAAUUGAAAAAAUUAAUAACGGCACCGAAGACUAUUGUUGCACAUUACGAGAAAAGAUUAAAGGCCAUACAAUAAUUUCUCAAAUAGCAUUAGAUGGACGUAAGCCUCGAUUUGAAAGUCACUUGCUUCGUCAUUGCCCGACACGCAUGAAGACUAUAGGUGCAAUAUUCACAUUCAAAAAAAUAAAGCAAUACAUGCUUUUUCACUUGCAAUUGAAAGUAUUUUUCUCGUAAAUCAAUCUCUCACUCUCCUGUAAAAUAACCCCAUCUCUUUCUCGCAAUAAAACUGAAUGAACUGACAGAUCUAAACAAUAACGUCGUUUAAUUGAACAAAAGAUGCUUUUACCUGCUUCAUAAUCAUUUUCCAUCUCCGAAUGUGUGGUAUUGCAAGUGUCAUGUAAGCUCAAAUGGGACUACAAGGAAGAGUGCUGCCAUUUUCAUUCUCUGUUGAUAGCUGCUUGAAUUUGCUCAAGACUUCUCCCUUUCGUUUCAGGGACCACUGUGAUCACGAACACCAUCCCUUUGGCAUUAAUCGCCGCAUAAAGAAGGAAGGUGUGUGAAGCAAGCGAGCAGAGUUAUUUGCUUUCAACAAGUUUGGCGGAAGCAUAUUCUGACAUUUUUCUCAUGGGAAGAAUGCUUUCAUAUGUACUACCUAUCUAUUAAUCAUUCUGCAGAAAGACCCACUUCACUUAUUUUCUUUUCUAAAUGACACGUCGACUCAAUUUUCGUGAUAUUCGAAUCUAGGUAGAAGUUGCCGUAAACACAAUGAUUGAAAUAAAUGGACUGAAUAUGCAUUCGAGACCAUGAAGAACAGAGUGACAGACACCUCCAGCUCCAAAUAGGAUUGAAGUUUUUAGGAAAAGCUAAGUCUCAAGUCAGUAGUUUGGUUGAAUUCGCACAACUCAUGUUCCAAUGUGACAGAUGUUUAUCGAGCUCCUACCAGAGCAACAGUUCAAAGAGUGUUUUCAGUAGAGUUGUACCAUAGGAGCUCUAGCCCGUCGAGCCCAGUCCAAAUAUAUAAUUUAAUUUAAUUUUUAUUGAACGAAAAAUGUCACGCCCCGAACCCCGAGACACGUGAACAACCUGCCAUGGUCAUGUAAAUGCGACAUUUCCAGGUAAUGUCGCCGACCCCAUAAAUUUCAUUAUGCGCAUGCGGAACGUAUUAAAAACUCCUGACAAAUAAAUUACGGAAUAGGACAGCAGGAAGAAAAUCAAUUCAGAUACAAACCAACAUACUUUCACAAAGUCAAUCAGGGCUUACAUACAAUCAAAAAGGGUCUGAGACUAUGUGCAUCAAAAAGGGUCAGUCUGCACACUAGGGAUCGGUCUACAAAAAGGAGAAUAGUCCUAUUAGCACUAGUCGGACUCAUUCGUCGAUCCCACAUCCUCAGGUUCUGACACCCAAGAGACCAGAGGCGAUGCGUUGAUCACUCCACCGUCAGGAAGAUCCGCCACGCCUUCACCCAAAAUGGCGUCCAUCACAGUCAACGGAAUGUCCAUGCUAUCUAGUGGGCCAACCCUAACGCCAUCGGCCCCAAAACGAAACCAAGCCCUAAACAUAUAAGGUACUCUGACAUCCACGGUCACCUGGACGAAGACAAUGGACCUAACUAACUAAUAGACCCAAGAACUUCCAGGGUCAGGAGCACUCUGCGUCGUCUGGUGAAUCUCCGUCGGUAUGCCACUCUUCUCUGGGGGUGCCGUCAUCUACGGUCCUGUAAUAUUUUCCCCAAACCGGGAUGAGACUUUGUUUCAGCAAGUUCACCCCUCCUAAACCCCUAUUAGAAAGUAAAUACGCCCCAGAGUAGCUUAGCCACGACAUCAAGAAGACUUACCUCGCAUUAGCCUUCAUCUGCAGGUUAGCACAGUUUAUAUAAUUCAACCACUUGAAAUUCUGAUAACUAAACAACUGAGGCACAAUCACAUUGUCAGAACAAUACAAUCACUUAGAUCGUCUCAGCGAUCAAUCGACUCGGCCGAUUACAUGUCAUACCGGCAAUCAAUUACUGCUUCCAAUCACGACCCUAUCGGAAGGUUUAAUAACUAGUGGCAAUCACGGCCCCACUCGGCACGACCUUUAAUUAGGUGAUCCAUCACGGCCUCACUGGGCACGACCUCUAAUAGGUGGUUAAUCACGGCCUUAUUGGGCACGACCUCUCAUAGGUGGUCCAUCACGGCCCUAUUAGGCACGACCUCUCAUAGGUGGUCCAUUACAGCCUUAUUAGGCACGACCUCUCAUAGGUGGUCCAUCACGGCCUCACUGGGCACAAUCUCUAAUGGGUGGUCAAUCAUGACCAAUCUCCCAUCAAUUUCCACACUUAGGAUUUUAUAAAGAAUCCCUAUUUAUCGCAAUCACACUCAAUUUACCACAACCAAUCAUCAAUUUCAAAUUCUAAAUGCACAACAGCGAUCGGCAUGAAAUUCUGAGCAACCAGGGUCAAAAAUCAUUUUUCCCGUUUUUUUUUAAGCAAUUUCGGAUUAUAAUAUAAUAUUAUAUUAUCCAGAAUUUCGAAGCAUUUAAAUAAUUCAAAACUAAAAUCCUAUUAAAUAACUUCUUUUAACCUUAAUUAAACACACUUUAACAUAAACAAAUCUCUUAAUCCAAUUUAUAAUUAAAUACACUAAUCUACCCACCUAAACUUACUUAAUUUAAACUAAACAUACUUAGAGCAUUAUUAACACUCUAAUUAGGGUUUAGUGAGGUAAACUCACUUGAUUAACUCGCCGCUUGGACCAAAACGACGAGGGCGACGCCGGGAUCGACUUUUCCAAAAGCGGGCCUAGCUUUCGAGGCUAGGAAGAUGGUCAAAACGGGCCUCAACCGGGCUGUGAGACCCACUUCUUCUUGUUGCACGACAAGGCCCGAGAGGAGGAAGAACGGCGACGGCUAGAGGCGAUAAGGGCGGAGGAGAGGCGCGGCUAUCCAGGUGGUGGCUCACGGCGACGGCUAGCGGCUUGGCUAACGGAGGGCGACGGCGGCAAGCUGCUAGGGACGGCCGAAGCUGCUGGCGUGGCGACAAAGGGGCUGAGCGGAGGGAGAAGCGAUCGCGGGACUGGCGGGCGAGGGACGACGCGGCGGCAACGGCCGCUCGGCACGACGACGACGAACGGCGAAUGGGCGGACGGUGAGCAGGCGAAGGAGGCAGACAGAGUGACCGGUUUGUUGGUUUUGCUUCAGCUUUUUUCCUCUCUCCCUCUCUCUCUUCCAAGUUCAAAAUGAAGAAGAUGAUGUUGAUGGGUGUGGGGGCAAAUCUUGGCCCUCCACUUGUCAAGAUCUCCCUCAUUUUGGCCACCCACCAUGACAUCAUCCCAUGACAUCAUCUUCCACUAUCUCCUCUCCCACAACAUCCUUCAAUGGGUGCAAUAUCAUUUCUGCCGGGGUCCAAAUCUUUGUACAUCCAAUUUCUUCAAUUUUUCUUUCAAUCCUCUUCUAAUUGAAUCCAAUUAAAAUCCACAAAAAUUAUCCCCAUGCUCCUAAUAAGAUAUGUGACAUGACCGGGCUUCCAACUUCUAAAUUAAAUCCCAAUUUUUACGGUUGAAUUCAAUCUGGUGCGAUUUCAGCACGCCUAAUCCACUGAGUAGCUUUUGGGGAAAUUUUCUUGCAUCCGACCUAAGGGUGAUCAGUCCCCAAGUCUAACGCGGUAAAAUUCCUUAAUUACUUCACUCAAUAGACUAGUUCCCUUGUGAGUGGCCAACUCUGAGAGACGAACUACAUGCACAGAUGAAUUGCCUGACUCAAUUGACUGAAAAUAAAAUUGGGGAAAAUCGGGAUGUUACAAAAAAUCUCGAAAAUCUCAAAUUAUGGCAAAAUCCUUUGCGUUCGUGUUCUAGGGUUAUGGAGGCUCUUAUACCACAUGUAGGACGCAAAUUGCAUAACCCCAAGAUCUCCAUAACUAGAACAAGAACAUGCAUAAUUGAGUAGAAAUAUUAACGCACCUGUUUUGGGAUCCAUUGUUCUUAAAGCGGAAGCGAAAACACAAUGUUCCACGCACAAUGUUCCACGCACAAGUCCUUCUCCUCUAUUGUCCUCCGUAUCACUGGCUCAAUGAAGCGGCCCCCUCACGUGUAGGGUUAGGUAAACGCCCCUUAGGUGAUGAUACAGCUGAAAAUUAGGGUUAGAGGAGAGACUUGAGCACUAUUUAUAGAGUUUCUAGCCAGGCCCCCUCAUUAUGGGCCAGGCUCAACUCGAUCCACAUUAGCUAGUCCCAUAUUAGACUAAUUAAGAAACCUUCUAUCUCACAUUAGACCAGCUCUGUUUUACGGUAGCCAUAAAAACAGUAAAUUACAAUAUCAAUUAAUGUAGUCCACAUUAGGAAAACUCUUAUAAGAGGAACUUGAAAAAUCGUUCUGCCAGCCUCGCACUAAUGAAACAAAAAUAAUAAAGAGUGAAAAGUGACAUAUUAUUACCAAAAUGAAAUUGACAAAAAAACUGAGAGCUUAGGUGAGGUGAGCUGGGAAAGAAAUUUAUGUAUGAUCAAUAUUGUAAAAUAACCUAAGUCUAAAUUCUCGAUAUUUCUUUUGCUAUACGAUAUGAAAUGAAAAAUCUCUAUUUGGACAAGAAAAUUUUCUUUUCUUGAUGACUGUGUAUUAUAAUUAUACAAUUAUGCAUUACUAUAAGUUUUCGCCAACCUCUUCGAUGAACAUGGCUUCAUCCAUAAGGAUACAUACACGGAUGCACAAGAAUCAGAUUUCGAUCAAGUCCAGAGAACUAAACAAGGCCUGGUUUUCCUCUCUUUAGGUAGACAUCCUGAUUGUGUUGACAAUCUUAUCCACCAAGACAUGUAAUUCCCUAUUUUCAAGAGUACGAUGCCUAAGGAAACGAACAUUCAGUACUCUUCUUUCAUCCUGCUCUUAUAUUUUACUAAACAAGACAGAUUGCCAUACGUAUAAAGAUGUAUAAUUAGAGAAGAUCCAAGAGAAUAUAAUAUUAAAGGAUUGACUUAUUAAGACAUGACAAAUGCAACUUGAGUUCAUUAUUUGACCUGCACCUUUUAAAUAAAAAUAAAAAUAUAUUUUCGUUACUUAUAAAUUCCUAUGUAGGCUUGAUAUGAAAAAAAAAAAAAUUGUCCUGCCCAUUACUAUUUUAAUACGAAACUAGAAAAAAGAAAAUCACCCAACACUUUUUUAUGCCCAACAAAAGAAACAAAGAAAAUAUUUGCAUAUAUUUCGAGAAAGAAAAUCUAAAGAUUUCGAUUUUGACAGGAUGAAAUAAUAUUUUUUAUUUAAUUUGAGAGAUUUUUGUUCUUAUCUUAUUAAUCAGCAUCUUUGCUAGUGAAUACAACAUAUUAUUACAAUUUUCUUUUUUCUUGGACAGAAAAAAGAGCUUGGGCUCGAAACCAAAGAUAGUAUUACUUUUUAUGUAAUAUAGAUUAUAAAUUCUUUAAUUUAAGGAAGGGCAGGGAUGAAUCACCUAUAAUUAAUUUUUUUCCCCUAGAUAUCGACAUAGAGUACGAAGCCAGCUGGUCUCGUCCUUGAAGAAAGGAACAGAAACGAGAUAAACGGGAGAGAAAGGCGGCAAAGGGAAGGGGGGGUCUCUCCGGUCUUUUUGGGUUUGCUCGGCCGAGGUAGAGCAACCGAGAGAGAGAGAGAGAGAGAGAGAGAGAGAGCUAGUGAGAGUGAGAAGGUGAGCUCGAGAGAGAGAGAAAGAGCGAGCCAGAGAAGAGAGGGAGCUCGAGGGUGGCUGCUUCUGGAAGGGUGCGGCUGAAAACCAAGGAGAGGCUAGAGCCGCUCAAGAGGGGAGACCGAGAAGGUGGAUAGCGAGGGAGAGCGGGAGAGAGAGGCGACUGUGUUCUCGACUUCUUCGGGGGAGGCUGGAGACAGCGAGAGCAACACAGAGAGUGAGAUCCGAGAGAGUGAGCAAAGGGUGAAGCGGAGAGAGAACCGAGAGUGAGCGGAGGGAUGGACUGAGUGAGAGAAAGCGAGACCCAGAAGCCGAACUUCGUUCUCGGACAAGCGUUGCCCGGCCAUCCCCAACAUAAACCGGCGAUCUCCAGCCAACACCCUCGAGCACGUGGUGAGUUUUCUUUGGGUUCGAUCCACUUUUAUCUCGAUGAUCCUGGCUCGGUGCAACGUCGAGGCGGCAGACCAUAGCUCAUUUUGCUUCAGGCUCACCUUCUGGCCGUCGUCGCUGAGCCGGGUAGGGAUAUUUGUGGUCAAACACUUCUCUCUGGGAACUCCGUUGCUUGGUUUUCUUUAAGACGGAACCGAAAUGAUAGCUGGGUCUCAUUUUCCCUAGUCCACCAGCAUGCUCGGUUUGAACGAGCCGUCCCUUUUGUCGAGUUUGAGUCAUCACUUGCUGCUUUCUUUUGAGUAAAUGACUUGGAGUGCUGCCAUUUUCAUUCUCUGUUGAUGCCUGCUUGAAUAUGCUCAAGACUCCUCCCUUUCGUUUCUGGAACACACCCUUUAAAUUGCCCCCUGGAGUUUCUGCACGAAAAUUGAUUAUUCACAGGUUUAAUAGCAUGCGAGUAAUGACUGGACUUUAUCUAUUUAGAUAUGGUGGUGGACUUUUGACUAGUUAUGCACUGUUCAGAAUGCCAGAUUCAUUUGUAGAGGUUUCUAGAGGAAGAUUUUGUUUACUGUUUUUCUAAAUUAG